CCAACAUUAAUUUUGAAUGGACGAAUUUGUCCUUAUAUAUAAACUAAAAUCAUAAAGAAAAAAAUUUGGUUAUUUACACACUUUGAAAAAAAGUAUGUAGGUAUGUAAAACUCUAAAUAUAUUUUGUUACCUAAACACUUUGGAAAAAAAGUGUUCAGGUAUGAUAAAUUUUUCAUCACAAUCUUCUUUUUCCAUGGUUGGUGUUCUCAUUGCAUCACUCAAAGAUUUUGUCACUCACAAUCAACACAUACUGCUUCUUUCUCCUCUGUUUCAUCCUCUGAUUUUUCUUCUUUAGCAUAUUAUGUAUCCAAUAUUUUCAUUUACAUCUAUGCCGCCAUCAUCAACCCACCACCAUCUUCUUAUUUGUCUUCCUUGUCAAAAUUUGUAGCAGUUUGAAUUGUCAAAAAAACAUAUGCGAAGAUGGUCGUGAAUUCUAUCACUGUGCUGCAAAUUGUAUUAUGGGUUUGAGGAAAAUUGUUGAAAAUUAUGGGUUUUCCAGGUCGUUUUGAAAUUAUGGGUUUGAGGGAAAUUGUAUGCAAUUUAUCUACACAAUUCAUAAAUCUCAAAAAGAAAAUAGAGGGAUUUUAUAUCUGCUACCGGAGACAGGUGACGAAGAACAAAGCAACAGUGGCGGCUAGCAGUUAGCGGCAGAGUAAUUAGAUAGUUUUCUGGUAAAUGGUAUGUGGGGGUGAAGAUGUUUUCUGAAAAGGGUAAAGUUGAAAAUUACUUUUGAAUGUAGGGGUAAAGGUAUAAAUGUUGGGGUAGAAAAAAAAAUUUCCCCAUAACUUAUGCCGUUUUCUUGUAGUGUUACUGUUUUUCUUUUCUAAAAUAUCUUAUAUGAAUUGGCAUAUCUAAUAAUAAUUUUCAUUCCUUCAUGUAUAAUUUGUGGAAUCAUGGUCAUCCAUAUAAAUAAUCAAUAGUACUAAAAUUUCUUUUUUUGGUUACACAAUAUUAAAAUUUCGUUACCUAUCAUAAUUUUCUCAAAUUUAUUUGUUGUAGCCUGUAGGGACGUCAUUGUGUCCUUUUUUGUCUUUUUCUAGUAGGAAGCAAGAAGUGGUGUCACAUAAAACCAUGCGUGUGCACCCCACUAUGAGAACCCACAUUUUUUGCUUGUCAUCAUGCUUGAAAUAUAUAGCUGGCUAGAUAUUUAAAUUUUCAAUUUUUUAAAAUUUUAAAUUAUCAAUCAAUUUAUUGAUUAUUUUGUUAACAUUAACCAAAAAUAACCAAGCAUCAUCAUAUGAAGUACAGAGUGAACAAACAAAAUUGGAUAUUCGUAGGAAGAAGAUCCAGACACAAAAUCUUUGAAAUUGGAUAACUUCACGGAUAUUUUCACUUGCUUUUCACAUGUAUUUUAACAUUUUUCUUAGCAAAGUUUCUGAUAAAGAAAAAUUUAAUUUUUAUACACCGUCAAAAAUCACAAUCAUCAUGUAUGUGAGAGUUGAACUCAAAGAUGAGUUUACUUCUUCUUAAUGGUAUCAACUCCUUUGUUUGUCUUUGAAACCAAUAAUAUUAUAUGGUGUAUCUAUCAUUUGUAAAAGGCAUUUGUAUAAAGAUAUUUGCUUGGUGCAGCAAUUUACUUGCACGUAAAUAUGUAAAUAAAUAAAUAUUGACUUACGUACUUCUUGAAGUUUUUGGGCCACUAACAAAAUAUAUUUGUGAUUAGAAAGUAAGUGGUACAUUUUUUGUUAUUGAAAACUGGCUAUAGUAUCCCCAAUUUUCUAUUGGGGAAUGAGGAUAAAAUUGGAUGUAUACCUCGUCAUCAAUGUGAAGUUAUUAAUUUGUGUGGUUGUGUCAGCUGUUCUAGAUUAUCCAACAACAGUCUAAUAGAUUAAAUAAUUUUUAAUAGCAAAUAAGGUUUAAAAUAAAUUUUAGGUAUUUUUUUUAUCAAAUAAUUUAUUAGUUAAAAUUUCACCUUUUUUUAAGGUGAAUAAGGGUAGUAUUGGAGAUUCGAACUUUAACUAAUACAAAGCUAAUUGAUCAUCUUCACCCAUUUGAUUAGCAAAACUAAAUAUAUAUUAGCUCUGUUCAUAUAAAAAGUUUGAAAUAUCUAAUUAUUCAUACUCAAUUAAAACAUAAAAAUCUAACAAAACACUCACAUGAUUAAAUAAUUGAAAUAUCUAAUAAUCAAAACAUAUACCUAAAUACCAAUUUCUUAAUCUACCAUACGAUGAAACAUUAACGAAGGGAGAAACUGGACAUGAAGGUGAUUUUGAAGGUUAAUUGAUGAAUUUGAAGAUUAACGAAGGGAGAAUCUGAAGCUUACCUUGAACAAACGAGUUUGGAUCUGAAGAAGAUUGAAUCUGGAACGAAGUUCGAAUUUGAAGGAAGAAUCGAUCUGAGUUGUGAAGAAGUAACGAACGAGUUGUGAAGAAGAUUGAAUCUGAACUCGUGAGUACUAGCUUAAAUCAGUUGUGAAGAUGAUUGAAUCUGAGUUGUGAAGAAGUUUGAAUCUGGAACGAGAUGAAUUUCAAUCUAAGUGUGAUUGAACGAGCAAUUUGUGAAAGAAAAAUAGAGGGAAUGAGAGUGAAACUUCUGUGCUAUGAUAUCACUCACCCACGACGGUUUAGACGAAAGGGGCGUAUUUCCUAAAUUUAAAAUUAUCGGCGACGGUUUGUAGGAACCGCCAUGAGCUAUCAGUCGCAUAUCAAACCCUUUUUUGUAGUGAAUAUCCUCCUGCUAGCUAUGCUAAUGGGACUUUAUUUUAUAAAUAAUUUGUUUGUUGUUUGUUUUCCCUUUUCUUUUACUCCUUGUACAAAAAAACACGGAAAUUUUUUUUAAAAAAAAUUAUAUACAUUUAGCCUAAAAAGUAUCAUAAUCAACUUCAUAAAAGUAUUGAAAAUUGUGUUUUCAAUACAAUUUUUUUUAUAUCCUUAUAACUUCCAAAGAACACUAUAGUUAGCAUAAUUUUUUAUUAUUAUUAAGAUUUUUUUAUUAUGUGCAAUUUUGAACAUAUUAAAAAAUUUAAAAUAAUAAAUUUGCAUUGAAACUUGUGAAUUUCAUAUUAAAUACUCCCUGCAUCCCAAGUGAUUUAAUAAAAGCCAAAAGGGUUGAGGAACUACCUCAUACGAAACCAGCUAUGUCAAUAUUUAAUUAAUGAGAUAAAAGUGGAUCACUAUUGCUUAGUUCAAAGUAUGUGAAAAUCAACUUUCACAUAUGGAUAAUGUUAAAGCUCGACCAAGGAAAUUAAAACUGUAGCCAUUUUAUGAUUCUAAGAAACUAGAGAGAGCAAGCUGCACUAAAAUAAUGGGAAGGAGAGAGGAACCUUUUCAUAAGCAUCUUGUUCUUUUGAAACAUGAGAUGGCAUCCCAUUUUUCAAAUUCCAAAAUAGAAGCAUCCAAUGUUUUCAUAUAUAUAUAUCAAUACAUGAUUAUUAUAUAUUAUAUAUUUCUUGUGACUAAGUUUGCCUAAUGCUUAAUAAUGGAUAAACUUUUCUUGGUUCGAGUCUGGUUAAUGGGAGGUAAAUGUAAUUAUUUUUAUAUGUAUUUGAAGAGCUCUAAAAUUUCCCUAUCUUGAAUUGGGACAUUUAAUAUAAUGGAUAAACUUACAUAAUGUUUUGAUCAACAUUAUUUUUUAUUAUAUUACAUCCAAAAAUUGAAAAUUGGUGGGCUACACAACAAAUUUGUACAAAUUUAUAUGUUGGAAAUUUGAAUACUGAAAUUGCCCUAAGAGGAGCAGACUACAAAAGGUAGCAUAAAUGUGAUGUUGAGCUAUGCUCUGUAAGAUUUUUUUUUUUUUGUUACAAGCUCUAUAAGAUGUUGAAAUAGUGGUAGGGNNNNNNNNNNNNNNNNNNNNNNNNNNNNNNNNNNNNNNNNNNNNUAUAUAUAUAUAUAUAUAUACCGGGACAUUUUUGCUAUUUUGUUAACAAAAUGGAAGGGCAAUUUUGUCAAACUAAAAAUUUUAUCUUCCACUUUUCUGCAUGAAUAGUGUUUGCGUAAGAUUUGUGUAUCAAAAAGUGUGUCAUAAUAACAUAAAAAAAGAAAAGAAAAAAGAAGAAUUUGAAUCCUUUGAAGUUUGAACUAUUGUGGUACUUACAGAGUCGUUAGAUCUAAGUGCAACUUGCAUCAUUCAUAUGCAUUCACUUGCAUUUUUACUCAAUGAUUCUAAAGUGUAAGUGAAACUAAUAUAAAACGUUAAACUGUGGAAUUUAUAUAUUAUUUUUACACUUUAAGAUCUCACACAUUCACGCAGUUAAUACUUCAAAAGCAGUUGAAUUAAGAUUAAACGGUUUAUAAUAAAAUCUCAUAUUUUAUACUUUUAAAAAACAAAACCAACAUCAAAAUAUGAACCAUUUAAUAUCGAUCUAACAAUCAUCGAUGGCUAAUUAAGUGAUUGUGUGUGUUUUGGUUUUGUGACCAUACAAAUAUGAUUUCUAAACAAUGAGGCAAUAGUUUGAGAGACCCUCCUUGCUAUCAUUUUCAAAUAAAGAUUGAUUGAAAUAAUAAUGACUUUAUAAUCCCCACUUAUAUUAAAAUAUGUUUUGAAAAACAAAAAAAAAAAUCCUUUGGAAAGGAAGGGGCAUACUUAGUAGAAAUGUUGAACCAAAGGCACUCUCAAGGGCCACACAAUACAAAGAAUUUCUAGAGGGAAUAUGAGUGCUCUCUUUAAUUGCCAAUGUGGACACUAUAGGAUUAGAGAAUUGAUAAAAUUGUGAAAAUGACAAAAAAAAAUGUUUUGUUUUACGUUCGUUUAUGUCAUCCAAUUGUUAUAGUUACAUAGAUUGAUAAGAGUCUCGUGAACUUCGCUCAGUUGAUAAGGAUAAUGCAUUAUUUAUGCAAGGGAGUCGAGAUAACAGUAGUUUCUUUUAGGCAUGCUAACUAGCGAUCAAGAUACACAAGUUAAGGAAAUCAAAACAAAUAAAUUAUAUUUUUAAAAAUAAUGUUCUUAUAUUUUUUUUAAAAAUAUUAAUUAUACAAAUUUCAAAAUAAUUUUACUAUAUUUAUUUUCUAAACUAAUACCCUAAAAAUAUUAGUUAAUAUUUUUCUUAUUCUUUUUCGUUGGGGAUACUAGAUUUUAUAUCAGUAUAACUACGCNNNNNNNNNNNNNNNNNNNNNNNNNNNNNNNNNNNNNNNNNNNNNNNNNNNNNNNNNNNNNNNGUUUUUUUUUUAUUUUUUAUUUUCACCACUAGUAUCCGGCCAACUGAACCGACUAAUAUGGUUCGGAGUAAGUUUUGACAUCAAGUGGUUUUAGUCCCCUCCCGAUCACAGUUGCGGAGAAUCGAAUCGCAGUCCUUUCUACCAAGUUCAGCAUCAAUCAUUACUAAUUAACUCAACUACUGAUUGGUUAAAAAAACCACACCUUUAUUCGGUAUGUAUAUGAGUCAAAAUUCAAGUAUAUGAGAGAAAUAUUUAAAAUCAUUAUAACCGAAGAAAAAAUAGUGAUUGCAAACACAAUUACACCAGUUGAGUUAUCCACCCUGUCUCUAAAGUGAGUGUUCCUAGCCUUACUCUUUCAAAAUAUACUAAUGAUGUAAUGGUUGGUUAGAAACAAUGGGUCUAUUUAUUUAGUCUUUCAACAAAAAUUGUGAACAAAGAGUCAAAGAGUAAAUCAAUGUAUUGUUUCAAAUUAACAUUGUUAAAAAUCUUUUAAUAAUUGUUUUCCUUCAUCAAUUGGUAUGAGUUUCUCUAUAAAAGAGUUACUCGCACAAACAUAAUCUAAAGAUUCAUGUUUACAUUAAUCUAAUUUUUGUUUAAAAUAUAUUUCUAAGGUAUUUCUACUGCACAAGUUUAUAAACUAGUCCAAUAAACUAGACUUACCAAACACACCCUAUAUAUGCAGCGAGUCGGAGUUUGAACCCAGAUAAUCUUAAUUAAGAGAAAAUUGCAAAAAUCAAAUUGAUUCUUAAUAAAAAAAAAAUUAAGAGAAAAUACUCCGUCUACUAAAAUGUAAGCACGUAAUAAAGAGUAAAUCGUCAAAUACCCUCAUGAAAUUUUAAAAUUCGUUAAAUAUUCUUGAAAUUUAGAAAUAGGCAAAUAUCCCUUAAAAUUAUAAAAAGUCCAUGCUAAAAAUCUUGUUUUGUUUUGAAGUGACAAACCCCGCCAAGAUAACAAGCAUUUUCCAUACUAAAAAUCUUGUUUUGUUUCGAAGUGACAAAACCUCGCCAAAACAAAUACAUGUUACAUCGUAUAUCUUCCAAGGCUCAACUCUCAGAGUCAGAUAGCACCACCUUUCCCAUAUUUCUUUAAUCCAAAUGAACCCAACAAAAAAAUUAACAUUUUCCCAUAUUUUCCAAAAAUGUUCCAAUCUAAAAUCUUUGAAUCCUGGCAAACAAGCUCAUGCUCGGAUGAUAGUAACUGGUUUUGUUCCCACCAUUUUUGUUUCCAACUGUUUACUUCAAUUUUAUUGUAAAUGUUCAAAUUUGAAUUACGCGUUCAAUGUGUUCGAUAAAAUGCCUCAAAGGGAUGUAAUUUCUUGGAACACAAUGAUAUUUGGUUAUUCAGGAAUUGGAAACAUUGGAUUUGCGCAGUUUUUGUUUGACUCAAUGCCGGAGAGAGAUGUUGUUUCGUGGAACUCUUUGCUCUCGUGUUAUUUACAAAACGGGAUUCAUCGAAAGUCGAUUGAUGUUUUUGUUAAGAUGAGAUUGCUGAAUGUUCCGCAUGAUUAUUCUACAUUUGCUGUUGCUCUGAAAGCUUGUACUGGUAUUGAAGACUAUGGUUUAGGACUUCAGGUGCAUUGCCUUGCGAUUCAGAUGGGUUUUGAGAGUGAUGUGGUAACUGGUACUGCUCUAGUAGAUAUGUAUUCAACGUGUAAGAAACUAGAUCAUGCUUUUAGGGUUUUUGUUGAAAUUCCGGAAAGAAAUUCGGUGUGUUGGAGUGCUGUAAUUGCAGGCUAUGUUCGAAAUGAUCGGUUUAUUGAGGCAUUGAAAUUGUAUAAGGCUAUGAUAAAAGAAGGUAUGGGGGUGAGUCAACCAACCUUUGCUAGUGCGUUUAGGUCGUGUGCUGGAUUAUCUGCAUUUGAAUUAGGCACACAGUUGCAUGCUUAUGCUCUAAAGACAAAUUUCGGAUAUGAUAGUAUAGUCGGAACAGCUAUAUUAGACAUGUAUGCUAAAUGUGACAGAAUGAAUGAUGCUAGAAAGCUGUUUAACACAUUCCCUAAACCUACUCGGCAAUUUCAUAAUGCCAUUAUUGUUGGAUAUGCACGACAAGAUCAAGGUGUUGAAGCUUUAGAGAUUUUCCGGUCUUUACGGAAGUCUUAUCUUGGCUUCGACGAAAUUAGUUUGUCCGGUGCUUUGACUGCCUGUUCGGCUAUCAAAGGCUAUUUGGAGGGGAUUCAACUACAUGGAUUAGCUAUCAAAUGUGGAUUAGAGCUUAAUAUCUGUGUUGCGAAUACCAUUUUAGACAUGUAUGCAAAAUGCGGAGCAUUGAUGGAAGCUUGUUGGAUAUUCGAUAAUAUGGAAAGAAAGGAUGCUGUGUCUUGGAAUGCAAUCAUUGCUGCUCACGAGCAAAAUGAACAAGUAGAAGAAACACUUUCACUUUUUGUUUCAAUGCUUAGGUCAACUAUGGAACCCGAUGAUUUUACUUUUGGCAGUGUUGUAAAGGCAUGUGCUGGUCAGCAAGCUUUGAACUAUGGUAUGGAGAUACAUGGAAGAGUUAUUAAGUCUGGUAUGGGGUUAGACUGGUUUGUAGGAAGUGCCAUGAUUGAUAUGUAUUGCAAGUGCGGAAUGCUAGUCGAGGCAGAAAAGAUCCAUGAGAGAUUGGAAGAAAAAACUACUGUUUCUUGGAAUUCAAUCAUUUCAGGAUUCUCAUCACAAAAGCAAGGUGAAAAUGCUCUGAGGUAUUUUUGUCAGAUGCUACAAGUUGGUGUAAUACCCGACAACUUCACAUAUGCUACGGUUCUUGAUAUUUGUGCUAAUUUGGCUACUGUCGAACUUGGAAAGCAGAUUCAUGGACAAAUUUUAAAGCUGCAAUUGCAUUCAGAUGUGUAUAUAGCCAGCACUAUUGUUGAUAUGUAUUCAAAGUGUGGGAAUAUGCAGGAUUCAUGCGUAAUGUUUGAGAAAGCACCUAAGCGGGAUUAUGUGACUUGGAGCGCCAUGAUUUGCGCAUAUGCAUGCCAUGGACUUGGAGAAGAUGCCAUUAAAUUAUUUGAGGAGAUGCAGCUUCUGAAUGUGAAACCAAAUCAUACGAUUUUUAUUUCAGUCCUCAGAGCUUGUGCACAUAUGGGUUAUGUAGACAAAGGGUUGCAUUAUUUCCGUAAAAUGCGAAGUCACUACGGUUUAGAUCCCCAGAUGGAACAUUAUUCUUGUAUGGUAGAUCUACUAGGAAGGUCAGGACAAGUAAAUGAAGCUUUGAAGCUUAUUGAAAGCAUGCCUUUUGAAGCCGAUGAUGUAAUAUGGAGAACUUUACUUGGUAUUUGCAAGUUGCAAGGGAAUGUCGAAGUUGCAGAAAAAGCAGCGGAUUCUUUAUUACAGUUAGACCCUCAAGAUUCUUCUGCUUACGUUCUUUUGUCAAAUGUAUAUGCUAUUGCAGGAAUUUGGAGCGAGGUUGAGAAAAUAAGAAGUUUCAUGAAGAAUUAUAAAUUAAAGAAGGAACCAGGAUGUAGCUGGAUUGAGAUAAGAGACGAGGUGCAUGCGUUUCUUGUUGGAGACAAGGCACAUCCAAGAUCUGAGGAGANNNNNNNNNNNNNUGGAUAUGUUCCUGAUAUUGAUGAUUUCCUGCUUGAUGAAGAAGUGGAAGAACAAGAUCCUUAUGAGGGGCACAAAACCGCCAUGUGUAGUGUGAGAUAAUGUAGAAAAGGUUUCAAACACGCUGCCUACAAUGGCCUAAUGGAGAAUUGGAGCAGGAGACUCUGAGGAAUCAGGCUGGCUGGGAAAAACUGAGCAACUUGAAAAGAAAAGAUUGCCCUGUACCGAAUAGUGGCUUGAGAUAUGUUGUUUCAUUCACAAGCUGAGAAUCAGGUCUAGAUUCUUGAUUAAUAAGAAUGUCAACACAUUAAUCUGAGUCCGGCUGAAUACGGUGGCCUUUUUAGGGUGUACCAAUGGGUUUGGAUGGUUUAUCCAGCAAUCUAACUGCCUUCAAUAUAUUCAUCAUCCAUGCAGAUUGGUUUAGAGCAACGAGAAUUCGCUUGAAGUUGGUGUGUGUGGAGGAGAGGAUUCAAGUAUGUGAAUGUGAUGUGAUAAUGUAAAUCUAGAAAGGAAAAGCAUGUCAUUUUUUAAUUAGAUUCUCUACUGGUUUUUUUAUUCAUAAACCAGAUACUCAUCUUCAUACCAUAGGAUUGAUAUGAACAGAUCCAUGAAGCCAUCAAAUGGAACUGGAGUGGUGGGUAGCUCCAAGCCACUCUUUUUAUUUUCCCAUAAGUUCACUUCACGAGAGGAGUUCAAAUCUAUGUGAUAGUUGUAAAAUGAUCAUUAGUAUCACCGUUAAUAAUAACAAUUUCUCGAAGUCAAUUUUUAUUUUUUUUUAAAUAAUUGAUUUAUAUAUAUAUAUAUAUAUAUAUAUAUAUAUANNNNNNNNNNNNNNNNNNNNNNNNNNNNNNNNNNNNNNNNNNNNNNNNNAUAUAUAUAUAUAUAUAUAUAUAUAUAUAUAUAUAAAAGAUAAUUACACUUGAAUGGAGGCAAACUACAAUAAGCUGCGCCGCUAAUCCAAAUAAUUGUGUCUGAGGGACCGGUGGUUAUUGUAGCCGGCUAGCCGCUACUGGAGAUAUGAUUAGAGGAUGGUACCGGAGGAAGACCUGGAGAUUAAUGAAUUGGAUAGUAAUAUGAUAUACAGCAGAAUAUGUUCAACAUUGAUGCCCUUCAAUGAACCUCUAGCCGAUCACACCAACGUUGUUUUGAUCCGUUACCAGAUGCACCCUACACCCCGUCCAACACAGUCCCCUUUUGUGUCAAAUACCAAUCCCUGUGAGACCUCAAGCAACCACAUUGUUCUGGUUUAGUUAAUUUUGUUAUUCUUUGCUUGCUAUUUGAAUGUUGGUAUAUAUCUAAAUUGAUUUGAAUUUCAAGGAUUGUGAGUUGUGACAAGUCACUGUUGGUAUGCUGCUUCAUAAUUUAGAAGACCACACACAGGAGUAUGUUGAGUUUAUGACAUGAAUGCAUCAAAAAACAUAAUGUCAAAUGCUGUUUGGCUAGAUAAGUUAUGAGCAGUUAUUAUUGUUGCAGAUGCUCAAUUUUGUUUCAGAUGCACAAAGUAGUAUGAUCAUAUUGCACAAUUUUAAUUUUUUUUGGGUCUAAAGAGAAAUUUCAUUCAUUCAAGAAGCUAAAUUAGCCAAAUAUAAUACUUCAUGAGUAGCCUCACUUACCACUAACGGGGUAAAGUACAGAGUUCAUGCAGAAUCAAAUAGAUACAACCUUAAGCUCUAGACAUGUUUCUGACUUGUAAUCUAAUAGAUCACGGUAAACUCGGUAAGCUAAGAAUGAACAAAGAAGAGCCAACAGACUACAACAACACUAACUACGACCAACAACAGCCAAAGAGAACAACAAAAAUACACAAACUUAGAUCUAAACUAAAAACUAGAAAGACAAUACUAUCAUCACUAGAGAGCUAGGGUUCGCCGAAAAGGUUUAAACAAAGGAGUCAAAUCUAAAGAUAUAGCUUACUAUACAUGCCUGCUAUACACACUUACGGAAAUUUUUACCAAUAAUAACAAGGGUCAUACAUCUAUCAGCAAAAAAACUAGCAGGUUGAAUGCCUUCAAAAUCUCAUUUGUUUCUUACAAAUUCUGUUUUUUUUUUUUUUUUGGUACACAAAUUCUGUUAUUUUAUUCUAUAGUUGACAGAAAAGAAAAAUCUCAACUAAAAUAUCACACCAAAAGCGAAGGAGCUAUAUAGAUAUUAAAAAUGACAGGAUGAAUGGGAAAAACGCUUCAAGUGUUUAGCCUCAAGGUAGACCACUUGACUGUGUUGCCGAUUGGUUUGUCAACUGGCCGAAGACGGUCCAAGUAAAUUUAAAAAAGAACAAGGACAGAAGUUAUCUAAAAUAAGAGGAGGUAGGAGCAUGAUAUUGCAGGGGUGGCGCAAGACAAAGAAUCGUGGUGGCAGUAAUCAGCUAUCUGUGUAUCAUUACACAAACACUUAAGUCGUGUGCUAUAAAUGCAACUGAAUCAUGUUAGAAACAAUAAGAAUAAUAUCUACCACAAAAAACACAGCAAAAAAAAAAAAAAAAACUAUUGACCUUGUAAUAAAGCCUACAAUGUCAAUGACCUUGUAACCUACUACUAUGUCCUCAACUUACCCCAGGUAUUGUUUUUAAGGGAUUCUAUCCUUCCACAUUAUGGCAUUCAUCAUCCUUCAACCGUAGUCUUUUGUCUUAUAAAAUAAAGCAUAAAUUCCUAUCUAUUCACAGACUAAAAUCAACAUUCAAGUCCUUGAAAUACAAAAAGGUUACUGCUGAAAGCAGUAAGACAAACAAUGAUAUUAAUAAGUGCUUAGAAGUAAGAACUCCUGGAUCUAUUCUCCUCACAGUCUCAACAUCUAGCAUAGAAUCAGACUUUACUUCAUUAUCAUUUGCAGAUGAAUUUUUCUUGUUUGCCUGGAAAAGAAAAAUAGGAGCAAUAAUUAGAACUUUGCUCUGUCCAUAUUUCUCUUCUGUUAUUACAUAAUAUAUAUAUCAGAAAUGAUAAAAUGUUAUUACAUGAUGAACGAUAUAGGAAAAAAUGGACAAUUUGGAAGGAAUGUAACUAGAUCUGAAUAACAUUGCAUGCUUUAUGCGCGUAUUGUUAACCAAGAAACCAGGUAUUGUUUUACAUUUGUUAAAGAAGUACAUCCAACUAACAUGAGGUAACAUAUUUCACUUGGGAAGAAAAUGUUGAUACCACAUAGAAGGCACUCGUACUGAUAACAAAACGAUUUUACAUUAUCCACCAACACAACUACCAUGAAAAGAAUAUUUAACUAAACUAGGAGCCUAGAAGUAGAGCUAUAUAUUAUAUGACCCCCAACUAUUAUGCAGAUAUACUUUGUUGUUGACAAAUUUCGUUGUUGACAAAGUUUUGUGUGUAGUUAUUAGAGACUGAAAGUGCCAAAGCAAGAAGAAUAAAUUUAUCUAUCAAGUGAUAUAUUUUGUUUUUCCUAUUUCUAUUAAGUUUUUACAAAUAGACUUAUUUGAGGUAGCUAAAUCUAUAUUAUUAAAGUAUCUAAAUAUGAAAAUACACUAAAUUAUUAAAAAAAAAAAUGUGGCUACCCCAAAGACACACUACCCUCCGCCCCAACUAUAAUUUUAUGCUAACUACAUAGGAGAUUCUUGCGUAUCAGUUACAUAUACAAAUAAAAAACAUGUCCAUAAAGUCUGAAGUACCAACCUCGUGGUCAGAGGAAAAAUUCGCACUAAAGGGAGAAGAAUCCUUAUAUGCCUGCUUCAGCUUCACAACCAACAUUUUGUUCUCGCUUGCUAAGGAAGAUAGCUGCAAAUAAAGUACAACAAUUUCAACUAACCAUGUACAAAAAAUCCCAGAAUAGUCCAGCAAACAUGACAUAAAUGUUUAAAACAUAUGGGAAAACCCCAUACAUCCCAUCAUCAGCCAAAACAACUACUGCUAAAUUUUCAUCAUAUGAAUUUUCAAUCAAGUUUAUGUUCAAUUAAAAAUAAAAAGGAAAAAACUCCAUACAAGCUAAAUACUAAACUACUUAAACUCAAAAGGUAGAAAGUGUGAAAAUCAAAGAGGUGAAAAAGAAGGUUUUGCUUAUUCAAUUGUUAUUCAAUUACUGACACACAAAAACGAAGCAUCGCAUAGUUUUAUGUGUCGUUAGUUAUUGAUACAAUAUUCAAUUAUCAUACUAUGCAGAUCAAUUGAUACCCUACAUGUUUCUGUUUAUUAAAGAGCAAUAAUUAAAUAGUGUUGUCAAUGGGAGAUUGUGGAAAAUCGCAGUUUGUUCAAAUUCCGAUAUGCUAUAGGGCUAAAACGCCACAAUAGCCACUAUUUGACAAUACUAUGUACUCUAAAUAGUGUAUCAAGGAACAAUUGCGAUUUGUUCAAAUUCCACUACGCAAUAGCGCCGCUAUAAUAGCUAUUUGACAACAAUAAUUAAAUAUCAUGUAUGGCUGAAACAAGAUUUCAAAGGCUUGGUUUUUACCUUCUUAUUAAGACGCUCUCUCUCCAAAGCCAGCUGUGUCACCAAACNNNNNNNNNNNUUUAUAACAUGUUCCAUAUCUUCGAUUGUGUCAUACAACAUCUUUUGCUUCUCUUGACUAGCUUCAGCAGUCGCUACUGCAUGCUGCAGCUUUAAAUCACACUGCUUUAGCUGCCUCUUGAGUAACUCUACGCUCUCGGAUGUGAUUCCGCCGUCUUUUAAAAGAGCCAGCUUCUUGUUGAGUUCUUCAUUAGUUUCCGUCAAUAUUUUACACUGAGCUUCUGCAGCAUUAGCCCUAUUUUCUGCAUUGGUUACAUUUUCUUUCAGUUCAAUGAUAAGGUUAUCCAUUUCUUUAAUAUGAGAACACGUAACAUUAUACUGUUGUUGAUAUUCAUCGGCAGAGGUUUUCACAUUCACUAACUGGCACUCAGUUUCUUGUAGCUGUUUCUCAAGUGAACACACCUUGCCACAUUUCAAUUGCUUCUUAGAAGUUUCCAGCUGAGCUUUAAGCUCAAACUCAUUUUGUCUUAAACCAACCACAUUGAACUGAGAAAGCUUGAGUCUAGCCAACAAUUCAUUUGAAAUUCCCUUUAGGAUCUCACGUGCAUUGUCUGCCUCAAACCAUCUUUCCCAAACUUCAGUUGCUUCUUCCUCCGUUUGAAUUACCUCGUCUUCCAAAGAAGCGAUCCUUUGUCUUAGCUUUUCUUCAAUUUUCUUUGAGUCGUUGAAAUUCUUCUCGAGAUCCAUUUCACUUGCCAAAGAUUUCUCAAGCAUCAUUAGAAUGUUUCUAUGUUGCUCAGUUGUUUGCAUGUUCAUCAUGUUGUUUACAUCCAAAUUUCUAUCACCCUCUUCGACACUUCCACCCUCUUCAACAUUACCUGUUGUCAUUGAAAAUCCCACAGAUAAAAAAGGACAAAAAAUAUUAAUUAGAAUUGAAUUCAUAUACACUAUGUAAAGAAUUUUUACACUGUCAGAUUAUUAAAAUCAGUUGACUUUAAUCAUAACCACUUCUAAAGUCACAUAUAUGAUUGGUUGUGAUUUAUUGACGGUGUAAUCAAAUUGAACCAAUCAAUUCAAUGUUCUUCACAACUUUUUCUUCCUUUUCUUUAUUCUUUCAUUUUAAAACCAAAAAUAGAAGAAUUCCAUUAAUGCAAAAAAGGCAUUCCUUAUUCCCAUUGCAUAAAUAUUCCACACACGAUAUUACGUGGAAAUUGAAGUGGACCCCACAUAAAAGAAUAUACCAUUUUCUAACGACUAAAUGAAAAAAAACAAUUGCUUCAAAAAAAAAUGAAAAAAACAAGAUCAUGAACACAAAAAAAAAAACAAGCAAAGCAAUCAAUGUUCAAAGUUCAAACAAAAACAAAAACUACAUAAAUAAAUAUCAAUCAUUAAUUAGAACCCGAAAACAAUAUCAAUCAUUAAGAUUUUCUACUUACCAUUCUCUUCCUUCUUAUAAGAAGACAAAGUCCUUUGAAAAUUAACAGAAUGUUGCUUAAUCUCAUAGAAAAGUUCCUCCGACAACGUCAAACUUUGUUCGAUCUCAACCAACCUAUCUUGCCAUUCGUCAAAAGACGAAACUUUUCCUUUAGCAUCAGAAAUCUCAGCACGAAGAGUAUCCGAAAACAAACCUAAAUCUCUAACUUCAGAAUCCAACACCCCACAUAACAAAUCAAACUCAAAACCCUUUGUAACACAACCUAUAUCAAUGUUUUCUUCAUCCAAAACUAAACCCUCUAAUUCACCUUCCAUAGUUUCUAAAUUCAUCACAAAAAUAUUCAAGUUUGAAACUUUCUCAGAGAAACAUGCUAUACCCAAUUCCAAAUUACCAAUAACUCCUCCAACAUCAACAUUAACAGUAUUAUCUUCAACACUUUGAGUAUUCAUUUUUCUAAUCUUAAAAAACUUCAACUAUUGUUGUUCAUGAACCUGGAACAAUUUCAACAAAAAUCAAAAUGCAACUAAAAAAGAUUAAAUAUUUAAGCUAUAAAGUGAGUAUAAUAUAGUGAAUCUCACACCAAAAAAAAAAAACCAAUUGAAAAAUUACAAAGAAAAAAUGAAGAUAUGAAUGAUUGAAUUGAAAGAACAAUUGAAUUUUGUUGUAAAACUGAAGGGAAUGGAACUAUACCAAUUGAAAAUUGAGGAAUUUGAAGAUGAUGAUUGGGUUGAUUUUGGAUCCGUUGGAUUGAUGAAUUUUCAGAUAACGGAAACGGUUGCGCCCUAACUGAAAAUUGAUUCAGAGACUUGCACUUCACUGUGAAACGCAGCGUUUUAGCUAGGAAGUGACAUGACAUGGAUAUUCUUAAUUCUUGUUUGGGUAAGGAUGUUAUUAUAUGUUUUUUUUUUUUUUACUUUUGCGAAAUUUGGUGGGAUGUAUUUUUAUAUUUAUAAAAAAAAAUAUUAUUUUUUUUUGACACUAGAGAAAAAAUAUAUUAUUAUUUGGAGAUUUUUUUUCAUGGAUCAAACUUAUAUAUAGUUUCAUAUAUACGGUUCUUAUUGUGCUAGAUAUAUGGGAGGAAGUUAUUUUUAUUUAAAAACAAUUUUCUUUUUCUUUUUUUAAUUAAAAAAUAUAANNNNNNNNNNNNNNNNNNNNNNNNNNNNNNNNNNNNNNNNNNNNNNNNNNNNNNNNNNNNNNNNNNNNNNNNNNNNNNNNNNNNNNNNNNNNNNNNNNNNNNNNNNNNNNNNNNNNNNNNNNNNNNNNNNNNNNNNNNNNNNNNNNNNNNNNNNNNNNNNNNNNNNNNNNNNNNNNNNNNNNNNNNNNNNNNNACUAGAGAAAAAAUAUAUUAUUAUUUGGGGAUUUUUUUUCAUGGAUCAAACUUAUAUAUAGUUUCAUAUAUACGGUUCUUAUUGUGCUAGAUAUAUGGGAGAAAGUUAUUUUUAUUUAAAAAUAAUUUUCUUUUUCUUUUUUUAAUUAAAAAAUAUAAAUAAUUACAUUUUUGUGAGAGGAACAGGAAAAACUGCAUCUGAAGAAAUGCAUAUAAGUUUUGUCUUUUUUUCAUGUCGUUGUUUUUUUCUUUCUUAAUGUAUUUAAAUAACAAAUAAAUCAUAUAAAUUCUAAACAAAUUCUAAAUAUUGUAAACUGAAAUAUAAAUCUUAAAUUAUAAUUCAUCUUAUCUACUUCCCUACUUCUAAUAUAUUAAAAUCGAUUACCACCAAAUUUUCUAAUUUAUUCUUAUUAGUUUUAACCACAUUGCAAAUUUUGUAGGAGUAUGAUUCAUAAUAUAAGAUAUCUUUGUUUUUUAGCAGCAAUUUUUUUUUAUUAACAAAUUCGCCAUAGCAUAAAUUUUUUUUUACAUAAGUUUGCAUAAUAGAAAGUUAGACACAGACAAAUAAUUAGUGAAAAGGAUCAAAGCAAUAUUUUUUUUAUUUUUUUUAGAAGCAGAAUCAAAGCAAUAUAUGUAUUUCUUUUUAUAAAACAUUAUAUAUGUAGUUUGUUAAGAGAUAUUAUCUAUAACAUGCUUCAAAAAAAAUAAAAGAUAUUAUAUUCUUGGUUCAUGCAAUGGGUUGUUGUGUCUGUUUGAUUAUGAUCAACGUUGUGUUAAAUUGUGGAACCCUUCUAUCAGAUAUGAAUCUAAAAAGUCUCCAAAGUAUGAUUUUUAUGAUAAUAACAAGGUGUUGAUCCUAUAUUUUGGCUUUGGCUAUGAUGAUGUUAAUGACAAGUACAAGGUGCUAAUGGUUGUGUCUCGCGUCGAUUUUAGUGAAAAAGUGACUAGAAUAUAUACUUUUGGUGGAAAUUCUUGGACAACUAUUAAGAAUUUCAAUUCCCCUUGUCUUCCUACUAAAUCCGAAGGAAUAUUUGUGAGUGGCACUCUAAAUUGGAUAAUAUUUAAAAGAGGUGUUAGUUCUAAAAAAUAUGUAAUUCUUUCCUUUGAUCUUGAGAAGGAGACUUAUAAUAAUAAGCUGUUGCUGCUGCCGGAUAAUGAUGGUGUCAAAAUUACCUCCACUCCUGUUCUUGGUGUUUUGAGUAACUGUCUUUGUGUGUUUUUUGAGUACUCCAACAAAACUCAUUGGGAUAUUUGGUUGAUGAAAAAUUAUGGAGUUGAUGAAUCCUGGACUAGAUUGGCGACGAUUCCAAUUAAGGAUCUAACCCUUAGUACACAUCACUGGCCUUGCUAUAUUGAACCUUUGUUCAUUUUUGGAAACAGUAUUGUUCUGUGUACAUCUACCAAAUUUGUCCUAUAUAACUUAGAUGAUGGAAGCUUGGAUGAUUGUCUUCCAGAAACCAAUGUUCAUUCUAAAAAAUAUAUUUACUAUGAGAGUCUUAUAUCACCACAAUUGUAAAGACUAAACACACAUAUUUGUGGAGGUGAGUCUUUCAGGUUUUGAUUAUGUGAAUUUUAUUGCAACUCUUGUUACUGGUUUGUACUUUAACUAGUUUGCUAUUUUUCUUGAAUAUGUAUUACGGUGUCUACUGAUUACAUAAGGUCUGCAUUUUUUAUAUAUUUUGCACUGUGUGGANNNNNNNNNNNNNNNNNNNNNNNNNNNNNNNNNNNNNNNNNNNNNNNNNNNNNNNNNNNNNNNNNNNNNNNNNNNNNNNNNNNNNNNNNNNNNNNNNNNNNNNNNNNNNNNNNNNNNNNNNNNNNNNNNNNNNNNNNNNNNNNNNNNNNNNNNNNNNNNNNNNNNNNNNNNNNNNNNNNNNNNNNNNNNNNNNNNNNNNNNNNNNNNNNNNNNNNNNNNNNNNNNNNNNNNNNNNNNNNNNNNNNNNNNNNNNNNNNNNNNNNNNNNNNNNNNNNNNNNNNNNNNNNNNNNNNNNNNNNNNNNNNNNNNNNNNNNNNNUGUAUGCACUUUGUAUUGCAUCCUAUCAUUGCUAGGACUGUCUGCUACUCUUUGUUUCUAGCACAGUGGAUACAAGCAACUGGGUUUAUAAAGUUUCCUAAAUUUUUCGCAUUUCAAAUUACCAUUUGUUAGAACGAAACAGUGUCAUUGUUCUCUUGCAAUUUUUCCGAUUUGGAUUUGGAUUUGGUGCUGUUGAAAAAGCACGCAGUUUCACGCUGUUGUGCAUCUCAGCUGUUCAUUCUUAAUCGGAUGUCUCAGAUUAAAUUCAAAUAAAGUAAUCAUCAAAUGAUCUCAUCCAUUAAUACUUGAUCGGACGACUGAGAUGCACAACAGCGUAAAACCGUGUGCUUUUUCAACAGUACCAAAUCCAAAUCCCACUUUUUCCAGCCCUCAACAAUUUAUGCAACUUCUUAGUACAAAACUCAUUCAAUUGGUUUUUUAAACAUAAUAUCUUGACAAUAUUUGUAUGAAGUUUCCACUACCAUUAGCGAUAACUAAUCUUCAUUAGGGAACCUGUGAGGCACACAAGGUGGGUUCUCCUUUAAGAGGCAACCGAAUUUUCUCUAUAUGUAUGUAUGAGUCAAAAAUUGAAACCACUGUUCACAAAUUUAAGAAGAUAAAAACCUUUGCUAUCAAAAAAUAAAAAGAAGAUCAAAACUCUUACCACAUAGACUAAUUCUUAUUUAACUAAUAUUUUUGUAUACUAGUGAGUUCAAUUAAAAUAUUCAAAGAAAUCUGACAUAAUGUUUUAUACAAAGAUUAAGAAAUAUAAUACUAUUUUGUCAAAAAAAUAAAUAAAUAAUGUUAAAAAAAUCGGACAAUUUUACUAUUAGUGUAUAUAAAAUACCCUUUGUAAUAUAAUAGAUUAGCAUUAGUUAAUCUGUCUUAGGUCAACUAAACAUUAGUUAGGACCUUCUUAUGCUAGUACAGUACUGCAUAUAUAAACAUGUAAUCACUCUUGUACAAACAGAAUGAAAAAUAGAAAGAUUGAAAGAAAAGUUUGUUACGAUGCCGUUAUGGUUUCUCUGAAAACUAACAUGGUAUCAGUUAGACCUUGAUCCAUGGCAGAAACUUCCACAUCACCGCUUUCACCUAUGGCUGACGCCGCCGCAAACGUUCUCAAUCCUCCACCGAUAACGGCGUUUCGCGAAGACAAUUCAUCGAAUCAGAUGAAUCUCACCUUCUCUCUCAAGAUCUCUGAGAAACUCAAUGAGAAAAAUUUCCACAUGUGGCGACAACAAGUCGAGCCGUUCAUCAACGCACACAAUCUUGAUGAUUUCCUCGUUUCACCGGUGAUUCCGCCGCGUUUUCUCACUGCCGACGAUCACAUCACCGCCACGUUGAAUCCUGAAUAUCGCAAGUGGCGACAGAAAGAUCAGAUGCUGAUGUCGUGGAUUCAAACGACGCUUUCUAGCGAAAUCCUUGCUCGCGUUCUUGGUAGCACACACACGUUCGAGCUAUGGAACAAGAUCCUAUCCUACUUUCAGAAACAGAUGCGAGCAAAAGCGCGUCAACUUCGUGUUGAGUUACGCUCCACAAAGCUUGAAGAUCGUUCCGUCAAAGAUUAUUUGCUUCGAAUUCGUCUCCUCAUCGAUAAUCUUGUUGCAAUCGGUGAUCCGGUACCUCUUAAUCAUCAUCUCGAUAUUAUCUUGGAGGGAUUACCCUCGGAUUUCAAUUCUGUGAUUUCUGUUAUAGAAAGUAAUUUUGACUCCAUGGAUAUGGAUGAGGCUGAAGCAUUACUUCUUGCUCAUGAGACUCAUUUAGAAAAGUCCAAGAAGAAGACUCUUGAUGAAGUAGCUUCUCUCAAUUUGGCUCAAGCUUCGACUUCGAAAUCUGUUCAAAAUACUGAUUCUGAAUCCACUCAACCCUCUGUCAAUUCCACCACUGGUCCAGAUCCCUCGAGUUUCAACUCAUAUCGUGGCAGAGGAGGCAGAAACAAUCGUGGCCGUGGCAGAGGAGGAGGAGGAGGACGCUACUCCAAUACUCAAUGCCAGAUCUGUUUCAAAACUGGUCACCCUGCUUCUGAGUGUUGGCACAGGAGUAACUUGCAGUAUCAACCACAAAUUCCUCCAAACUAUCAUGCUGGUUAUGGUCAAAAUCCACCUAGUUAUGGAUUCAUGCACUAUCCUGCACCACACUACAAUGGAUAUGGCAAUGGUUUUGGUGCUUCUUCAUCUGGUUUCAAUCCAUAUUUGCCUCGUUUUCCCUCUCCAAUGCGUCCCUCCACAUCUCAGGUAGCUCCACCUAAUGCCCUUAUUGCUAAUGCACCUUCUGUAAGUGGUUCAGGUACUUGGUAUCCAGACUCUGGGGCCUNNNNNNNNNNNNNNNNNNNNNNGAAUAUCCAAGAGCCCUCCUUCUUUGAUGGUGCAGACCAAGUCUACAUUGGAAACGGACAAGGUUUGCCCAUACACUCUACUGGUUCUAGUGUGUUUCCCUCACCUUUAUACCCUAACAUUAGUUUAAGCCUUAAUAAUUUGCUUCAUGUCCCUACAAUAACCAAAAACCUAAUAAGUGUGAGUCAAUUUGCUAAAGACAAUAGUGUUUAUUUUGAAUUCCAUGCUGAUCAAUGUGUUGUCAAAUCUCAGGCCACUAAUGAAGUCCUACUUAAAGGCAAUGUGGGCUCAGAUGGCUUAUACCAAUUCCCAAGUCUCAAUAUUCAAUCUGCUCCUCUCAUCACUACUUUACCUUUAUCCAAUAAAGCAUCUGCUUGUACUGUUGGUAAUAUAGCUAAUGUCUCUAGUAGCAUGCAUCAUUUAUCCAAUAAAACAUCUGUUUUUACUGUUAGUAAUACAACUAGUACUACUAAUAGCAUGCAUCCUUUAUCUUUCAGUUCUCAAUACUUGUGGCACUUAAGGUUAGGCCACCCAAAUGAGCAUGUUUUGAAACUUGUUUUAAAGCAGUGUAAUCUUUCCUUUAGCAAUAAAAAUAAAGACUCUUUCCAAUUUUGUACUGCGUGUUGUAUGGGCAAAGCUCAUAGACUACAUUCUCCCUCAUCACAUACCACUUAUACUAAACCUCUUGAACUUGUUUUCAGCGAUCUUUGGGGUCCUUCCCCUACUGUCUCCACCUUAGGGUACCACUAUUACAUUACUUUUGUUGAUGCAUAUUCCAGAUUCACUUGGAUUUACCUCCUUAAAUCUAAAUCUGAUGUAUUAACCAUUUUCAAACAGUUCAAAACAAUGGUUGAACUUCAAUUGGGUCACUCUCUUAAAUCUCUUCAAACUGACUAGGGGGGGGGGGGGGGAANNNNNNNNNNNNNNNNNNUACCUUACUGAUCUUGGCAUAACACAUCGCCUCAUUUGUCCUCACACUCAUCAUCAAAAUGGUGUCAUUGAAAGAAAACAUAGGCAUAUUGUUGAUUUAGGCCUCGCACUAUUAAGUCAAGCCUCUUUACCCCUCAAAUAUUGGGACCAUGCCUUUUUAGCCUCUGUUUAUCUCAUAAAUAGAUUACCAUCAUCAACACUUCAGUUUCAGGUUCCUUACACUGUGUUGUUUAAUACCGUUCCUGACUAUCAUUCUUUUAAAGUUUUCGGUUGUGCUUGCUUUCCACUUCUAAGACCCUAUAAUACACAUAAAUUUGAUUUUAGGUCCCAUGAGUGUAUAUUUUUGGGAUAUUCCUCAACCCACAAAGGUUAUAAAUGUCUUUCACCUUCUGGCCGUAUAUAUGUGUCUAAAGAUGUUCUCUUUAAUGAGUCCAAGUUCCCAUACACCUCUAUGUUUUGUGAGCAUUCAUCUCCCUUAAUGUCAAGUGUCAGAGAUGUACCCACCAAAAUAUUACCCAUUGAACCUUCAUCUUUCCCUAACCACAAUAUUACUCCUAUCAGUCCUGAUAACCCAAUCCCUACCACAUCUACCCUACUACCCUCUUCUGACACUUUACCCACCACUNNNNNNNNNNNNNNNNNCAAUCCACCACCUUCCCUAACCAUUUCAAAUAGCUUCAAUAACCCUCCUUUACAUCCUAACAAAACCACUGUCCCAUCUAACUGUCACAACAUGCAAACCAGAUCUAAAUCUGGUAUUUUUCUCCCUAAACAUCCUACACCGUUCUCCUAACACACAGUGAACCUAAGAGUGUCAAACAAGCUUUGCAGGAUCCUAAGUGGCUUACUGCAAUGCAGAGUGAGUUUGAUGCUUUACAACAGAACAACACAUGGUCUCUUGUUCCUUUGCCAGCCAACAGAAAAGCCAUUGGCUGCAAGUGGAUCUUUAGAAUAAAAGAAAAUCCAGAUGGCUCAAUUAAUAAGUACAAAGCUAGGCUUGUUGCAAAAGGAUUCCAUCAACUUCAAGGAUUUGACUUCACUGAGACUUUUUCUCCAGUGGUAAAACCCCUCACUAUCAGAUUGAUACUCACUCUUGCUAUCUCUUAUAAGUGGUCUUUGCAGCAACUGGAUGUAAACAAUGCGUUUCUCAAUGGUGUGCUUGAGGAAGAGGUUUAUAUGGAGCAGCCUCAAGGAUUUGAGAACAGUAAUCCCUCCAUGGUUUGCAAACUUAACAAGGCUUUAUAUGGACUGAAGCAAGCCCUAAGACAGUGGUUUGAUAAGUUAACAACUACUUUAGUUCGUUUUGGUUUUCAAACAAGUAAAUGUGAUCCUUCUCUAUUCAUUCUCAACAAAGACAAUCACAUUGUAUAUCUGCUAGUCUAUGUUGAUGAUAUAAUCAUCACUGGCAGCUCAUCACAGUUGGUCACCUCUUUGGUUCACAAGCUUAACUCUGUCUUCAGUCUAAAGCAAUUAGGCCUUUUGGAUUACUUUUUGGGUAUAGAAGUUAAGCAUUUGCCCAACUCUACUCUGCUGCUUACUCAAAGCAAAUAUAUCAGAGACCUCCUAACUAAGACAAAUAUGCUUGAGAGUAAUCCCAUCUCUACUCCUAUGAUGUCCACUUGUAAACUUUCAAAAGUUGGUUCAGAUAAAUUUCAUGAUCCAUCGUUAUAUAGAUCUGUGGUUGGUUCUCUUCAAUAUGCAACAAUCACAAGACCAGAAAUAGCUUACGCAGUCAAUAAAGUUUGUCAAUUUAUGUCUAAUCCUCUUGACUCUCACUGGACUGCUGUAAAGAGAAUACUUCGAUAUCUCAAAGGAACCCUACAUAUGGGUCUAAUACUGUAUCCCUUUGAUGUCCACAAACCUGUUUCUCUCAAAGUAUUUUGUGAUGCUGAUUGGGCAUCAGACCCUGAUGAUAGAAGAUCUACUUCUGGUGCUGCCAUCUUCUUUGGUACUUCCUUAGUCUCUUGGUGGUCUCGAAAGCAGCAAGUUGUUGCAAGAUCCAGCACUGAAGCUGAAUACAGGAGCCUAGCUCAGGCCACCGCAGAUGUUCAAUGGAUUCAAACAUUACUCAAGGAGCUCACUAUUCCAUUCUCUCAACCCAUCAUUUACUGUGAUAAUCAGUCUGCUGUACUUUUAGCUCAUAAUCCCAUUCUUCACACUAGGACCAAGCAUAUGGAAAUUGAUUUGUUUUUUGUCAGAGAAAAAGUUGCAGCCAAGCAGCUUACCAUUGUGCACAUUCCUGGGACUGAACAAUGUGCAGAUAUUCUCACCAAACCAGUGUCUACAACAAAGUUUCUGCUUAUGAGAGACAAGCUCAAUGUGCAACCUUGUCAACCACAUUGAGCUUGGGGGGAAUAUUAGUGUAUAUAAAAUACCCUUUGUAAUAUAAUAGAUUAGCAUUAGUUAAUCUGUCUUAGGUCAACUAAACAUUAGUUAGGACCUUCUUAUGCUAGUACAGUACUGCAUAUAUAAACAUGUAAUCACUCUUGUACAAACAGAAUGAAAAAUAGAAAGAUUGAAAGAAAAGUUUGUUACGAUGCCGUGAUGGUUUCUCUGAAAACUAACAUUUACUAAAUUAACAUUAUUUACUAUUGAAGUAAUGUAUUAGAAACAGUGUACAUUAAUUCAAUUAAUUGAAGGGUACAAUUGAAAUAAAAUAAUAAUUCUAAAUGUUUUUUUAUAAGCAAAAUUUAAAUUAUAAGGAAUAUAAGGGGUACUCAACCCUUAUAAUUCACGGACUAUCGCCUCACAUACAUUGUAAACAGGCUAAAAGAUUAUUACACCAAUUUGAGAAAAUCAAAUUUCAAUUGUUCCCGAAUGGCCAAUAAACCAAUACCAUGAAAAGUAAAUAAUUUGCUCGUUAAAGAAUCAAUAUCUAUACAAGCACCUCUAAAUAAUAUGUUGUUGCGCGCCAAAUGCUCCACGGUGUCCAAAUUGAGUAUUUACUAUACGGGGUAGUGCAAAAUAGUGUUUUACAAGUAGUGUGAAGCUGGAAGGGGGUACGCGGUGGAAAGAUGUGCGGGCAGUGGCUUGUCAUUGCCUUUAGUUUUGGAGAAAUAAGGAAAAGAGCACCACAACCAUUUUAUUUGCCCUCUAUAUAUAUGUAUAGCAUGUUAUUAUGCAGAGUCCGGGAAUAUCAAAUCAGCCAUGCCCCUAGUAAUAUAGUACAGCAGGUUUAGAGGAGUGAAUAGUCUUGUUUGGUGAAGCCCCCCCGGAAGGAGAGUGGGUGAGAUUAAAUACUGACGGAGCUUGCAAGGAUGGUUAGAGAGCUGGGUGUGGUGGUCUUUUGCGUGAUAAGCAUCGUGGUUGGUUGGGUGCUUUUGCUAAAUAUAUUGAUAAAUGUCGUGCUUUUGUGGCAGAGUUGUAGUGGUGGAAGGCUUGAAUUUUGUUGGACAAAAGAAUUUUGGAAGGNNNNNNNNNNNNNNNNNNNNNNNNNNNNNNNNNNNNNNNNNNNNNNNNNNNNNNNNNNNNNNNNNNNNNNNNNNNNNNNNNNNNNNNNNNNNNNNNNNNNNNNNNNNNNNNNNNNNNNNNNNNNNNNNNNNNNNNNNNNNNNNNNNNNNNNNNNNNNNNNNNNNNNNNNNNNNNNNNNNNNNNNNNNNNNNNNNNNNNNNNNNNNNNNNNNNNNNNNNNNNNNNNNNNNNNNNNNNNNNNNNNNNNNNNNNNNNNNNNNNNNNNNNNNNNNNNNNNNNNNNNNNNNNNNNNNNNNNNNNNNNNNNNNNNNNNNNNNNNNNNNNNNNNNNNNNNNNNNNNNNNNNNNNNNNNNNNNNNNNNNNNNNNNNNNNNNNNNNNNNNNNNNNNNNNNNNNNNNNNNNNNNNNNNNNNNNNNNNNNNNNNNNNNNNNNNNNNNNNNNNNNNNNNNNNNNNNNNNNNNNNNNNNNNNNNNNNNNNNNNNNNNNNNNNNNNNNNNNNNNNNNNNNNNNNNNNNNNNNNNNNNNNNNNNNNNNNNNNNNNNNNNNNNNNNNNNNNNNNNNNNNNNNNNNNNNNNNNNNNNNNNNNNNNNNNNNNNNNNNNNNNNNNNNNNNNNNNNNNNNNNNNNNNNNNNNNNNNNNNNNNNNNNNNNNNNNNNNNNNNNNNNNNNNNNNNNNNNNNNNNNNNNNNNNNNNNNNUACCUUUGAAGGGCUUAAAUUUGUAUGUAUCUUUAUAUAGUCUUACACUAUUAUACUAACAAAUAUAGCACCUAGUCAGUGUCCCAAUUGAUUAUCAAAAAAACUAUGGUCAAUUUAGAAUCAAUGUCAAUCUAGAUUCAAAAAAGCAUGGAACAUAACUAUGGCAUAAACAACAUGGUACUUCAAGAAGAAAACAACAUAUAUGGAUGACUAUUUAAAAAUACCUGCAUGUGAGUUCUGAGAAGUUCAAUAGGAUAACAAGUUGCACAAGCAAGUGAGCGUGCCAACGAACCAGCCAUAAAGGUACAUAUGGAGAUGCGGUUGGAGCACUUUUGCUUGUGUCUUCCUCGAACCAGUUGCAGAAUAUGUCACAGCAAGGAAGGUAAAUUUCAACCUGAUUUAAGCAUACAAAAGAAUAGGUCAGCCAAUUACCAUGCUCUCAUUAUGCAGUAUCCAGUACUUAAUACAGUGAAUCACAGUUAAUUGACUNNNNNNNNNNNNNNNNNNNNNNNNNNNNNNNNNNNNNNNNGUCAAUACUGCAAGAGCCAGGCCUGCAUUUGUGCCUCUCCAUAGCCUAGUAAAUCCUUCCAUAAAUAAAUACCACUCUUGCAUUGAUUAACUAAUGUGUGUAGUCAAGACAAAUGUAUGUAAUGCAAGUAAAUAAUUGUUGCAAUCCGUCCAAUACAUAUACCUAUAUAUUCUAUAAUAUUAAACUACCAACCUGUUGUAUAAUUUUAAACAUGAUAUCUAGUGUUCAUUUGUACGGAAAACAAUCGGGAGGACAAAGUGAUACAGUGCCAUGGAGAACAUCUUAAAUCAGCUAACAUUUGGAAAACAAUAUUGGAAAGGUAAAAUUAAUUUCACUUGCACAAUUAUCCUUGUUAAAAAAAAACGGGAUUUCAACUAUGGAUAUAUCUACAUCAAUAGCUAUACUAAUGAUAUAUAUGUAGCCAUGGAAUAUUUUAAUUUUUGUGCUUGUGAAUUGGUUCAAAAUUAAAAUCAUUUUUUAGAGUCAAAGCAUGUUUGUUUUUUAGAGCAAAGACAAAAAUUAAUCAUGACAAUCUACUAGGUUGAGUUGUGUAACAAACGAGUUCGUAAUUAUAAUCUCUAAUUGUGACUGAAAUGGGUUGAAAUGCAUUAAAAAUCAAAGUAGGAAACAAAAACCAGAAUUAAAAAAGAUAGGCACAAAAUUAGAAUUGCAANNNNNNNNNNNNNNNNNNNNNNNNNNNNNNNNNNNNNNNNNNNNNNNNNNNNNNAGUGUGAAUGAAAUGAAAUCAGACACCAGAAAAAAAACUAGAAACUACAAUUGUGAACUCGGUGCAAAACGAAAUCAACAUGAAAUUAGAAAUAAACUUAUGGAGCUUAUGCUAGAACUUCUUUCGCAGUUUCUCCUUUAACUUCUUUCAAAUUUUUAAAAUGGUACAAUCCCUUAAAAAGAUAUCAAUUCUUACAAUGAAUUCAAACAGAUUGAGAAUCAAAUCUCACUAAUUACUACCUUUACAAAUUGAUUAAAGGCUCAUAAUAAAAGUGAGAAAUUAUUGUAGUAUAAAUUAGACAUGACAAGACAACACCUCUUUCAUGCUAGACAUGAGAAAAAUAAAAACAAACACCGGAGUAUAGUAUUACAAAUCACAGAUAUAAAAAGCCAAAUUAAAAAAUACCACCAUGGAAAGCUUUAAUUCAAGAUCAAAUCAACCAUUCUCUUAUGUUCUAGCAUAAUAUAACAUUAACAAUAUAGGGAAAAAAAACACCAAUAAACAAUCAGAAAAUUAAAAAUGGACAAUUUCUGGUGACCAUAAAAGAAGACAAGUUAUUAAUUAUUUCGGUCGCUAAAUCGGUCUCUAAAAGCGAAUUUUCUAGUAGUGGGAUUUGUGGUGUAUUGGGUUACUUGCUAAUCAAGCAGAUUAAGCGCCUCUCCUAAGUCUUGAUUGAGAUGUUAAAGUUUGUCAUUCUUAUCGUGAAACAAAUGUGUGCAGGUAAAUUUGCAAAUAUGAGAUGUUUAUUAAGCAGUGAAAUUAUGAUUUUUGAGGAAUGUCCGAUUCAAAUUUGACAUUUGUUUACUUCUAAUACUAUGGAAUAUUCCAUGCAUCGCUUGAUCCUUUUGUAGUUUUUUUUUUUUGACAAUGUGCUCUAGGGGGGGUGGUGAGUUUUGACAAUGUGCUCUAUGCAAUAAAAAUAUAUAUAAAGAAUUUACAAAAUGAAGUUAUGAAGAAGAGAAAGUGAAAAGAGAAAGAAAAUGAGUAACAUCUAGAGUAACACAUUACACUAUAAAUAAAUCGACUAUCCAUAUUAUUGGGGAAAUUAAAGAUUAAGUUUUGUUAAAAGGUUUGGUAACAUAGUAGCUGAUCAAUUGGGUUGGACUAGCUUAGUUGAGCACAAUUCAAAUUGGCUUUUUACACCUCCCCCUUGUAUUGUUUCCCAAUUUCUUUUGGAUUUGGACCUUUUUAAAUCUUAAUGACUUUCUUCUUAUUCAAAAAAGACCCCACGAAGAAGAACAUCAUUUUUUUAAAGUAGAACGUGAAGAUCAUUGUAUUGACUAACGCUAACAUAUAAUGAUUGAUCUUACUAAUUAUUUUGAGAAUAUGAACAACAGAAUAGUAUCUGACUAUUUAAUUGGAAACAAACAAACAUACCACGCAAGUGCUUACUUUUAAAAAUAUAUGACUAAUUAUUAAUUAGCAUUAUUUUAAGGAAGUUUAAUUGCAACCACAAGUUUAUGAUUAAAAUAUUUGAUAUCACGGUUCACCACAUAUCUUAGGUGUAGUAAUAUGAUAUGGUAAACCAAAAAAUUGAGUGUUAUUGGAGGGUCUUUUAGUGUUAAGAUAUCUCAGCAAUGCUGACUAACAUUGCAACAUAUAUUUUCAAGAUUUUUUUCAUUGAAAAUUAAUUUAAAUUUUGAUGUUUUUCAGAGACAAAUGAUUGUGUUUAAUUUACUAGAGAAAGAAAAUUUUGUUUUCAAUGAAUAUUUAAUAUUAUUUUUUUAAAUGGCAAAUGUUAAUUGUUAAAUUCAUUCUUUUUUCUUUCUAUUUUUUCUGGAAUUAAACUUGAGAUCUCAAACUCAUUUUAACUAUUAGUUCAAAUCAGUUGAGUAAUUCCAUUGAACAAACAGUGAUUUAAUCUUGAAUGUCCUAAUGGCGGAACAUGUAAGGGUUAGGGUUAUAGGGUGAUCAUUUUAUGUUUCUUUGUUAACCGCAAGUAGUUAACUAUUUCAAAACCUAGUCAAAAUAGAAGAACUCAACUUGUGUGUGUGUGACAAAUUCUUAUGCGAAGAUUAAGAAUUGAAAUUGACUUGCUGUAAAGUUUCACGCAGUUUGGCAUUGUACUUAAUUUCAUUCAUUAAACUGAAAUCAGAUGAUUUGAGUUGCACAUCAACUUUAACACAUUUAUACAAUCUCGGCGUUUAAUUGAAAUCGAACGACUGCACAUGUAGUAUCUCAAAGAUUAUUGUUACUUAACACGUAACAAAUAUAGUCAAUGACAUAUAUGUUGAGUUUUGAAAUGGCACGCCUUUGUGACAUUUUCAUACUUUGUGGUGAGAAAGUUUUAAAUGGUCAUUUGAUAUAAUAUUAAAAUAUAUCAAGUAAUGACACUAACAAAAAUAAAAAUUAACCCUGUAUAAGAGACAGUGAAAAUAUAUUUAAAAAAAUUUGUGGAGAAGAAUGACCAACAUUUCACAAUCAAGUUCAUAAUCAUGAACAUGAAUUAUGCUUUUUUACCAAACAACUUGAAUUGGCUCGUGAAUGACGAUGAUUCAUAUAAGUUAAAGUUGUUAUAAUUGGAUAGUUUAUUUAUUGGUUCACGUUGAAGUUGAACCUAUUACAACAAUAUAGAUGACACAUUAUUAAUAUUAAUAUUUUAAAGUAUUCUACCAGUACUAUAGGUACUUGAUUUGUGUGGCUGCUAAUUCGAAUUGGUAUGUGUUGUUAACUUAGGAUUGGCUAUUUGUUUGGCUAAUUAGUAAUUACUGUUUUUACUGACAUUAAUCGUGAAGAAAUUAAAGCUUUAAAUUUUUUAUUUUUUUAAGCUUAAUUUUGUAAUUUUUUUCUAAGCAGUUAGUUUAUCGAUUAGAUUUACACAUUAUAAAUGUAAAAAGGUAAAAAAAUUUAAGUUUGAAUAUAUUCAGACAACAUAUGUGUUUUUUAAAAAAUUACCUUUUGUUUUUCUUAAAAAAAAACUAAUACUUUUUUUUGUCAAAUAGUGUAGAGUCUGAGAUUUAAACUUAUCAACAGAGUUAAGCUCACAACAAUGAAUUGGUCCAAGUGGUAAGGGCUUUGGUCCCCUUAAGCAUGUGGUCAGAGGUUUGAUUCCUGGCUCAUGCGUAUGGAGAGAAUUUAGUUGGGAAGGGAGAACCCACCUUGUAUGCCCCACAGGUUCCCCGACGAAGAUUAAUCAUCGCUAUCGGCGGUGGAAACUUCGUACCAAUAUCAUGAUAACCAAAAAAAAAAAUUCCCAAGAUCUCAUAUUUUUUAUAUUCACUUCUUAUAUUGCUAUUUAAUUUUUGUUUUGGUACAUAAGCAACUUAGGAAUCUAAUCUAAAAGUGUGUUUGCAUGAGCUAAUUUGAAAUUCUAAUUUAGAAAACCAAAAUUUUAAAUAAUUAUAUGUAGACAUCGAAAGUUUACAUUUUUUUUAAAUACUAUAUAUACAUUUGUUAUCUCUGUUAAUUAUAAUUAUGAAUAUUAUAAAGAGUUGAAUGCAAAAUUACAUGAGAUAGAUAAUUAAAUGAUUGUUUAGUCCCUUAUAUAAAGAGAAAUAUUUUUGUUGAUCUUAAAAAUGAGAGCAAGAGAAAGCAUUGUCGCUUUUUUUAUUUAACUGAGAAAGCAUUGGCACUUAUAAUGUUUAACAAUUCAUCCUAAAAUGUUAUUUUGAGUAUAAUAGAUACAACAAUGAAUAAGGCCUCGUUUGGAUUAUUUUAUUUUUGAGUUUAUACAAACAGUGUAUGUAAUAUAAAUUAGAUUUUAUGUUAUUUUAUAAGUUCACACUAAUGAAAAUUGCAUUUUUAUAAUCUAUAUUUAAUCAUAAACUACCUUGACAAACUUAUAAUAAUACAUAAAAAUUGCAUAAACUUAAAAAUAAGAUAAUCUAAACAAGACCUAAGUCUUAUAAAAAUUUGGUAGUAAUUUAAAAAAUAUAAUAUUUUGUUUCAAAAAGCAAAAACUACAAUUUUCAUAGGCUUUGAUAACAAUUAUUAUUUUNNNNNNNNNNNNNNNNNNNNNNNNNNNNNNNNNNNNCGUCACAUUUGUGUCUUGUCAUCCAAAUUAAUGUGAAAUAAUUUCAAUCGAUUUUUGAAGAUAUGGUCAAAUAAUACUAGUAGUUUUGUUGUAAACUAUAACAUAUACUAGUAUAAUAAUAUAUUAAAAAUCAUUGUGGAAGGAUUAUGUGCGAAACAUAUGAAAUAUAGUAAAAAUAAAUAAGAUUAAAUAUUUAAACUAAUAAAUAAUUUUAAAAGGCUUGAUAUUUUUUUUACAAAAAAAAAUUGACAUUGUAAACUCUAAUAUCGGUGUCAAUUAAGAGAGAGAUGAAAAUGAGCUUUGACUUCGUCUUCUCUACUCAACAGUGACGUUCAAUAGAAACAUGUUACGAAAUUUUUCAAUAUUAAUUUUAAGUCAUCAAUGUCAACCAUGUCUUUUCGUGACAACCUUAGUUUCAACGUGAUCCUUCAAAGCUUGUGAAAAGGAAGACAUGAUUGCCAAAAAACUAGUUCGAUUAAUAGAAUAUAUGAAAACGACAGCCGACUCCUUACAAAAAAAUUUCAUGACACCAAAGUUUUUCAAGAUAUGUGCACUCUUUUGAAAGAUACCUAGACCACAUAUUGCAAGACCCAUAAGAAAUGAGGUUGAUCCUAAGUGCCUCUGAAUAAAAUACACGACUGAACCAAGACGUUUAGUUGAAAUUAUGUUAAAAAUGGAGCGAGUAGGCCACGUGUGAUGAUUAAAAAAGUUACCUCUCAAAAUAAGUGGUGAGAAAGAGGAAAAUCAAGCCAGGAAACAAGUAGAUGAUCAACAGAGUAAUACAUAUCCUGAUAUGCGUAUUGUUGACUCUUUAAGUGAUACAGAGAUAAAGAAUGAGUAUAAUCGAGAAUAUAGAGGUAGAAUCCUCAUGCAUGUAAUGUGAGGAGCUUUUUAUUUUUCUUUCACCGGCCAUUAAAAGAAAUCCUCAAAUCCAAUAGUAUGAAUUAGACCAAAAAUUCAAAUUAAGAUCGUAUAAGAGUCUUGUCUUCAUGAUUUAUUAGACCACCUGUUAUCAUAUUUUUGUUAUCGAAACACCCAUCAAACUCAAUAGUUUUGGGUGUGAUAAAUGAGUGUGUUAAAAGACUCACAUUUAAUAAUAAAAAGAUGACUUAAAAAUAUGUUUCUAAAUAUUAAAUAUUAUUGAAUUGUAUGUAUGAUAUAUAUUGAAGGUUUAAUGGGUUCUAUGACUCUAUCUUUGAAUUUUUCUCAUAUUCCUCUUUUUCUUCUUAAUGAAUAUUUCAUUACUUUUAAGUUUUCAGAUGAUGAACGGCCCCUAAGUUAGACUUGUGCAUUCUUUGAUUUCUAUAUUGUUUCUGAAAAGGGAAUUAAUGUGAAUAAUUUACUCAAGAUUUGAUUAUUGAAUCGCUCUAAGCAUGCAUGUCGUUUGCAUUAAAGUAUAGCAUUAUAUCGACUUGUUAGAUAGAUAGACCAGAUGAGGGAAUGGCUUCCCAAUAUAUUCCUGUCAACCCUUAUCUUAUUCGGAAUCGGAUAGGAACAGGAGUAAAGAAGGAUGUUAUUGGCAUGCCCUAUACGUAAGUUCUAAUCUAUAUAGUAUAUUUUUUUCACAUAUAUAUAAUAUAAGUUAUAGUUCUAUAGACUAUAGUAGUAUAUAGCAUAAAUAUAUGUUUACAUAUUCUUUAUUUUAUCCAUCCUUAAUUAUUUUAUUUUAUCCAUUAUUUUAUUUCAAUUUAUGCUUUGAUAUAGUUUACAAUGAAGGAAGUCAUGCGGUGGUUUUAUUUUGAGGAAUGUUUAAUUUUAUUACUAGAUUUCAAGUUUAUUAUUUGAAAUGUCUACUUAUUGGACCAAAUACAAGAACAAGAUGACAAAGAAGAAGCAGGAGAAGCAUCAUCAAGAGAAGUGCUGAAUUUUUAUUCGAAUGAAGAGGCUUAACGUAAAUUCCCUAUAUUAAUUAAUAUCAAGGAAUAAUUAAAACCGUAAAUUAUUGACGGUUAGGGCAGAGAUUGUGUGGAGGGAUAGUGUAUCGGCGCGUAUAAAAAUAGAAAGAAAAAAUAUAGAGACGGUAAAUGGUAAAUUAAAAUGAGGGUAAAAUAUGAAAAAUAUUUCAACAAUCAACUAUUUUGGUAGGAUGUAACCAAGAAAACUAUUUUGGUAAGACAACUUUAUGCUAAAAAAAAUUUAAAAUGAACGAAAUGAGUACUGAUUGGUUAAGAUGGUAGACACCACCAUCAUGAUUUCUAGUUGUAUAUUAACAAAUUGAUAAGCCUAUCAUCCCCGAUCUCUUGUUGUUUUGUGAUCAUAAGCAGUAAUGUUAGAUAACAUUGACGGUCUUCUUUACCUUGUCAUCUUUUAUUAGAGUUUAAGAUCGGCUUAUAGUUUUUUUUUUCUUUCUUUUUCCAAGUCUUAUUUACUCUUCUUCUUUUUAAUUUAUAUUGUUGUAAUGAUUAUUGUUUACUUAGAAAAAAUACAUUGACAAUGUUUCUUUUUGCCUCUCUGAUAUUAUUCGAGCAGUAGAUAGUCCUAUUGAGUUGAAUGUCAUCAAAUAUAUUUCUCCCAAUGAGGUUCAUUUAUCAUUUAUCAUCAAAUAUGUUUCUUUGUAUCGUACUUUAAUUUGUUUGUAAACUUGGUGUACCAUACUAUUAUUAGACUUGAUAUUGCUUAUGAUGUGCAUGUCAUUAGUCAAUUUGUUGAUUCUCCCACUACAGUACAUUGGGUAGUCGUACUUCAUAAUUUAUGUCAUCUUCGGGGAACUUAGUUUCAUCAUAUUCUUUUGAGUCACGUGCUUACUCACGAGCUAGUGACCCUACUGACCAUAUAAGUCUAGGUCACGAGGUUUUGUAUCUUUCUUGAAGAUUCUCUCAUCUCUUAGAAGAGUAAAAAUUGGACACACUCUCUCCCAACAAAUUGUUGAUUUGUUCAUGAAAAUUUCAUUAAGUGUUUUUGUUACUUGAUUAACAAACUUUCCAUGUUUUAUUGUAUAAGUAAGGGUAGUUUCGUCUUUUCUAAUAUAUAUUCUAUUAUAACUUCUUCUAUUUUUUAGUAAAACGUAUUUAUAGCAUUUCAUUAAUCAAAAUGCAUGUGUUCAAUAUAAUAAGGUAUUUCAAUUAAUAUUUUAAAAUUAGUUAUGCAUGUGAUCGCCUCAGUUAAACUAUAAACAACCCUAUUAUUUAUCGUCUACAUUAAAGUUGUUAUAAUAAGAAAAAAAGAGUAGUCUACAUUGUGAAACUAUUUCUCUCAUUUUAGUAUCUUCACCCUUAACUUUGUUAUUCAUACUAGCGGGCUAGGUAGGUGCGUUCCGCAUCUGCCUGUGUCUAACUCCUGCCCAAACAAAGAUAUGACUUAUGUUCCGCAUCUGUCUGUUUAUUAAUAAAAUAUUUUUGCUACUAAAAAAAAUGUGUCUUAUAUUAUGGUGAGUUUGUUAAUAAAAGAUUUUUGUUGCUAUUAAAAAAAUCAAGGGUAUUGUUGGUAUUAUGAAAAGUCCACACCAAAACUCAUGUAUCCUCUUUAUAUAUAGUAUAGAAGAUAUAUUCAAUUAAAACCCUAUAUCUCCUUUUUCUCUUCUGUAAAAAAAAAUUUAUAUCUAUGUAACAAAUAAACAAAAGUAUUAUUGACAAACCAAUAUCUAAUAUUGCAUUAUCGUCUAAAAAAUAAUUAAAAUUGCAUUGAACUUUUUUUUUAAAAAAAUAGGACCUUUAAGAAAAACAAAUAAAUAGUUUUUUUUUUCAAAUGGAACAAACAAAAAGAAUGGAGGGAGUAUAUUUUGUUGAGAGUUAAUUCAUAUUACCUAAUGCUUGUCUAAUUGUGUUACUUGUGUACUAAGAUAGAAGUUUGUCUACUUUCUGUUUUGGUUGUUAUGACGGUUAGGAGUUAGUUAGUGAUGCAGUUACUUGUUUCUCAAGUAACAUAGCAUAUAGGAAGAUAAAUAAGUAUUGUAUUGUGACUUUGUUAACGUGUGUGUGAUCAAUAGAAUACUCUCUUUCAUUUCUCUUCAUCUUCUCCAAUUUUUAUUAGGAAAAUGUUAAAUAGUGCACCCGGUGCAUUGGUUAAGCAUCCUAAAAAUGAAAUUUUGUUUUGAAAUUUGUGCAUUCAAUGCAUUGAAAGUGUAAAAAGUUGUUUUUAUCCACAUUAAUUUUAUGUUUUAUUUCUAUUUUUGGUAUGCUUAACUAGUGCACCAGGUGCACUGUUUAACAUGACCCUUUUUAUUAUUCCAUAGAUUUUACAAAGUGUGUGUGGUAACUGUGUUAGAUGCGCCUUGAGCCUAAAUACAGUGCGUGUGGGCGCGCGCAAUUGUGAUCAUUGUGUGAUUCUGUCGCAAUGUAUUUAUUUUUCAUGUUUGUUUAUUUUCAAAGAAAAAAUCGACCUCGUGAACCAAAACUACAAUGGAGAAAAUUGUUGAAAAAUAUUACCUCUAUAUAUUCGCAAUAAUCUUUUAUAAAUAAUCGCUUAUCUUUUAUAUCAAGAAAUAAAUAUUAAAAAAGCAUUUUAUUUAUAUAAUGUACUUUCAGACAAAAGAAAUAAUAAUCCAUGUUCUAUGGUGGUACUUUGAAUUGAACGUAUCAUUUUCUCAAAUUAUAAGAUUUUUUGUCGUGUCACAUUAGAUCACAAAAUAUCUGUACUUUUGUUCACCUUUUGUAGGACACUUCGCAAUGCAAAUUGCAUCUACAUGCAAGUUGGAAUAUUCAACUUAUAAUAAAGUUUUUUUUUUCCUAUUAAAACCAAUAAAAAUUAAAAAGUGACUUAGUUUUGUGGCUUCCUUUAAAACACAAUCGAAACUGUACCUCUCAGAUCACACGUGACAUCAGGACCGACCCUUCCCUAUUUUGCGUUGUACAGAAAACUGAAAAUAACAAUACAAAAAUAAAUAAAUAAAUAAAUAAAUACAACAAUACAGCAGUAUUCAAUUAUUAAAAUGUUGAUUCAAUGAUUCAUCCUAUUUUGCUUACAUUCUACUGAAUGGAACAAAGGUUUAAAAAAACUUUGAAAAUGCUGGGAAAAUAGUACAAAUAUUUUAUAUGCAAGAUAGUUGUUUAUUACCGCAUUUAAUAUUUUGCUUAUAUAAUUGAGAAAACAAAUAUAUCAUUUUUUUUUUUUACUCUAAUGAUGUCAAAUUUAAAUGUCUAUAGCAUAUUGUAUCUGAUGAUUACUAGUGGCAAAGUCUAUGGUGCACAAGUGACUUAAGUUGUGCACUAUGCACAAGUCACCGAAAACACUAUAACGAAUACGAAUUUUACAAAAUUCACCGUUGGAUAGAAAGUUUAUAUCGUAUAGAUCAUCCAUAAAUUUUUUAAGAAAAAUUAAAAAUCAUUUGAUAUGUUAUUGAGACCCGUCAAAAUUAACGAUUUAUGGAUUUUUAUUCAAUACCGUUAAUUUUGACGGGUCUCAAUAACAUAUCAAAUAAUUUUCAAAAAAAUUUAAAAAAUUUAUGGAUGAUCUAAACAAUAUAAACUUUAUAUUCAACGGUGAAUUUUGUAAAAUUUGUAUUUGUUAUAAAAAUAUCGAACACUUGUGUACCAUGCACCACUUAAUCAAGUGGUGCAUGUUAGACAAAGCCGAUUACUAGUAGAAAAAUGAUAACUAGUGUCAUCGAUAUACUUAGUUAUGAAGCCUAAUAUAGUAAAAUGGUCUUUAAAUUUGUGUAUUUCUUUUUCUUAAAAUAUAGAAAAUGUUUUUUUUUAUUUAUUUAUAAUGAGCUAUAGAUCGAACUCAGGACCUAUAACGUACUACCAAAACCCCUCACUAUUAGACCAAACUUAGUGGCUUAUAUAAAACUUUCAUAAUUUUAAUAAUAGAUAAUUAAAGAUAUUAGUGAUCAAAAUCGUACAUUGACAUAUAUGUAGUGGUCAAAAAUGACAUUUAAAAAGGAAAGAAGUGAGUACAUGUUUGUUAUUUUUCUCAAGAUCCAUUUAAAUAUUCCAUUUUUUUAAUUGAAAAAUGAUAUUUAUCACCGACUAAAAAAUAUUUACGUGGAAUCUCUGGUGCAUUCGUAACAAAUUAGUGUUUGAUGGUGUAAUGUAUCUAGUGUUGAAGGAACUGUUGAGACUACAUCAAACACUAAUUUGUUACAAUAACGCAUGAAUAUCUCAUCUCUCUUUAUUUUAUUUUAUUUUUGAUAAUCUCUCUUUAUUCUUUCUAACCGAUGUCGUAAAAAUGUCCUUAAUUAAUGAGGAUGAAACUUUUAGUUUUCCUAUAUUUUUUCUUCAUGUAAUGUAACAAAAAAAAAACGAAUUAUGGGUCCACUACUUCAUCUUUCUAUAUUGUCAAUGCCGUUUUUCUUUGUUAUAUGUUUUUAAAUGGCAAAUAUGAAAUUGCUAAAAAAAUAAAAAAUCCUUUAAAGACAAAUUGGAUAAAAAUAUUCUAUACUUAUUUUACCAUGCAUGGACAUUCAUAAUUAAGCUCACCCAAUGACAAUAGGCUUAGUUGGAUUGGAUUAUGCCUAAUCUUGAUAUAAACAAGUAUUUCUAUAUAUAGAUGCGCAUAAAUAUAUUAAAUCCCUAAUUAAUUAAAGCUUAUUUGUCAAUCUAAAUUAAACAAACACUAUCUAAAACGAUAAAUCAAGCGAGCACCACAUCAAGACAAAAACAAAAUCAAUAAUGCUGCACUAAAUUAUUUUUGUUUUGGCAUCUCAAAACUCAACUUUUAUUCCAUGCUUUUUGUUUAUGUUGAAUUAACGUUAAUCAGAUUAUCGUUUCAAGCAUAAAACACUAUUGUGAUUCACAGGGCCGGCCCUAUGGGUGUGCAAAGUGUGCCACCGCGCAGGGCCUCAAACAUUUAGGGGCCUUAAAUUGUUUAUAUCGGUUUAUUAGAAAAUUUAUAUAUGUAAAAAAAAUAAUGACUUUGUUACUACUAAAAAUAUUUGAGUACUAAAAAAAAGAAAAUUUAAUAGACACACUCUUAAUUUUAUAAGUAACUUGUGGUUGAUUGUAAAAUAAGAAACUAACAUUUCAUGAAAGUUUUUUUUCCCGAAGGAACCGUAAGUUGAUAAUGAUAUUAGAUUGGAGAUAUAUUUUAAUGUUGUUGAUUAAAAUAUGUCGCUUUUAGAUGUUAUUUACUAUUCAAAUAGAUAAUAACAUUUGGAAAAAAAAAUAUUUUUUAUUAAAGAUCUAUUUUUAAAUUUCAAACAGGACCUCCAAAUACUCGGGACCGGCCCUGGUGAUUCACGAACUUCUACGUUUAAAAAUGUUUAAUGGAAUAUUUUUUAAAUAUUGAAUAAUUUUUAUAAUCAUUUAAUAUAAUAAUGUAUUAUUAUUUCUUAUAAAAAAACUAAUAAAUUAUUAGUUUUUUCAUAAGAAAUAAUAAUACAUUAUUAGCAAUAAUGUAUUAUUUUCACACAAAUAAGAUUGAAUCUAAAUUUAACAAAAUGAAUUAUACUUUUACAACUUGACGAAUCAAAGUUCAAAUUAAAAAAAAAAAUCGUCUCAUAUUUUAUCUUAUAGGCAUUGAACAUGAAUUACUUCUUAUGGCAAAAAAAAUAAAAUUCCCUCCAAUAUGAAUAUAUCUAUAUAGUAUAUAUUCAUAUUACUAGUUUUAUUUUGAGCAUGUACUAUGUACAAUGUACAAUAUGAAGAAUAUCACAUCAUAUAUAUAAUGAGUCAGGAUCCGUUGACACCAACUAGUUUGACACCAAAUGUUACACAUCUCAAUAACGUUUUAACCGAUAUAAAUUUUAUAAAAUCCACCGUUGGAUUGAAAGUUUACAUCAUAUAGAUCAUUUGUNNNNNACAAAUGAUCUAUAUGAUGUAAACUUUCAAUCCAACGGUGGAUUUUAUAAAAUUUAUAUCUGUUAAAACGUUAUUGAGAGGUGUAACAUUUGGUGUCAAACUAGUUGGUGUCAACGGAUCCUGACUCAUAUAUAAUAAUCACAUUAUUAAUUUUCUUUUUGAGUAUUUUUUUGGUACAAGUUUUCUUUUUGAGUAUGUACUAUGUACAAUGUAGUGAUGUACAUUAUGAAGAAUAAUAUGCCAAUAAUAAUAUUUUUACCAAAAAAAUAAAUAUGCUCAAUAAUUUGCGUGUUUCAAUCAAAAAAAUUAUUUAAUUAAUUAAAUUGCGUGUAAUUUUGUCUUUUUGAUUUUUUUUCUUUCUAUAAAACAAACUCAUUUGGCCACCAACCUCAAAAAAUAAAGACUCUGUUUUUGUGUGUUUGGAUUCUCUUCUCUUUACUUCCAAAUUUCCAAUUUGUAUAUUCUUCCUUCUUUCAAUCAAAAUCCAGUUAUUCAUUUUUCUCAACUGGGUCUUGUUCAAUCUCUAUUGGGGUUGUGAAUUCUACGUUUCUGAGUUUCAAAGUUUCUUCCUUUUCACUUUCUGGAUUUGGGUUUGUUUCAUUUCUCAUCCGGGUCUCCAAUAGAAUUUGAAUUUUCAGGUAUUAAAUUGAAUUAAGUUAAAGUUAUUGUUUAUAAAGUUUUAAUUUUUGGUUAAUUUUGUAAACUGGGUUAGUUCAAUUUUUUGUUUUUUUUUCAUGGGUUGUUUAGUUAUUGAAUUGAAUAAAACUUUGGUCAAAAAAAUUAAAUAAAAUUGAACCAAACUGAAGUUAUUGUUCAUUGUUCAUAAAUUGUGUAUCUUUGGUUCAUUUUGUAAACUGGGUUAGUUCAAUUUUAUUUAUGUUUUUUUAUUUAUUUAAUUUAUUUAAUUUAUGGUUUUUUUUUGUUAUUAAAUUGAACUAAACUGAAAUUGUUGUUCAUUAAGUGUGUAUCUUUGGUUGAUUGGUUCAUUUUUUAAAACUGGGUUAGUUCAAUUUUUUAAUUUGUGUUUUUCUUAAGGGUUUGUUUGGUUAUUGAAUUGAAGUUACUGUUCAUAAAGUUUGUAUCUUUGGUUCAUUUUGUUAACUGGGUUAGUUCAAAUUUUGAAUUUUGAGUUUUUUCUAAAGGUUUGUUUGGUUAUUAAAUGAAGUUAUUGUUCAUAAAGUUUGUAUCUUUGGUUCAUUUUGUCAACUGGGUUAGUUCAAUUUUUGAAUUUUGUGUUUUUUUUUAAGGGGUUGUUUGGUUAUGAAAUUGAAGUUAUUGUUCAUAAAGUUUGUUUCUUUGGUUCAUUUUGAGAAUUGGUUAGUUAAUUUUUCUGAUUUUAUGUUAAUUUUUUUUUCAGGGUUUGUUAGGUUAGUCUGAAAUUCUCAAAGUUUGAAAAGUGAAAAACUGAAAAUGACAAUUGGAAAUCUUGCACCUAAGACAGAGAAGAAGAAAUCAUCAAGAAAGAGCAAGAACAAGGCUAUUGUUAGUGAAAAUACACCUUUGUUGCCCAAAAGUGAAGCCCAUGAAAGUGAUUCUGGGUUUGAUGAUUUCAAUGGAGCUUCAUUUUCUGGUGCUGUUUUCAACUUGGCAACUACAAUUAUUGGUGCUGGAAUCAUGGCUUUGCCUGCAACCUUGAAACAGUUGGGGUUGAUUCCUGGUCUUGCUGCUAUACUCAUCAUGGCUUUUUUGACUGAGAAGUCAAUUGAGCUUUUGAUUAGGUUUACAAGGGCAGGGAAAUCCGUUUCAUAUGCUGGUUUGAUGGGUGAUUCCUUUGGGACUAAUGAAACAGAACAAGAAAUGCAAGAAGAAUAUCAUGUGGUGGUCACGUGCUGUACUAACUAAUGAAAAGUUCAAACAUAACAAUAAUACUCUAGUGAGAAACCGAAAUCAAUUCCAAAGCACAAAUAGAAACAAAACAACUACGAAGCUUAAACCACAUCACUAGAAUGCGAAUCAGAAAGGAACGCGACAACGCCAGUGAUGCAGAUCCAAACACAGCAGCAGCAGAACCAUUUAUCUGCCCUCACGGUGGUAUUAUAGUCAAUAAAAAAGUUCACAGCAUUGACAAUAAUAAUUGACAUCUCUAGCUAGAAGUUAAUAAUCAUCAUAAUUUUUAUACUUCAUACUCUUAAUAACAAUAUCUGAUCUUAACAGUUGAUCAGAACAGGUGGAUGGCCAGCUGUAGUCCUUAGGUGCAGGUGGUAGACGACGGUCUGAGCAGCUUUACCACGGAGGGGGGGUUGUACCUGCAGGUGCUCCGAUGCCAAAGUCAGUAAGGGUAGAGAGCAAGAGGUACAAGAGAGAGAAGUUAGAGAGAGAGUAAUUAUGGAAUGAAUAGUGUCUACCUUGCUCUCCCAUGAGGGAGAGUAUUUAUAGCCCCCAGCUCUGGGCCAAAGGUCCCCUUAAUGGGCUGGAUCAGCCAAGGCCCAUUAAGAGGGACUGCCAAGAUAUCACCCUUAGAUAGUGGGUAGAGUAGUAAUUUUACCCUAUCUUGGUGGAGAGGUUGUUCCAUGCUGACAUGUGGACUUUGUGAGGGUCUAGGUGGACUAGCAUUAGUCUAGUCCAGAACAAUAUCUCCCAUGAAAAUGGAUCAAAGUUCAAUCCUAUACUUAUGGUAUUAUAGUCAAAGCUCAAUCUAGGUUUAAUAAAACUAAUGUCAAGGUUACUUAUGGCACUAAAUAGCAUAUUGUAGAACAACAGUUAGAACUUAGAACUACAUGCGUAGUUAGAAACAGACACUUUUCGGAUUAGACAUAUUACGACACAGAAACAUAUGAUUAUAUUGAAUUAUUAUUUUUUUCAAAUUAUUAUCGAUAUUAGUGUCUAUGUCGUAUCCGGUGUUUAUGUUUCAUAAGAUACAAUACAAGUAUACAAGAAAAACAAUAAAGAACUCAAAAUAAGGAAGACAAUUAGACACUGGUGUGAAAAUGUUAUCAAACAGAAUGAAAGCAAUGAAAUUAACCAACAUAAAAAGUAAUUUUUAAAAAACACAGACAAGUUACCGAAAACGAUGUGAUCCACUCCGUGUGGCGUAGGAAGCGUUAUUGGUGUUGUUUGGUUCUUUCCCGGCGAUGUGUUCUGUUCAGACAGCAACGAAACAGCAACGUUUCAUUUGCCACACUUUGCAUCAAGUAACACCUUUUUUUUCAUGUUCUGCUUUGUGGUUCUUAAAACUCAUGGCAUUUCACGUAGAUUCACCUCACUUUUCAUGCUUAACAGAGAAUCACUAUGCUAUUUCUCUUCUUCAACACAAUUACAACCCAUAUCAUCAUCAUCUUCUUCAAUUGUGGUUCCAUCACAAUCUAUGGUCCAAAGGGUAUGCUCAAUGGUGUGUGAAUUUUACAAUCAUAAUGCCAACAUGAGAGUUUCACCUCCAAGACUCCAUCUUGGGAUUGAUGUUGAUUCCUUAACACAUGAGCAAGCUGUUACCAUUGUUGCUUCACUUGCAAGUGAUGCUGGUUCAAUGGUGGCACUUAGUUUCUUCCAUUGGGCAAUUGGGUAUCCAAAGUUUCGAUAUUUUAUGAGGUUGUAUAUAGUGUGUGCGACAUCUUUGCUCGGGAAUAGGAAUUCGGAGAAAGCUCAUGAAGUUAUGCAGUGUAUGGUGAAGAGUUUUGCUGAGAUUGGGAGGUUGAAAGAGGCUGUGGAGAUGGUUAUUGAAAUGCAUAACCAAGGUUUGGUUCCGAAUACUCGGACUUUGAAUUGGGUGAUUAAGGUUGCAAGUGAAAUUGGUUUGGUUGAAUAUGCAGAGUUGUUGUUUGAGGAAAUGUGUGUGAGAGGGGUUCAACCGGAUUCUGUUAGCUAUAGGGUGAUGGUUAUUAUGUAUUGUAAGAUUGACAAUGUUUUGGAGGCAGAUAGAUGGUUGAGUGCCAUGCUUGAGAGGGGUUUUGUGGUUGAUAAUGCAACAUUUACGUUAAUAAUCAGCAAAUUUUGUGAAAAGGGUUAUGCAACUAGAGCGCAAUGGUAUUUUCGUAGGUUAGUUGAUAUGGGUUUGAAGCCUAAUUUGAUUAAUUUCACAUCUAUGAUUGAAGGUUUGUGCAAAAGGGGUAGCAUAAAGCAAGCAUUUGAAAUGUUGGAGGAGAUGGUUGCUAAAGGUUGGAAACCUAAUGUGUAUACUCAUACAUCAUUAAUUGAUGGACUUUGCAAGAAAGGAUGGACUGAAAAAGCGUUUAGAUUGUUUCUUAAGCUUGUUCGAAGUGAAAAUCACAAGCCAAAUGUGCUUACAUAUACUGCCAUGAUAAGUGGAUACUGUAGAGAGGAAAAACUAAACCGGGCAGAGAUGCUGCUGAGCCGAAUGAAAGAGCAGGGAUUAGUCCCGAACACCAACACUUACACAACUCUCAUUGAUGGGCAUUGCAAAGCAGGAAAUUUCGAAAGAGCAUAUGAUUUGAUGAAUCUAAUGAGUAGUGAAGGUUUCAAUCCUAAUGUAUGUACAUAUAAUGCCAUUGUUGAUGGCCUUUGUAAAAGGGGAAGGGUACUUGACGCUUACAAAAUGCUUGAGGAUGGCUUUCAUAAUGGCCUGAAACCAGAUAAAGUUACCUAUAAUAUUCUAAUGUCCGAACAUUGCAAACAGGCAAAUAUCAGGCAAGCAUUGGUGUUAUUCAAUAAGAUGCUAAAAAGUGGUAUUCAAAUUGAUAUUCAUUCAUACACCACAUUGAUUGCAGUCUUCUGUAGGGAAAGUAGAAUGAAAGAAAGUGAGAUGUUUUUUGAGGAAGCUGUGAGAAUUGGGCUCAUUCCUACAAACAAAACUUAUACAUCUAUGAUAUGUGGUUAUUGCCGAGAAGGAAAUUUGACCUUGGCUGUAAAGUUUUUCCAUAGGAUGAGUGACCAUGGCUGUGUUCCAGAUUCUAUUACGUACGGCGCUAUUAUAAGCGGCCUUUGCAAACAAUCAAAGCUCGAUGAGGCUCGGGGUCUGUAUGAUUCUAUGAUAGAAAAGGGACUUACCCCAUGUGAAGUUACUAGGGUAACAUUGGCUUAUGAAUAUUGUAAGGUAGAUGAUUGUUUAUCUGCUAUGGUUAUUCUAGAAAGGCUGGAAAAGAAACUCUGGAUCAGGACGGCUAAUACCUUGGUCAGGAAGCUUUGCAGUGAGCAGAAAGUAGGCAUGGCUGCACUGUUAUUUAAUAAGUUACUAGACAUGGAUGUUAAUGUUAAUCGCGUAAUAUUAGCAGCAUUUAUGACUGCAUGCUAUGAAAGCAAUAAUUAUGCUCUUGUUUCUGAUUUGUCUGCUAGGAUAAACAAGGAAAAUCGUUUGGACAUCAAAAACACAAAUUAACAACAAAAAAGUGCUUAGAGAGCUUUGGUCCCCUUGUAGGUCCCACCUAACCUAGCUUAACUCCAGAUUAAUUUGAGUUCAAGGUGGCAUUUGAAAAGGAGGGGUUCAGACCAGGAAAAAGUCAAUAAUUAGUAAUAAACAAUGUGCUUUUUAUUGCUGGAUGUACCUGUAUCUGUAAAUGAUAGGAUCUUGUGUUUGAAGAAGUAUCUGUGGGAUCGUCAUCAUGAAUUCUGCAUUAGCUUAGCGAUCAACAUUUGAGAUCACGAAGGGAAACAAUUGUGUAACUUCUCAUGUAAGGUACAUUUACCUCUCCACAUUGAAAUUUUAGAAAUUUAGAAAUCUUAAAAUGGUAUAGUUUAUCUCAAAAUUUGAAGGUUUAUUUGAUUUAGGUUUUCAUCAUUCGAUAUAAAUGCAGUGAUGAUGUUGUCAAGUGAAAUUAUCGCUUGGCACUAUGACAUGGUGGAUUAUUUGCCAUCCACCAUACGCCGCAAGGCCUAUUAUAUUCGCUGUGUUUCCUACAUAGGCAGCGAUACCAUAUGUAUAUUCGCUGUGUUUCCUACAUAGACAGAAAUACGGGAUAGACAACAGCAUGAGUGGAGUUUAUUUCAUGUACUCUUUUGCUGAAGCUGCUUCUCAUAACAAGUGCGGAUUUCCAAAUAGAAUUGACAUGUCAUAUGUAUUUAACCUGCACACUUUUUUACUCUCUGUAUAAUAAUCUCUUAAUUGCUGGAAAGGGAAAAAAGUGCGAGAUAAAUUUUAUACCUUUGUGGAGAAUCUUGAUGAUGGAUUUAUAUCAAUGAAACUUUUGCUGAGAGGUUUCUGACUUUUAUGCAAUAAGGAUUUGAAAAUUUUGAGUUUACAUAGUUUACACAAUUGUGCUUUGUUUGUAGCUCUUCCCAUAUAUACUAUUGUACAAAUCAGUAUCUUAAUGGCAUAAUCCACCCUCUUAAUUCUGUACAAAGCCUUGAGCAUGUGAAUCACAGAUACUGAGCCAAAACAUACUUACAUUAGAUAGUAUCUUUCACUGUGGCCAAAUGUCCUAUUACACUAGCAAAUGUUCAAAAAGCUACUAAGUGGUAGAAUGACUCGAUAAGAAAUUCCAAAAUAUAAAUAAAAGAGGACAUUUUUGGAAUGGAAAACUAAUAUUUGAGUAAACAGAUACAAUGUAACUCAACAGAGUUAAUAUCAUAAUUAGUUAACAAAAUGUAGGAGCUAGAUGAAUAAAAACAUAUCCACCACUUCAGCCUUUAUCAAAGUAUACUUGGCAAUAUACUUCAAAUGUAAAUACAGUACCUCGUCCUCUGGGGAUAGUAUGCCGUAAUAUUUGGGGAUUGACUCGGAUUCCCUUGUGUAGAAAAAAGUAUUUUUUACAUUCCAUUUGUUCCAUUGCAAGAAAUAAAAUAUUUUAAGUUUGUUGUAUUAGAGCCUGGUUUGGAAAACCCUUUGUUGUAUUGAUGACGAUGUUGGUGAGAACGAGGCCGUUGUAGAAGGUUCUGGAAUGUAUGGGGAAAAGGAGUAACGAGAUUCCGUGUUCAGAGAAUGCAACUGUAAAUGAAUUGGAAUCUGGGAAGAAAAACAUGUCUCUUGUUUUUUAUGCAGUGGAGGUUUGCUCAGAGAACUCUCUGCAAGUCUGCAAAGGUUGCUGGUUUAACUUUUCGAUGUCUAAGGUGGUGGCAGGAUGAACCCCGGGUCCUCCACUUUGUGCGUGAGUUUCCAAAAGCUUUUCAUUUCUUCUAUCCACAAAAAUAAAAAUGACGAAGUUGUUGUCCACAAAAUUUAAUAGUAAAAACAAUCGACGUGGGAUAUGUUUUAGGCUUAACUUGCUUUUUUCUCUUUUAGGUUCUUACAUUUGCGUUUUGUUUGGUAAAUAUGCGGAAUAGGUUUGUUUUAGGUAUGUUUUUGCCUCCUUUAAUGUUAUUUCUUUUGGCUCUUCCGAAAAAAUAAUUUCCCUCUUAGGUAGAAUUAAUGAUAAUUUCCUUUUUCUUGCAUUAAUUUUGAUAUGUGAUUGUUUACCUUCUGUUACUUUUGAAAGUACUGUUCUUUGAUGUGUUGUAACUUGUAACUAUUGGAACUGUUCUUUGAGAUAUUAGUUAUUUUCAGCUGUUCAUAAUAUUAAUUAUUUUAAGUUGUUCAUCCUUGAUAUUCUACUUAGUAUUAAUGUUUUUACUCUGAAUAGCAAAUGUAUUACCCCUUAGAAAGAAGUGAACUAAUUUCACCCACUCAUAUGACUGAUAAUGAGGUGAAUGAACAUGUGCCCAUAAAUUUAACUCAAGUAGAAGCAAAUCCAACUCAAGAAAAUGAAGAACUAGUUGUUCGGAGAAAGAGGGAAAAAAAUGAUGUUUGGAAGGAUGUUGAUGUAGUUGAAAUUAGUAAAGGUGUGCCGAAAGAUGUUUGCAAAUAAUGUAAACUACAAUUUGCUACUAGGGAAACAAGAGCUGGCACUAGUAAUAUAAGAAGACAUACUAGAAGUUGUGUUAGAAAGAAGUUGUAGACGACUACUGAUAAGAGAGACAUGCCACCAUUUCAUUUCGGACAUUGAAUUUAGGUAAUCCUUUCAUUGUUUCUGAUGCUAGACACUAACGAAAAAAUGAGGAAAUUAAUGGCAACUGCUAUCAUGGUUUAUGAAAAUCCUUUUAGUAUCGGAGAUUAUGAGGUUUAGAUGUGAUACUUCCAACAUUCAAAUCCAUAUUAUCAUAAGUUUACUCAAGAAAGUGAUUGUUUGACACUAUUUUAGAAGGAGAAGAACAUGUUGAAGGAACAUUUGAAAAGUGUGAACAAGAUUAGUUUUACUAUUGAUAUGUAGUAAUCUAGCCAUCUAGUGUUGAAUAUAUGGUUAUCACAAGACAUUUCAUUGACGCGGGAUGUGAUUUUAAAAGAGAGUUUUGAGUUUCCUGUAAGUACUCGCACCAAGGCAUGAUAUUGAUGUGAUUGAUGCUAUUUAUAAAUGAUUGAAAACUUGGGUAUUGAAAAUAAGGUUUUUUCAGUAUCUAUUGAUAAUUCAUGCUUGAUUCUUAUGAUUUCUCAAAGAGAAUUUAUCUCUAACUAGUAAGUUAAUCCUUGGUGGCUCUUUGUUUCAUGUAAGGUGUUUCGCUCAUAUAUUGAAUUUAUUAGUGCAAAAUGACCUUAGUAAAGUUAAGAACAUCAUUAUCAUUUUUAAUAUACAUGAAAUUGUCAAAUUUGUUAACCACAAUGAUGCAAGAUAAAGACAUUUUGUGAUAUGGUUGGGCAAAAACUUUGAAACAUUUUCUGCUCAACCACAUCACAAAAUGUGUUUAUUUUGCAUUAUUGUGGUUAAUAUAUUUGACACUUUCACAAAUAUUAAAAAUGAUGUUCUUAAUUUUACUAUGGUCGUUUUGCACUAACAAAUUCAAUAUAUGAGCGUACAUGAAACAAAGAGCCACGACUUACUACUUAGAUAAAUUCUCUUUGAGACAUCGUAAGCAUGAAGCAUUAUCAAUCGACACCGAAAAAACCUUAUUUUUAAUCCCUCAAGUUUUCAAUCAUUUAUAAAUAGCAUCAGCCACAUCAAUAUCACAACACAAAACUCAAACCUCUCUUUGAAGAUCCCAUCUGCAUCAAUGAAAUGUCCUACGAUAAGAAUAUAUUCAACCACUUGAUGGCUAAAUUACCACAUAUUUAUAGUUAAACUAAUCUUGAUCACACUUUCUAAAUGUUUCCUCAACAUUUUCUUCUCCUACUAAAAUAGUGCCAAACAAUCACCUCUUGCACUCUUAUGAGUAAGCUAUGAAAAUAUGAGUUUGUAUAUUGGAAGCCCCACAUCCAAACUUCAUCCUCGACAAUACUAAAAGGAUUUUCGUGAACCAUGAUGCAGUUGCCGUUAUUUUCUUCGUCGUUUCGUUAGAGUAUAUAGCACCAUGGCAAUAAAGGAGUUACCCAACUUCGAAGGCUAAAAUGGAAUGGUGGCCUGUCUCUUUUCAAUAGCCGUCUGCAACUUCUUUUUAACGCAACUUUUAAUACGUCUUUUGAUAUGACUAGUGCUAGCUCUUGUUCCCCCGGUAGCCGAUUGUAGUUUGCAGUAUUUGUAAAUAGCUUUCAACACACCUUUACUAAUUUCAACUUCAUCAUCAUCCUUCCAAACAUUACUUUAAUUUUGGUGUCUAAUAAUAUUUUGCAACUCAAAAUAAAAUUACAGUUCUCCAACUUCUAUCUUCACCAACCAUGAAUGCAUUUUUUCCUUUGGCUUUUAAAAAGUACUUCAGUUGAAAAAGUAAAAAUUGUAUUCAUCCAAAUUGAACCAACUUAAGUUACUAUAGGUUGGAGAUGCUCCAAGUUUGUUUUAACCAUCUCUCCACUUACACAAUUUUUACAGGUAAGACUUAUUUCUUAUAACUCUCUUGAUGUCUCUUAAAAAUUUAACUAAGUUGUCUAUAUAGGACAUUAAUGUAUAAUGAUGAUUUGAAAAGUUGUGUGAUCACCAUAUGCCAUUAAAAAAACUGUAUGUUUACUGAUUGAAUUAGAAAUUGAAAAUAUCAAAUUGGUCCCUAACAUUAGCAACUAUUGGUUUAACACUAUUUAGAGUGAUUUAACGGCUUAAUAUAAAAUUUAGUUGCUAAAUCAAUCUAUAUGGAUACUGAAAUAAUUUGAUCUCUAAGUCGGUUGUUAAAUAGCAAAUUUUUUUUGUUUGCACGGAAUUGACCUCUCAAAUUAAUCGAUUAUUGGGUCGAAUAUUGGGUUUCCAAAUAAAUAAAUCAUAAAAGUCUCCCAAGUUAAUUGGCAAUUUUUAUCAUAUUGUUUUUGUCUAUACAAACUAGCAACUUCUUUUACAAUUAAACAUUUUUUAAUAUGUUGUAAAGUAGGUUUUUAAAAUAUUUCAACCAAAUUAGCUACUUAAAUCAUACAUGUAUCUAUUUUUCUAUAACCUUAUCAUUAAAAUUGAAUAACAUCCCCCUAUCCCAAAAAAACAAACACACAUUAUCUCAUGUCACACUUUUAUUUUUUUUCACGAUAUAUAGAUUUACAUUAUUGAUACCUUUAUUUUUUUUUCUUAUAUGAUUUAAGAAAAUUGUACAAAAGCAAGUAAGAAAAAGCUGUUAUUGUAAGAUCCUUACUUUACAUAGAGGAAGUGACAGAAGAUAAGAAGUGCAAUGGUGAACGUACACGUGGAUCCUCCAUUAUGCUAAAAAUAACCAAACAUUCUUAACACCGUAUGGUUUAGGUCACUCCAUUAACUACCAACGGAUAUUUUAUGUGAUAUGGUUAUAGUUUGAACGUAGACACCACUAUACUAACAUAAUUGUGCUAUAACGCACGGGUUGUUUGAUCAUGAUCAUGCGGUUUUUUGAGUUCAAUUAAGAGUUUGAUAGUUUUUUUUUUAAUAAUAAAUAUAUUAUUAAUCAGGUCUCUGAACAAGACGAACAGAAACAGACAUAAAAGUAACUAUAUAAUAGGACGCCGUAUCAGGUCUCUGGUUCGGGGGUCAGUUCUGACAUCAAGUAGUUCCAACCCCCUCCCGAUCACAGUUGCGGGGAUCGAACUGUGGUCCUCCCUACCAAAUUCAACGAUAAUCACCACUGAACCAACUAACGAUUGGUUCAAAUUUUAUCUACGUAUUUAUUAAAUUAAAUAAAUUUUAUUUUUAUUUAGACAAAAUAAAAAAAUAAAUAUAGAAGGGACAACUUGUUAUUAAUGUAUGAUACUCAAAAAGUGGUAUCACUAUUGAAGCAAAACAUGUAUGAAUUGCAUAAAAAUUAUGGCAUUGUAGGGACCAUUUGUUAGUAAUGUACUAUGAUUAGAGUAUGAUAUUCAAAGUGGUAUCACCAUUGGAAAUGUUCUUAGGUUAUGCUUGAAUUUACUUAUUUUUUAGUUUAUGUUAAUAAAUAAAUUUUUAUGUAUUAUUAUAAAUUUAUCAACAUAUCGACAAAAUGUAUUUAUAUAGAUUUUAAGUUUUACAUUUGUAACUAACAGGUCUUUAGUUUUACGUUUGUAAUAAAUAGAUUCUUUAAAUUUUUUAAGAAACAAAUAGAAGUUUAAAUUUUACAUUUGUUGCAUGUCUAAGUUUUAUGCCUCCAACAAUUGAAGGUCCAGCUCUAUAGGAUUCGACGAACCUGUUGUCGGACGACGUUGAAUAUAAGAAGAAAAUUGAGCAAUGGAUUAAGUUCAUUGUUUUCAAAAGAUCGGUGGGUGGAGUGGAGGAGAGUCUCUUUGCUCUAUAUUUACUAGUGGUUGAGCUCUGUAGGUUGGGUUAGGGUGUUGAGGUAGGUAGGUAGGAGGUGGUGAUGGCAUCUCAAGUUUUUUAAAUUUUUUUAACUAAAGGCAGUGUUGCCUUUUAAUUUGUUUUUUGUUUUUCAUCCUCUGAUUCUUAAGAAAAGGGAGUCCUAAUAGUCAAGAGUUCGAAACGAGUUCUGACAUUAAGUGGUUUCAGUCUCCCCUCAAAUGCAGUUGCAGGAAUCGAACCGUAAUCCCUCUACCAAGUUCAGCGUCAAUCACUAUUGAUCGAACCAACUAACAUUUGGUGUUGCCUUUUAAAAUUUAAUUAAAAGAAAGAAAAAAAAGAGAAGUUAUAAUUAUUAUAACUAUGGGGACUAGGACAAAACCCAAUGUAAACAAUCAAUGGCAUAAAUAACACCUAGCUUGUUAAAAAAUUUAUCCAAAAAAUAUAAUGAAAUAAAAUUAUGGUGAAAAAAAAAAUGAGUGCAAAACGAAUUAAAAAAACAACCUUGAAAACUUACCAACAGAAACGAUAAUUUGGAAGCCCUAACCUAUUGUGGUUAAAUAAAUUGAAAACACAAGAGGGAAUAAAAUUCUAUUAUAAAAUUGUUACUCUAAAGUCCAAAAGAAACAAUUUUAUCUAUAUAACGAUGAUUUUCUCUAAUAAGGAACAAUAAAGCGCAUACUUUUGGUUAAUUGAUCACCAAUCAAUCAUCUAUUUCUUAAUUUUCAAGAAAUAUGAGACCAUGAUUCUUAAAAACAACUUGUUCUUAGCCAAAGAAAUAACUAACAUUUUUUUUAAUCAUAAAAUCGAAUAAACUGUCAAAUACCUUCUUGAAAUUUAAAAAUUAAUUAAAUAUUUCAUGAAAUUUGGAAAUAGGCAAAUAUCCCCCUAAAAUUUUAAAAAGUCAAUCAAAUUACUCCUGACGUAGACUCUGACUGAUAGUGUCAUAGGGCAAUUUGAUUGACUUUUUAAAAUUUCAGGGAGAUAUUUGUCUAUUUCCAAAUUUCAGGUAGAUAUAUUUGACGAAUUUUUAAAUUUUAGGAAAAUAUUUGACAGUUUAUUCUCAUAAAAUCCCUAUGUGUUUCAAAUAUAGAAGGAAAAAAAUCAACAAAAACAUCAUGUGGACGAAAAAAAAAAUGAAACCAACUUUUUGUUUUUAUCAUUGAUAAGUGUGCCUAUGCUCAUCAAAUCAAUGAUGAAUAUGAAAUCCAACCAUAGAAAUGUGUCAAGUACAGAUGUGAAGACACGUACACAGUCUCUUCUCUAGCUCACAAAAUUGGUGUGGUGGUGGUGGCAUGUUAUUUUUGGCAGCAUGAUAAGUCAUAUAUCUAGACUCAUGCAUAUGCUUUGUCACGUCAAGUUUCAUGAUCAUGUUGUGGUAUACUAUAUCAUAUUAUCAUGCCUAUUAAUUCAUUCUUUUUAUCCUAAGAAGAUUGGUUCAUGAUAUGAUAUUCUAUCUCAUUCUUCUUCCACGUUUACCGGACAAACAAAAGCAAUUCAACAAGGGGCUAUGUGUGUCAUUGGUUGGAUAUAACAAAAUCGACAUUAAAUGUUUUAAGAAUCAUUGCCACUCCAUGGUUGCCACGUGUGGGGUUGGCCAGUGCAAGGUUCCCCAUUGUAGAUGUUCUAAAGGGCUGUUUUUUCGAAAGAAGGAAAAUACCGAAACCAAUGAUAAUUUGAAUUAAGAUUUAGUUUAAGACUAAGUUUAUUCGCCAGCUUUCAUGUUUUCAUUCCUUCCUAUUUUCUUUCAUUCAAAAUAAACGGUCACAUAUCAGUAGUCUAAUAAAUGAUAAUCGGACGGUCAAAUUUAAAACUAAAUUUUACAUUUAAAAAGCUAAUUACAUAAACUAUGAACGUAAAAUCUUAACCGUUUAAUUUUGAUCGGAUGAUCAGUAUAUACUCGUAACAUGUAAUUUGAUUGUACUAAUCCAAUUUCAUAUUAUGAAUAUGAUUCUCAAUCUCUCUCCUCAUUGACUUCACACAAUCACAACUAGAAAAUCAUGACCGUAUAAUUGAGAUUUGUAAUAAUCUGGGUCCUUUUUCUACAAAUUUAGUAGGCAAUUUCCGACGAUGUACCUUACAAUCUUCUCUACUCCCCUCUCGAUCUAGUAGAGUUUUUGUCUUCCAUAAAAAUGAAACCACGUACCACGAGAUUUAUACACAUUCAAUCCAUUCUAACUACCAAUUAAACUAGCUACUAGAAAAAUACAUCGAUUAAAAUCAUAUUAGUCUCGGAUUACUAAGACCAAAAAUACUAUUUAUCCAUCAAAUAAUUAUGUCAAUAGUUAUAUAGUCCUAUAAAUCUAAUUAAGGCACUUUCUUGUACAAACAUUUCUCCACAUUAUCUUACAAAUAUAUAUUUUCAAACAUACCAUAAUUGUUUGUUGGACCUAUCAAAAGUCGAAAAAUGCCAAAGAAAUUUGUAUGACAAAUAAUGUCAUUAGUGUUAACAUCAUGCCAAGUCAAUAUACUUAAAAGCGUAACCAUUGCUAUUUUCACUAUAUAGUGCCAUUUUUCGUAUUUCUUUCCAUUGUGAAAUUGUUCCCCCAAAUUUGGCCUCACGACCCCAAAAAGAUAUGUUUGAGGAAAUGAAAUUUACAUUUCAUCAUGUAAUCACUCACGGAAGAAAAAAGAAAAAACCUUUCAAAAUAUAAAAGUGAUCCAAACUUUUAAGUAUGCACGGAUCCUAAAAAGUUCCUUGUAUAUAUCUUUAUGGAUCUUAUUUUUCUAAACCAAAAUUAAAUCAUAAAAAAAUAUUAAAAGUUUUAUUUUGAAAUUUGUCUCUAAUUUUAGCACUUAGAAUUAGAGUUUAUCAAAAUUAUGGUGUGUUUGACCUGCUAAAAAAUAAGGACUAGACGUGACAAUUUCAGCUGUAUUAUGUUUUAUUUUAAAAUUAUUUUUGGGACUGAACAAGUGACUGGACAAAAAUCACGAGAUAAGUUUUUGUCCUCCGCCCAAGUUGUUUAAAAUACCAAAAUAACCUAUUGUCUAAUAAACAUCCCAUGAGAUAAAAAAAAUUCAACACCUUAAAUUUUGUCACGUGUUAUUCUAUCAAGUAUUUAUAUUUUGCAGGCAAAAUUACAUCAAAGGUCCUUUAUUUUAUUUUUUUGUAACACUUUGGUCCUUUAUCUUUUUUUUGUAACACUUUGAUCCUUUAUCUUUUUUUUGUAACACUUUGGUCCUUUAUUUUUUUUAUUUGUAACACUUUAGUCCUUUUUUUUUGUAACAUUUUGUCCUUUAUCUUAUUUAUUUAUAAAAAAAUAAAGCACCAAAGUGGAUGGUGAGAUUGGUCCUUUGGAUUAGUCGGUCCUAGGACCAAAUACCAAGUCUUAAAAAAGAAAAAAUUACCAAAGUGUUACAAAAGAAAAGAUAAAGGACCAAAGUGUUACAAAAAGAAACGAUAAAGGACCAAAAUGUUACAAAAAAAAAAUAAAGGACCAAAGUGUUACAAAAAAAUAAGAUAAAGGACCUGCAGUGUAAUUUUGCCUAUUUUGCAGAUCAAACGAAGAGACAAUUUAGUUCAUUUUUUUUCCAACUCCACCUUCUAUUGUUAGUUCGAUCAGUAUUUUUAGUUAUGUUAGUUGCUUUGUCCUCCCUUCCAUGUCUUAUUUUGUAAUUACAUUAAUUUAUGUCAAAACUAUAAAUUUUAGGUAAGAUCUUUUUGGUAUUUAAACCCAAAUGAGCAAAUAAGACUUUAAACAAGAAUAAAAAGUUUGGUGUAUAUUUUGUUUUUGAAGCAAGUUUGGUGUAUUUUUAAAAGUAUAUAGAGCAAGAUUAUUUAUCCUGCUAUAUGCAUGAACACUUGCCUCCAAUCCACCGUCCCCUACAAAGUGGAUGCGGUCCAAUAUGUCAUUAUUUAAUUUCCUUUACCUUAUGAUAAGAUCAAGUUCAUUUGCCCUCAUAAGAAAUUGUUUUGAAUACUAAUAAUAUUUGAUUUAAAUGAUAAAUAAUUUGAGUUUGUUAAGUAAAUGGUUUUAAUUUCAUUCUCUAAUUCUCACGUAUGAAAGUGAUGUAAUUUAGUACAUAAUAUAAAUUAAAUACAUAAGUUUUUCAGUGUAUAUACCAAAAAAAUUAUAUUCACUUUUAAUAGUGAUAAGAGGGAGUAAUGUUUAUAAAGUAUUUUUAUGAGUUCGAUUUUUUGUCAUGUGAACUUUUCAUUCGAUGUACCAUAAAAAUAGAAAUCAAAGGUUUUAGACAUACAUCCUAACAAAAAAUGUAUGUAAAAUAUAGUCAAACUUAUAACUUUAUAAUGUCAAAUUUACAUUAGUUUUUGUUUGACUAAAUAUUUACAUUAGUUAUAAAGCCAACUUUUCCAAUAUUUAAGGUUUAUUCUAACACAUUUUCUCAACAAAAAAAAAAAAAGGUUUAUUCUAAAACAUAAAGUAUUUAGCUGAUAAAUCAUAUCACUAUUGGUCAUGACAAUAGAAAAAACAAGGCACAAUGAGGUUGAAGUAAUGUUAAAAGUUACCAACCUUAUGAUUUUUAGUUUUUAGUGUUUGGUUUGCCAAGCUUUUUGAAAGAUAAUUUAUAUAUAUUAGUGCUUUAAAAAGAGAGAGUUCUAUGAUUGAAAAAAUGGUAAAGAUUUUGUGGUCCAAAUAAACAAUCAUAGAAGUAUUUAUCCACUACUAUAUAUAUGGAAGCUAGCAUACUUGGUUGAAGCACACAUUGUCCUAUACUCAUAUACUACAACAUAAGGCAAAUUAAAUCUUUCUCAAAAACUUAGCAAGCAAACUCCUCACUAUGUCUAAAAUGUUUACCUUUUCUGAUCAUGAGAUGGUUUUGAUCUUUGGUCUCCUAGGUAUUAAAUUAAAUUUUUUAUUACCACUCUUAUAUUCCAACCUUUUCAAUACACCAUUUUCAACUUUCAAGUCAUGGCAAUGUAUUGAUUUAAAGUUCAUAUGAUUGAUGAAUUUUAGAUAAGGACAUAUUCUUCGAAAGAAUUUGAGUUCGAAUCGUAUAUAAAAUAUCUGAACUCCCGAUUACUAUGACCUUCUUUUUUCUUCUCAAAAUCAGAGAGUUAAGAUCAAUAAAAAUUACUUACUUUUUUAACCGACAUAAAAAAUUAGUUACACUUUUUCUAAUUGGUCUAGCAAAAUUGUUGAUAUUCUUUAUUUUGUAACAUAACAUUUUUCAUACAAUCUCAUUAAGGUUUUCAUCACAUUAAUUAUGAGUGUAACAUAAUAAUAGUAGCUUUCAAUUUUCUCUACUACUUGUAUAUUGGUUCUGAUUCUCUCUGUUUUCUUUUUGUGUCUUAGGUAACAUUGUGUCAUUCAUGGUGUUCUUAGCUCCAUUGUAAGUCCUAUCUCAAAAAAAUUAAAUAAUAUAUAAUUUUUGUAUGAAUAUCAUUUAAUAAAAUGCUAGAAAUAUCUUAUAUUUGUUACUCUCUAUCUUGUAGGCCAACCUUUUAUGCAAUUUACAAGAAAAAAUCAUCUGAAGGGUAUCAAUCAAUUCCAUAUGUUGUUGCACUUCUUAGUGCAUUGUUAUUGCUAUAUUAUGGUUUCCUAAAGACCAAUGCCCUUUUGAUUAUCACAAUCAAUUGUAUUGGAUGUGUUAUAGAAGUUUCAUACCUAAUAAUGUACAUCAUAUAUGCUCCAAGGAAGCUUAAGGUAAAACCAUAAUCACAAUAAUCUUUCUUUCUAAACUCUUUAUCUUUUCAUUCACUAAAAGAAUUUAAUUAUUUACAAAAAUUAGAAAUGCAAAAAUAAAAAUAAAAUUGUGUUUGAUGUUCAACAUAUGUCAGUGUCACACACCGACAUGAUAUCGACACAUGUGGUUACAAUCAAUAAGUUCAUGUUUUCAAAUUAUUUUAAAUUUCGUGUUUAGUGUUUGUGUCAAUUCUUAAUGUAAAUUUUGAUGAAUAUAUUGCAGAUAUCUACUUUGGUUUUGAUACUUAUUGCUGACAUAGGAGGUUUUGGCUUCACCAUGAUAAUCACUUUCUUUGUUGUGAAGAGCUCCUUUCGUGUUCAUGCAGUUGGCUUGAUUUGUGCCAUUUUUAACAUUGCAGUCUUUGCUGCUCCUUUAAGCAUAAUGGUAUGCACUUAUUCCGAGAUUAUAUUAUAGUUUUGGAUUAUGCUCCUCUUAAGUGAAAAAAAAAACUCGAGAAAAUAAUGUGUUAGACCUAAACCCUUAGAGGUUAAGAUCUGAGAAUAAAGACGUGCAAAAACAUAGAGAAAAAAAAUUCGAGAGAAUUCUUUUCCAUAUUUUCUUUUAUACAUAUUGAUUUUAUAUAGUUUGACACGCACUGGUACAAAAAGUUGAUUUCUCGAUAGGAAUUAAAGACAUAAAUAUGAUAUUGGUCUAUAGUUUUAACAUCUUCAACACUUUGCGACAAAAUUUGAGACAAAUUUCCUAUUUUGUCAAUAAUUCAAUUUUUUUCUAGUGGUGACGCAAUAUUAUUAUAUAUGAGAUUGAAUUUCAUGAUCCAACGAUUAUGAUUUAUUAACGGCGGCAGAUAUAACUUAGUUUUGUACAUGUGUGAACUUUUUAUUUUUUAUUUUAAAAACUCGAUAUCCAACCUUAGAACCGACUAAUUUGAAGGACCAAUUUCAGUGGCGGGGUCCAUUUGUACAUGUGUUUAUGAUUGAGUUAAAGGAGAUUUAUAAUUUGUACAUAUGAAUUGCAGAGGAAGGUGAUAAAAACAAGAAGUGUGGAGUACAUGCCAUUUUCAUUGUCAUUGUUUCUUACUCUAUGUGCUACCAUGUGGUUUUUCUAUGGUCUCUUUGACAAGGAUAACUACAUUAUGGUGAGUACUAUAAAAUAUUUAAUUUACUCAUCUUAUUAAUUUUUCUUUUAUAAUGUAUGCUUAAAAGUAACUAAACUAAUUUUUUUUUUUUGUUUUUUGAUCAGCUUCCAAAUGUGUUAGGAUUUCUAUUUGGUAUAUCUCAAAUGAUCUUAUACCUCAUAUACAAGAAUGCUAAGACUAAAGUAGAAGCUAAUUCUAAUGAGAAGCAAGAUUGUGAUGAUGGCAAUAAACAGAAUUUUCCUUCAAUGGUGGAAAUGAAAGAUGAUAAUAUAGUUUAACAUGGUGCAAUAUUGUAUAUUAUAUAGGCUUAAUUAAUUAAUAUUAGGAUGAAUGAAUGAUGAAUAACAUGUCUCCUAUAUCAUCUAUGUUCUAUGUACUACUAUGGACUAUUAAUGCUACUUUGGCAUGCUUUGGCUAUGUAAUAGACUAAUUAUAGUUCUAGUUCAAGUCACCAUGAGUUUAUGGUGUUGUUUAUGUUAAUCAAUGAUUAAUCACUUAAGUUUACAUGUAGCAAAUAUAUAUUGUUCUAAUUUAAAUGUAUUAUACAAAAAAAUUAAAAAAUCUAAAUUAACUUCAAGACUUUCUGUUCGGCAAAAAUAGUUCUUGGUUGAUAAGUUAGCUUAUAGCUUCUGGCUUCUAACUUCUAGCUCAGAAGUUACUUGAAAUAGCUUCUAAAAAAAGAAGCUAUAAGUCAGCAAAAUAAGCUAAAAACUCUUUCUAAAAAGACCGUUACCAAACAUGUCUUUUAGCUUAUAAGACAAAAGCUAAAAGCUAGCUUCUUUGCCUUGCCAAAUAGACCUAAGACAGGUCUCAAGAUGACUUCAUUAACUAAGAUCCAUCUCGUUACCUCAACAAAAAUUCAGCAAAAACGAAUUAUGAGAUUUCCUUUUCCUGCAGAAUUUUGACAUAUGUUUUAAAAACAGUAGCUUAGGUAAACUCUCCUUACAUUGUUGAUCUAGCUUCUUCAACUAGAAGUUUGUGAAAUGUUUGAAUGUGAAAAAAUUGAAUCUUAUGAUUGCAAAUAACAAGGACAUGUUGUGUGUGAUUUUGGCCAAUUAUGUAUCCAAAUUUUGUUGACUCAACAUUCUUAUCAUGUUUUCUCAUUUUUUUGAAAUGCUAGUCCUGUCUACAACAGGACACUUCAAAUGGUCUUGUUUGUGGUCACAUAUCAGCUUUGUAAGGACGAUUUUUUUCACGUCCCUAUUGUGUUUAAUACUUUAAUUUGAUAAUCCGUCGAGUAAAUUAUGCUUUCCUAGGAAAGACACUAACACCCUACUAGGAGACCAACCUUGUGAACUGACCCUACCAGGCAUCCUGGCUAAACAAGACCAGUAGUGGCGGUGUCGUGCAUUGGAAGUUGAAAUCAUUAAAUGAAAAUUUUAUUUUUCAGCAACUCUAUUGGACAACUUAAACCCUGCCUCUCCUGUCUUCAACUUGUUAUUCCUUCUUUGGCAUUUCUGAUCCAUCUGUUUGAGGAAAUGAUUUUUAUCUUUGUUGGCCAUUAGUGUUGAGUAACUUGAGUUGCCAAGUGCUCUUUCAAUUUGUUAUAAUAGUUAUGUGCCUAUCUUCUUUCUGAAUCAACACUUGUUUUCCUAAACCAUUUUACAAUUUCCAAAUGCCCAAAUUUUGUACCAUUCCAAAGAGAAGGAUUGUCUGCGCCCAACUAUCAUCGUAUAUCUCCAAGUGCGAUAAUUUAAAGGCAUUGCCUUGUCACAUGAAUACACUUCUCCCAAAGUUAAAAGAGGAAUAUGGUUACAUGGUUACUGCAUAGGUUUAAGCUCUACGGGUUAUUCUAUUUAAAGGAAAUCUUACUUCAUAUGAAUUCGAACUCAAAAUUUUACAAUUGUGUGUGUGAGAGUUUUAGGAUAUUAGCUUACAACUAUGAACAAAAUUGCGAUGUGAACGCAUACCUUGCAAAACAACUAUAUUACAAUUUUAAAGAGAUUUCAUUGCUAACCUGCAGACUUAAUCAAUAUCAUGGACUCGUGCAAGCUCUUGCCUCUUGGAUAUGCAUGCUGAGGGAGGGAAGCUCACUCGGCGUAGAAAUUGUAGAGGUCAAAGGUCCAUUGGAAAAAAGUUGGAUAGAGCUAUGGCUAAUAUCCAAAUUUUGGAAUUCCUCAGUUUUGGACAAGGCUGGCAGAUUGGCUUUAGCUUCCUCAAUUUUAACAAAGAUACUCAACUCCAAAUUCAGGAUCUUAACAAAGAUGGUAAAUGAAAUUUUGCAAGUUUAUAUACUCUUGUCGUCCCACCUAAUUUGAUGCAAUGGCAUCUCAAAAAUUUCAUUUUACUUAAAUAACAAGGUUCCUGAUGCUUUCAUUCGGUGAAGGAAGUUGAAAGCUAAUUACACUGCUAAAGAUGGUUACCAAUGGCGGAUCGAGCAGCAUGUAGUACAUGAUAGAAAUUCAUCGAGUUGAUUCUGCCUCUUUUAAUCUAAUCAAAGGGCCAUGGCUUGCUGGGAUGAACAGAAUCACGACACUCCUUCUAAACACUUGGUAUCAGAUAUUGAAACAAGCGCAUAUGCAUAUUUAGUCUAUCGGUAAGAAAGAAAAUGAGCAUCAGAGUAACAAAAAAGGGUUAUCUGUUAUUACAGGAAUAUAUAGGACACAUCUUUAGUUGAAAAUUCCAGACCUGUUGGCCUUAAUACCUGUCCACAAAUUGAUCACUAUACUUUGAUUUCUUGGCACCCCUCUAAUGAACUUGUGGAUGUUUUCAAUAUUGAUGGAAGUAGCUUUCGCAAUCUGGGAAGAGAUUGAUUUGGUGGCCUCAUAAGGAAUGAUAGUGGAGUUGGGAAACUAGGUUUUAUCGGCUAUAUUGGUAUUUCUGACUCUAAACAUACCCUCCAAUUAUAAGCCAUUUAUUUUGCCUUAAAUUGGCUAUACAAUCGGAUCGCCUUAACCAACAAACCCAUCAUAUCAUUUCAUAGAUAUGCUGCUAUAAUUCAAAAUAUUAAAGACUUGCUCCUUCUGCAGUGCACUGCCAAAAUUAGCGACACUCUUAUAGAAGGUAAUUUUAAUGCGAACUAUCUUUGCCAAAUCGGGUGCUGCUUAAGGCUCUAGCUUGAAAAUUGUGGACCAAUCUUCUGCAGGCCUUCUCCCUCUACUAGCUACUGAUGCAAUGAGGGAUUCACUUCCCUAGAGGAUUCCAUUUUUUUCAUUAUACCGAUAAAAAAAACUCCAGAUGCUAACGAUAAGAAAUAGAUGAAAGUAGUACAAUUAACAGCUUAUUUACAAAAUAGAAAUUCAUUCAUUUCCUUGAAAGAAAGUUGAGAUACUACAUAACAAUUUUUACAAAACAAAUGUAAGUGAUAUACAAUUAUACAUUGAUUCUUGUUACAUACAACCAAGUGUUGUACAUCUGAAAACAGAAAAAAAGACUAUAACAUAAGUGAUUCUCAAAUUAAAAGGAAUCAAACAUAGUAAUUCCUCUACACCAGCUUAUAGUAACAUUUGUUUUCAGAAAUUAAAACCUCAUUGCCCUUGCCACAUGGACACUUGAAAGUAAGACUUAAACAUUUUUCAGCCCACUCUACACUCACAGCCUCUUCAAUAUCUUCUCCAAAUUCAUCCUACAAAAAAAAUGAAACAGCAAUUAGUCUAAGAGCCUCAACUGCAAUUGUAAGUGCAUUAGUCACACUUAUUUAUAAUUUUCUACAGUAUCAAGAAUCACAACUACAACUGUGAUUAGAGCAACAAUUCAUUAUGUCUUCUUUGGUUGAAAUAUGGACAUUAGUACAUAGUAAUUCUCAAUUGAAUCAAACAUGACAGCUACAUGGUAAAAACAUAAAUUCAUUAUGAAGAACAUAUGAAGAAUCACACCACCAACUAUGAUCAAAACAGAAAUUCAUUAUGAAGAUGCAUUGAAGAUAACAACAAUAGAAAGCCAAUUAUGACAAUCCAAGAUCAAAACAUAUACCUGAGAUUUGUCUUUGUCAUCUUCAGCAACAGGAGAUUGCACUUUUUCUUCUUGUUCUUGUUGUUCUUCUUGUAUACCUUCUUCCUCCUCCUCUUCUUUCAUCACAUCAUCCCACCAUUGUUUCAUUUCUCUCAAACGAUCCUUCAUCCUUUUUAGCUUCUAUAAUCACAUAAAAAACCAGAGAAACCCAUUAUUCCAAAUCCAAAAAAGAUCAAAUUUUUACAAAGGAAUAAACAAAAGAAUGAAAACCCUUGAUUCCAUUUCCAAAAAAGAUCAAAUUUUUAACAAGAAAAAAUACAAAACAAAUAAAACCCAUGAUCCCAAAUUAUAAAAAGAUCAAUUUUUUACCUUUGAAUCAGGUGUAUUGUCCUCAGUGUUCAAAGAAUGAGAAACUGAUUUAACAUCAGCAGACAUACAUCUCGGUAAUUUCGGCGGCAAAGGUGGCAAACCAGAUUCUUUAGCCGUCAUCAUCGGCAUUGAUUUCUCCGAAGACUGACACAGAUCAGAGACACACCGACGAAGAACAUGAGCAUUACCACAUAGACUGACAGGAAGUGAAAUGGCAGAGAAGCCAUUAUCUUGGACAGAAGAAUGUUUCUUGGCGCUACGUUGUUCGGAGGAGGAAGAUGACGAAAGUGCACGGCGCUUGGCAGAGUUUCUGCGACGCUGAUGGCGGGCUAAGGUGGAAGAAGGGCUGUUGAGAUUCAGCAUGGAGAAGAAAUCGUCGUUUUCUUGUUGAGCAAGCAAUGAUGAAGAUGAUGAUGAUGGAAUGAUAAUUGAUUUUUGUUGUUUGUUUUUGUGAGUGGUUGAUGAAUUUGACAUCAAAUUGUGUUCUUCUUGAUUCUGAUUCUGAAUAUGAACAUGAUCCAUUUUUCUGAUUUUUUUUUCUCUGUGAUUGUGUUUUUUUCUUUUUUUCUUUUUUUCUCUGAAGUUUUGAUUUUUCAGUGAGUGUGAGUGGUAAAGAUGAAUGAAAAAAUGUGAGGGAACGUUUGUAUAUAAAUAAGUGAUUUCUGAAAAGAUGAUUAUGUUGAGGUUUUGUAACGGCUUUUGGCGGGUUAAUUAGUUGGUAUAUAGCUAUGGUAUGGUUAAGUUUGUAGGAUUUAAUUCACUAGCUAUCAUAUCAUAUCAUAUAGUAUUAUAGAGUUUUUUUAUUUUAUUUUAUUUUAAAUUAUGAUAAGAUACAUUUUUAUGUGAUCGGAGGCUGAAAUCACUUAAUGUCAAAACUGAUCCUGAACUAAAUUAAAUUUGUGGUAAAAGCCAAAACAAAAUGGGAAAAAAAAACUAGGGUGGCUCAUGAGUUGCAGACUUAUAGAGAGAAAAUCAGAGAAAGUCGAUGUGUUGAUACAUAACAAGAUUGCGAGAAAAAUAUUGGUUGACAAUAUAAAAUUAUUUUAAGUGCAUAUUAUUUUUUUGUUACGAAAUUUACCUACGAAAAAAAUUGUAAAAUUUGUGGCUAUUUUGAUGAAAUUUACCUAUUAACCCUUUGAUUAGUAUUAUAUAUAGAUUGAAAUAAAAGAAUUAGGGUUCUCUUCUCUUCUCUGAGUUCGCAAAAAUGGUUUCGCUGAAACUGCAGAAGAGGCUAUCAGCUAGCGUGUUGAAAUGCGGUAGAGGAAAGGUUUGGCUUGAUCCCAAUGAAGUCAAUGAAAUCUCCAUGGCCAAUUCCAGUUCGUACCUUUUUCUCUUAUAUUACUUUUUUGCCCUUACACCAUUUCAAUACUCAAUUUGUACCUUUUAUUUUUUGUUUUUAAAUUUCAUUUCUAGUUUUUUUAUUUCACUUUAUAUCGACUUAUAUAUAAGCUGAUUCGAUAGUUAUUAGUUACUAACUAACUGAAUGUUUUAUGCUAUGCGAGAAAACAAUGUUGUCAAUUGCUGAUAGUGAUAAAUUGUGGUUUGUUCAAAUUCAGCUAUGCUACAGUGAUACCAUGUCGGUAGCGACAAAAUGCCAACAUUUUUACUAAAUUGUAUAUCAGAACAAUAGUAAUUUCUUUAAAUUUUGCUAUGUUAUAGCGGACCUGGAUUCCAUGCAGUCAACACUGACUAAAAUAAUAAUUAAGGAACGUGUGUAAAUGGAUUGCUCACUUGCACUUCAUAAUAGUUUACGGAUUAUUGGUUGAUGUAGGCUUGAGACCUCAGAGUGUGCUCGUCUCUAGGUCUAAAGUUUGAAUAUUCCCGGUGUCAAUCUUUGUAUUGGGCCAGUCCAUGCAUGGCUUUGUUAUGCUUUAAAUGGGCCCUCUCUAGUGGACGAUGGGAUUGGUUCCCCAAAUUAGUUGGUCUUUGAGCCGGAUACCGAGUUUCUAACUACCGUUGGAUAGACCUGAAUAAUGUCAAGGGGGGUUGGUUUUAGUUUUGAAGUCAAUGCUUGAGGAAUGUUGAAAGGGAAAACUGGCCUUAACUUGUUAUAUACUCGAUUUAUUGGCUGCAAAUCUUUUGCAAUAGAAGCACUGCUAAGCUUUGGUGGGUUUUUAUUUGCAGGACAAAACAUUAGGAAGUUGGUUAAGGAUGGGUUUAUUAUUAGGAAGCCAACCAAGAUUCACUCCCGUUCACGUGCUCGGAGGAUGAAGGAAGCUAAGAGGAAGGGACGUCAUUCUGGAUAUGGUAAGCGCAAGGGUACAAGGGAGGCAAGACUUCCUACCAAAAUUCUUUGGAUGAGGAGGAUGCGUGUGCUUAGACGAUUGCUUCGAAAGUACAGGGAGUCAAAGAAAAUUGACAAACACAUGUACCAUGAUAUGUACAUGAAGGUCAAGGGUAAUGUUUUCAAGAACAAGAGAGUCUUGAUGGAGAGCAUUCACAAGAGCAAGGCAGAGAAGGCAAGAGAGAAGACUUUGUCUGACCAGUUUGAGGCAAAGCGUGCAAAGAACAAGGCAAGCAGGGAAAGGAAAUUUGCUCGGCGUGAGGAACGAUUCGCUCAAGUGAGUACUUCUAUAAUGUCUUCAGAAUCUAUUUACUUGUGUUAGAAUGUUAGAUAUCAUGAAUUUCUACUUUCAUUGUCGUUAAAUGCGAGGAUAUACUGGACUGAAAAACAUGGUUUCAACUUACUGUUUCUGUCACGGUUACGCUGUGAACCAUUAUAUCGUGGCAAAAUUUUAAAAAUGUGGUCAAUGUGGUUGAAAUUGCGGUCGCAAUUGCAGUUGCGGAGACCUCAAAAUCCUUUAUAUUGCUUCCACAAUUUAAAACCAUGCUGCUUGUAAUGAAUAUUGACAUUUCCACACUCCAUAAAAUGUUCAGGGUCCUGGUGAAAAGCAACCUGCACCCACUGCUCCACCUGCCACAACACCCCAACCUGCCCAGUGAGUAUUACACUUUAGCCUUACGCCUUAUUUACAGCUUUCACUGUGCUACUUUUCUUGUCGUCUAACUGUAUCUAUUUUAUGCAGGGCGCCAAAGAAAACUAAGAAGUGAGCAGCAUAAUCCUGCAGUCUUCUAAAACUGUGUUAUGUGCUAACUAGUCUCAAUUUUUGUCGGUUUAGACUAUGUCUUAUAACUAUAAACUUAUUUCUUGCUAAAUUUAUAUUAUUAUACCUAUUUGUUAGUUUUCACUUUUAUUGUUGGUUUUAAGAUUCACAAAGUUUGCGGAAAGUCUUGUGUUAUGCGUUAUUUAGCGCUGCUAAUCUCACGCUAAUACAAUUAACCACAUACAAGCAUAUCCAUACCAAUGUUUACCUGCAAUUCCUUCAAUAGGAGAUUCACUUUAGGCAGUACAUUAAUUAUGUUCAUUGAGCCAGUUAGUAUUUGAUGUAGAUGGGAACUGUUGGUAACCUCUAUUCAGCUUGCUGAAGUUCGGUUGACUAUAUAUAUAUAUAUAUCUGCUAGAAAGAUUAAUUCUCUGCAUUUUUACAAAAUCUGAUAAUAAACUUGCUGAAGUUCGUUAACUAUAAUCUUAGUACCUGUGUUGACACUGACACCGAUAAUAACUUAAAGAAAUUGGCAUAAUUCAAUGUAAUAAUAAGUGUUGGUGUCGUGUUGGAAGCGUCCGUGAUUCAUAGUAUAUGAUCCUUCUGAACUUGGAUUCUUUACAUUGUUCCAGCCUUGGAAGUUUUAAGGCCCCUUCUGUUGGUGAUUGACCAACUUGCCAUAGUUUAAGCAGGCAUGAAAUUUAACACAAACUAAUUUUCUGUUGAUGUCUCCAUCCAUCCAAGGAAGUUGUCAAUGGAAUAGACUACUUUUUUUUCUGCAGCAUUUAAAAGGAUCACAUGUUAUUACAUGCCUUGCUGAUCUUCAUGGUUUUUGUCAUUCCUCUGUUAACAAACUCCCCUUCUCGGUUUCUUGAAUUUCAUUGGGCUGAUCAUUGUUUUAGUCCCUAAACACAUCUACAAAUGUCUCUUGUAUUAGUGAUUUUUGUCUUCCAAUUGGUUUUUGUGUUGUCAUUUUAGUUCUCAAAUGUAUUUUUUUGUUGGUCAAUUUAUCAGUCUACAAAGUUGAUGACAAGAGAGACAUUAGAGUUGUGUACUUGGGUUUGCAUUUUUUAUUCAUUCAAGAUUAAUUUGAUUGUGAAUAACACAUCCAAAGACUAAAAUGAUGAUUGUGAAUAAUUCAAAGUUUGGCCACGAGAUAAGUAAAAUUUUACCAAAAAUUAUUCUCACCAGGAAUCCAACUUGGUUCUACAUAACAAUUCAUCUUAAAGGGAGCUCAUUAACCGCUGUAACUCAAUAUUUUUGUUUUAUCUUAUACCAUAAUCUGAAUGAUACUACUAUGUGCUGUAUAAUGAAAUGAACUCCAAUUUGCCAAACCACGUUCCUUUACUUUAUGGUUAAUUUAUUCGUGGAAUUCAAGAUAUGAUUACUUUUUUGUGAUCACGAAUAAUUAACUUUUGUCUCAAAAACCUUAGCUCAGAAGAGUAUCUCAAUUUAAAAAAUAUAAAAUAACAGUAUCUCAGCAAAAUUCCAAAAAUGUGAACGAUGUGCUCGACUUGUAGUAAGUAAGUUGUAAUAGAAUUUUACCAAAAAAGGAAAUAUGGCAUAUUUUCCAUGAAUUAUUAUUCUCUGCAGCUGGGAGAUAUGUAUUUGACUUUAAUUAAAGAUUAUUUUGAUUUGAUUGGAUAUUGAAGAUUAUUAUUCUAUGCUAUAUAUAUAUAGUAGUAAAAUGUGUCAAAGCGUACCAACAAUGAAUUGGUCCAAGUGGUAAGGGUCUUGGUCCCCUUAAGCAUGUGGUUAGGGGUUCGAUUCCUGACUCAUGUGUAUGGAGAGAAUUCGGUUCCUACCAAUAUCAUGGUAACCCAAAAAAAAAAAAUGUGUCAAAGCGUAAAGGCACAUAGUUAGUGAAUGGGAUUGAAAGUUAAAGUGCCAAAAACUGGUUGAAUGCUCUCAAAACCAAUUCGCUUGAGUGAGACAGAGACAUAUAAUGACAAGAUUUUUUUAAUUAUAAAGACAACCAAUCUUUGUUAAUUUUACAUCAUAUUUUAAAAUUAUGGACAUACUUAAAUUUAUGCAUUAACUUGUUAAAAAUUAAAUCAGAGUUCAACUUAGGUCCUGUUUGUUUGAGAUUUAAAAAAAAUGAUUUAUUUUGAAAAAAAUCAUUUUCAAGAAAAUAGAUUUUCUUAAUGAAAAUCUAAAGCUAUUUUCCGUUUGUUUACAAUCAUAAAAAUCUAUUUUUUUAGAAAAUGAUUUACAAAAAAAUAGAUUUUGAAGAAAGCUAUUGAAAAUAGCUUUUCAUUUUGAAGAAAAAAUGAUUUUUUUACUAAAAUGAUUUUUGAAAAAAUCUGAAACAAACACAAAUAAAAGAAGAAAAAUGAUUUUUCUUGAAAAAAAAUAGAUUUUUUUUAAAAAAAAAUCUGUAACAAACAGGGCCUUAAUCAGACUUGUGACUUGCGAGUCAUUGCUCAAUAAAUCGUUAAAUAAAUACAAAACAUAAAAAUCGGUUGAACCAAAGUGCAAUUCAAUCACGGUUCAACAAUGAUACAACUCAGUUAAAUUUUUUGUUGGUUUGAUCUAGUGAUGAGAGGUUUGAGUAAUAUAUAUACAUGAAAUCUUCGAUUCGAUCAUUAUUGACUUCAUUGUAAACACAAAAAAACGAACCGAAAAAUUGAGCAAUUUUCUGUUUAACCGAUUGUUCAGUUCAAUUUUUAAAAUGCUACCACGUAGUAAACACUUUUUCCUAAUCCAAAUCAAGAUUCAAUCUUUUUCAUAUUCCCUAUAUCCCAAAAAUGUCAACGAGCCAAUCCAUAAACAUAAUUCAAAGAAUCAAAUAAAACAUCAUAUGAAUAACCUAUAAUUGAAAACAAUAUUAUGCCUAAACAUGUUUUGGAAGUUCUAAGAUUAAUUAAUGGAGAAUCGUAUCUAAAAAAUUAAGAACAUUUUUCACAAUAGUAUUAAGCACAAUGGGAUUCUACAUGAUAUAUGGAACAGAAGACUAUAUUCUACUAUGUAGGAAAUGAAACAUUAUUCUUUUCUUAUUGUUCUUUGGAUUAGUCGAAAGGUCAAAACACUAACUACUAUAUAUAUAAGCUUACUACAAACAUUAGUUUUCAUAAGCAUAGUAUGUUACAAAAAUAGUUAUAAUGGGACAUAAUUUCAAGUUUGGAAUGAAUAAGAAAAUGUGUUUUGUGACCCUCAAAGGCUUCCGCUAAACUGUGUUUUAAAUCGAAUCAAAUAUAUUCGAAAAAACAUAGAAUAGCGGUUGCCUGCGAGCGUUCACUGAACACUUUAUUCUUUGUAUUUUGAUUGUUCAAUGAGUCUGAAGAAAUCUAUCUAUUUUUUAAGAAAAAUUUAUUCUAUACAAUUUUACUUGAUCUUUACUACUAAUAAUUCGAUUUGAAAUGGCAAUUUUCUAGCUAUUGCAAUAUAAACAUUUUUAUGGCACUCAAAAACAAAGUUUAUACCUCAAAAAGUUUUUUAUAUUGCAAUAGCACUCAAAAACAUAAAGUGUAGUAAUUCUUAAUGAUAUGUAUAUAUUUGUCUCUACAUCUUUCUCUCAUUUUCCUUCAAGCAAAUUUGGUAAACAUCUCAAAUCAGAAUUGGUCUAAGUAGCCAAAGAAUUGAUCAACCGCAAAGUAUGUCACCUCAACAUCUUUUAUAUUUAUAAUGAGCUCUCUCAUUUUUAUUUUUUUGGAUGCAUGAGCUCUCUCAUUUUUAUUUUACAACAAAUAUGCUUCAUUCAUUUCAUAUCAAAUGUCGUUUAAGAUUAUACAUACUUAAAAAUAAUUUAUUUGGUGUACCAAUUUUUUUUUGGCUUUUAACCACCUGUUUAAUCUGUUUCGGGGGUACGAAGUUUUUACACGAUGUGUGUUCUCUCCUCCCAACUGAAUUUUUUCAAUACACAUGAGUCAGGAAUCGAACCUCUGACCACAUGCUUAAGGAGACCAAAACGCUUACCACUUCGAUCAAUUCAUUGUUGGUUGGGUGUACCAAUUUACUAUAUUAUAUAAUGAAUGAUUCAUUGAUGAAACACAUAUUCAUUGUCAUUGAUCGGUAGAGUUUAAUGGGCCAAUACCUCAUCUGAGUAUAAUUAUCAGAACAUUUCGAUUCGUGUCUCUCUAUCUUCUCGCGCGUCUUGUUAAAUUCUCAAAAUAGCAUGCUUGUUACUUAAGUUGCGAACUCAAUCCGUACGAUAGAAGGGUGAGAGGGAUAAAAUAAUUAAAUUUUUAUAAAGUUCGCUGAACUUUAAGUAGUGAACUAUUUUUAUUUUUAUUUUUAUUUUAAAUUUUUGUGUUUUACAACACUCAUUACUUGAAAUAUGAAGGAGGUAAUAUGAAAAUGAAUUUAUUAACUGUCGAUGAAAAUGAAUUUGUUAAGAGAAGCCCAAUAAAGAAAGUUCCAUUAGGUAUAUAGCCUUGCAACUUGUAUUAUGAGGGUGUGAAAAGAAACUAUUUUAAUGGUCGUCUUAUAAUUUUAUUUUUAAUUUAGAAAUAUAAGUGUUUUAUGAAUACUAAUUAACAAAAAUAUAACAAAAUUAAUAUAUGAGUAUUAAUUUUAAGUUAAAAAUAAAAUUUAAAUAUUAAAUAAUUCACACUUAAUUGAUUUUCUCAUUAGUUAAAUAUGACUACAUGCAUGUAAAGAAAUUGAAUAAUAUCCUUUUUAUUUGUUGCACGCAUUAAAUAUGACUCUUUGAAUCAUUAUUAUACUCCCUCCGUUCUUUUUAAGUGUCCAAAAACGUCCUAUUUAACUGUCCAUUUAGUAUUUUAAGGGUACAAUUUGUCAAUUGUACCCUUUCUCAGUUACUCUUAUCUUUUUCAAAACUUUUUUUUUUAUUUUUUUUUCUACAUAACAUAUUAAAGUUUUUUUAUUUACAUAAUAUAUUAAAUUUAUUGGAAAGAUAAAGUGUGUGCAAAAAAAUAGGAAUUUAUUGGUGGAUUAAAAUUAGGGUAUAAUAGAAAGAUAAAGUGCAAAAAUAAUUUUUUUUAAUUUGGUAUUACUAUUCUAAAUGAACACUUAAAAAGGAACAUAGCGACUAUGGAGUAUAUGAUUGAAAUACAAAUUGGUUAUAUAUUUUAACCACUCUUGUUUUAUUUUAUUUUUGCAAAAUCCCAAUUAUAUUAUGUAUUUUUUUUGUGUAUAAUUAUGUAUUUUUUUGACAAUAUUUAUGUAUCUAUUAUUUAUCAAAUAAUUUAUUAUAUUUAAAUGUCUACAAAUAUAUUUAAAUGUCCACAAAUUUUAGCUCAACGGGUAGAAACAUCGAAAUUGUUAGGUCGGAUGUCAUUUCGUCUAUCUAUCGAAUUUUUUUUAUUAUAUUUAAAUAAUCGCAUAAAAUUUUGCUAUAUUAUUUUAUCAAAAUAUAAUUACUUUUUUUUUUGUUUCUCACUUGUUUUAAUAUAUUCUUUUUGUAUUUUUUUUCCUUCUUUUUUUUCGUACACGUGUAUAACAAUGAGAGAGAUUAUUGAGAAUACACGAGUACUAAAAAUUAUUAUUUGCUUAACAAAAAUCAUUCCAUUUUGAAAUAACGGUAUUCUUGUUCUUCUGUGCAAAGAAUGAAUCUUUAUACCACAUAUUUUCCACAACUAGAGUCUCCAAAACUUGGACAGCCAUAAAGAAAGAUCUUACAAGACCCUGCGUUAUCGGUGACUGACUUUGAGUGUCACGUGAUCUAUGGCCAUGUUUGCUUCCCCAUUUUCCCAGACAAUGCAUAUAUAUAUAUACAAUGUCUUGCACAUUUGAAAGUAAGAGUGAACGACGUUCGUAAUGUCAGAAGGAGUAUCCUCUGAACAACAGUUGGAGUUACAAGGUGUUCCCUUGAAAAUAACAGUUUCAACGAUAUACAUUCUCGCGGCUUCGGACAAAUGCAGAAAAAUAUUUCACAAGCCUUAAGCUAAUAAAUAAUCUUUGUACAAUGACAAAAAUAUUUUCAUUUAAAUUACAAAUUAAUAAAAUCCAAAUUUGUUUAUCCUCGUGCACGUACAAGAAACACAUGACUUCAUAUUCCACAUUUGGUACCUACAACCAUAUUUAAAUGUAAGGGUCAAUUUCCUUAUCCAAAUUGAAUCAUGCCGAACAGACGGUAAAUGUUAUAAACUAGCAAUAAAAUACUCGGCCAUAAAAAGUAAUAAAAUAAAAUCGAUGCCAGAAACUCUUUUUAAUAACUUAAUACAAAUUAAUAAUGCAUUAAAAUGCAACUAGACCAUGAUCCGAAUAUCGCCUCAUUUGGCACUUGGAAUUUAACUCCCCAAGUAGCGUAUUCGCCCCAUUUGGCGUUUACUAAUAAAAUCGCCCCAAUUGGCACUUAUGACUCAACUAUAUGUCAUGAUAUGCUUUAUAUACACACUUUAAUAUACACAAUUAUUCAAUCGCCCAAUUUGGCACUUAAUAGUUAAUAUACACACAUUCUUUUAAAAUUACCACCAUUUUCACCAAAUCAGAUCAAAAUUAAAACUUUCUUUCAAUACUACACCAAAUAGUCAUUUUAUCAACAACCAACAAGAUACUCAAAUCUACAAUCAACCACAAAAACAACCAUCAUAAAAUAAUCAAAUAUACAAUCAGCCACACACAUAACUUAUAAUAUAGCAUAGAAUUGUUAUAAAAAUAGCACUUUCAUUGCUUCUAUUAUUAUUCUUCUUAACGGUUAAAUAUUCAAUUAUUAAUCUAUAACAUAAAUCCUACGUGCAUGAGUGUAUAUAUGGAGAAAAAACUCUUACCAUAGCCGCUCUCCUUCCAAGCACAAUACUCUAAGCCUAAAUAUGCAGCUACAUUGCACACACGAUAUAUCUCACUCCAAAGUUCAUUUCAACGAUUCGAUGGUCCAAAUGGAGUACUAUGUGUUGAAAAGCUACUUUCCAAAAAAGAAGGCGAUCAGACGGUUAAUGAGGACGUAGUCGCAAUUCUACGGUGAUGGGUUUGUGGAAAACGAAAAUAACUUAGGUUAUGAAAGAAUUUCAUAAAAGAAUCAAUAGCUUCAUAGGAACAAUUCUCAAAUUAGAGAUUGGAGUAUAGAAACAAAACGAGAGGGAUAGAAAAUAGAAUACCUCAAUACUCCAACAAAGUUGAGACAAGUAUUUGCUAGAUUAUUGUGUGAGGGUCUUAAAAAUAUUUAGAUGAUGAUAUGUGUAUGAGAUAGUAGCUAAUUUGUAUUAUUUCCUCUACUGGCUUGCAAAAUAACGUGAUGCACUGAGUUUGUAUGUGUGUGGCUAGUUUACUAGAGACAAAAUUUAUAUAUGCAAUCGAUGGAGGAGAAGAGAAGUCACACUGUGUCACUUGCAAUCGAUGGAGGAGACAAAAUAUAUCCUUUCACUGAUUUUAUAGACUUGGUUGUCUACCAUUGCAAAUAUAGUACCUUAUUCCACUUAAUUUAUUAUUCAAGAAAAGAAAGGACACAUGCAUGGGGUUACGGUUUCAUGAUCAUGGAAUACUAAUGAAAUCAAUUGGAAAUUGAAUAUCAAAGGGAUAGUAAUACUUUAACGAUAGUAUGAGAUCCAAGCAGCUAAUCAUUAUUAAUUUGAGGCAAAUGUUCUUGUUCAAAAAUAUUUGAGGCAAGUGAAUGGAAAGGGCAGUAUCCAAACGGUCACACAAAUUGACUAAUAUAUAAAAUAAAAUAAAUAAUUAGAUGAAAUAGGUGUUCAAAUUAUAAUUAAUAGUGAAAGUAGUUCAUUUAAUUAUUUAUGCAUAAAAUAGAUAAAAUAAUAAAUCAAUAAACUUAUUAUAAAGUAAAUAUAAAAUAUUGGAUUGUUACACUGUGUCAUGUCAGAUUGGUUAUGAAUAUCAGAUGCAGUGAGCGUUGAUCGAACACGUUACCUUUGAACACCUAUUUCAUCCGUAAGUUUAUUGAUUUAUAAGUGAGUUUGACACAUUAGUCCAAAACUUUAAGGUCUUAAGUUUAUGAAUCAUCUUACUUAUAGAGUGUUCAACAUAUACAUUUAAUAUGAAACUCAACGUGCACUUAAAAUAUCAACAAAAACGUAGUAGGAGCUGAAGUAUAUGAGGCAUCUUUGUAUAAACCAACACCAAGACCGAUUUAACUAUAAAAUCAACUUUUUUUUUAUAAGCAAAAGAUUCAAUUAUAAAGAGUAUAAGGAGUAUUCAACUCUUACAAUUCUGAAAUAAAUCAUUAGAUGUUAAAAAUGCAAAAUAAUAGAUCUUUACACCAAUUUAAAAAUACAAGAGAACACUUAUAAAUUAUUCUACCAAUAAACCAAAAUCAAAAAAUAUAAAUAAUUUGAUCCACUAAAGAUCGUAAGUUAUUGACCAUAUAUUAUUUCCAAAAAAAUCAACUUGUUGUUUAAUGGGCCCGUAUAGUGUAGGUUUUUUAUAGGGUACAAUAUAUAUAGUCUAGGUUUUUUAUCUUCAUCUUGAGGAAGGUUCUAAGCACUUUUCUCGGUUUGGUGAUAUGUUGCAAUUAUCUAGGAGUUCCAAAGUCAAACAUUUGAUUUGGCUUACAACUACUUGAAGCAUUUGGAGACUUAGGAAUAAUAUUAUUUUCAGGGGGCUGUAGCUGAUAGUGAUAGUUUGGUAGAUAAUAUCAAACUUAUUUCUUGGUUAUGGUUUAUAGGACGCUCGGGGAAUUCUUGUAAUUAUAAUUAUUCCAACUGGUGUACUAAUCCGUUAGAUAGCCUUUCAAGCAUCUAAUUGAUUUUUGUGGUUCGAGUUUUAACACUUGAACACUCGUUUAUUAAUAUAUAUUUUUCUUAUCAAAAAAAAAAAAAUAUCCCGCAUAUUAAUUAAUUAUAAAUUUAUCAAAUCUACAUAAUUAUUAAUUAAUAUGAAUUAACAAUUCUUUAGGUCAAAAAAGAGAGAAACCAUUCUACUAAUUGUCAAAAGAAUUAUUACAUUCAUUAUCAAAAAAAAAAAAGAAUUAUUACAUUCCCUCAAAAAAUAUGAUUAAAUAUUCUAAAAAACUAAUUCUAAAGAUAAAAUUAAACAUGACAUUAAAAAAACAAACUUUGGUACAUAUUUCUUAUUCAAAAUGUACUCAUUUAUUUCAAUAGUUGCACCAAAAUAUUCAACAAAAGAUAGUUGCUGUAACAUCUUUCAUCAAAUUACAAAGUAAAUGAGUAGAUUAAAAUCCGAUAUAAAACUUUAUUAAUCGCAUAUAUGCUACCUAAAAAAAACAUUUACUUGCAUGCUUAUUUCAAAUUUUCAUCAUUCAUAAUCAAACAUUAACAUAGAUAAUUUUUAUACAUGCAGUCCCUCAACACAAUCAUAAACUAUUGUUUCGGCUGUUUGACGACGACACCGACACUGGCGAAGGUGGCAGUGUUGAUACCCUCCAUCUAAGUCAUAGACACUAGAGAAAAAAAAAUCUUUUUCAUGGUUUUUUAUUCACCGGCACGACGACAAUCUUUUUCUUCUUGUUUUCAUUUUCAAUAUCCCUCUUAUAAAUUGUUGAUAAACGAAGAAUUUUCCUUUUCUUCUUUUUUUUGUUAUUAGUAGCCAUUUUUUUGUCAUCAAUAGUAACCAUGUCAUAAACUGAUGAUAAAUGCUGAAUUUGGAUCAAUUCAUCUUGGCUAUAUAAGUGUGGUAAAUCAUGUGAUAUAAACACAUCCAUGUAACGUGGUGCAAAAGGUUGUGUAGAGUUUCUCUCACGUGAUUCAAAAUCUUCAACACUUUUCACCAAUUUCCAUAGUUGUUUCAUGUUUCUCAUGAUGAUGAAAUGAUGAAUUGAUGAUGAAUGUUAAUUUGAGUAUGGUUAUAAGCUUGUGAUGGAAAUUGUAGUGUCGAGAAUGAAAUGUAAUAGGGGGCUCUUGGUGUAUAUAUAUAUAUAAUAAUGGUGACAAAAUAAAAAAAAUGGGUUUUUUUAGAAAGAAAAAAAAAAGAAUGAUUAAUUAAGAGCCUCGGUCAAACGAAUACUUUCUCUGAUCCUUGAUAUAAAAAAAAUUACUUUUUAGAUUCAUUGAAUGAUUGAUGUAUUUGGCCUAAAAAGUGGACUAGAUACAUCGAUCAUUCCAUGAAUCUAAUAAACAAAAAGUUUCUUAUAUAAUGGACUAGAGGGAGUAAUAAUUAAGAGUCAAAUUAAUUUUUCUGUCAAGAAAAAAAAAAGAGAGUCAAAUUGAUUUAUGAUUAAAUUUAAAGAUGCUUUUUAUAUAGACAUAAAUAUGUUUUUAAUAUUGUCACUUUAUAAUAUUUAAAACAAAAAAAUUAAAAAGUAAAAUAAAGAAAAUUAAAGAUACAAGGACGUCAAAGGUGCAUUCAUGAAAGUAAAUUUUGUAUAUCAAGGACACAUAUGAAAUUUGUCACGCUUUAGAGUCAAACAUAUAUAAAUGAGAUAAAUUUUUCAAAGGUCAAAUAUAUAUAAGUGAGACAAAUUUUUUAUUAUUCACAAUUUUUUUUUACCAUAAAAUUAAUAAACUAGACAUUUGUUAUUUGUGUAAAAAAAUUAAAAUAUUUAUUUCACCUAUACAUCAUAAACUAGACAUUUGUUAUGAUGGCUAACGUUAACUAAGUUUGAGGUUAAUCAGGACCAUAUUAGAGCUCAAUUCAAUAUUAGCUAAACGUGUAAAAUGAUAAAAUAGGAUAUAAGAUGAUUAAUUCUAUAGUUAUUUUAUAGAUAAUUUUAUUUAGUCUCUUAUAAAACACAAAAUUUAGAAAAACACUGUUCAUUAUUUAAAAUGCAGCGAACCUUAUAAAAAUUCUUUUAUCGAUCGUCAUCACCCUUUCCUCACCGAUGAGGGAAAUAUUUUGAUUGAAUAUGUGUUUUAUCCAUGAAUCAUUCAUUUUAUAAUAUAGUAAAUUGGUGCACCUAAUAAAAAACAAAACAUCAACAUCAAUUCUAAAAACCAAAACUAGCACCUCAACUACAAGAAAAUCCGACUCCUCUCGAAGAGAAGAUAAAGAUCAACCAUUGAGGCAAGAUAGAUAGACACCAUUGGGGACUCUAACCAAUCAGAAUCGUCCAGACCCAGCUCCAUGCCACAACAAACUAUUAUGGUUCCAACAAAAAUUAGGAUGAAUAUAAUGCCCCACUCAUAUAGAAGGUGCUAGAAUUUUUAGCCAUAUACUAUUUUCAAGAAGUCAGUUUCAUCCUAUCUGUGUAAGAUUUUGGUUAACAUCAGAGUAAACCAAAAUUUCCUAACAUAUUAGGGGGUAUAAAAUGACAUAAUCUUAAGCUAAUAUAUUCAAUGAGAAGAUAAAAUGAUUUAAAACCGUUUUUUUUAUGAGAUAAGUAGUAAAUAUAUAUUUAAAUGUAAUAUUCGAAUGUAAAUAAAAAAUUAUAUUAAACUAUAUAGUGCAUAUAAUUACUUUCUAUUUUAUUCAAAUUCUAUGAAUUAAAAUAAAUUCGUAUAGAUAUUGUGGUAAGAAAUGCUUUAGGAAAAAGUGCAGAGGAGUUAAAACCUAUGAAUCUACCAUACUCCCAUUUGUUGUGUAUGAAUCCAACAAAAGGAAUUUAUUUUUUUUAUCAAAAUCCAACAAAAGGAUUUAAAACCUAUGAAUCUACCUACCAUAAUUUUCAUCUUAAUGAUUAACCACUAGCAUACACAUUUAAUUUCAUCCUAUCCUUUCAACGAAUUUGAACCCAAUUAUAAUGAACCAACAAAACAUUAGGAAAAUUCCUUUAUAAAUAGCUUCGUAUCUUAGUCACAUAAAUUACUAUAUCAUUGACACAAGUGUUGGAGUGAUAUAGAUCAUAAUCAUAUAUAUUUUUUUUAAACAUUCAAUAUAAGUAUGUCAAUUGUAGAUUUGUUAAUAUUUACCGAAGGUGGGAAUCGAACUCAAGAUUAUCUUUAUAACUUCACUCUUCGAACUCAAGAACAUAGGCCGCCAGCCAACAAAUUAAUAGAUGUGUUUAUCAUUGGAGAUAUCGCUUUGGCAAUUCUUCUUUUCGUCGCAAUCCAUUAUUGGAGGCUCAACAGAAACACGCCCAUCACAAAAUGGCCUGUGCUUGGAAUGCUACCUGGUCUCUCACACAAUGUAUCCAACAUUCACAGUUAUAUAAACUUAAUUUUGCAACAAAAUGGAGGAACAUUCAUUUUUGAAGGACCAUGGUUAACAAACAUGGACAUUGUUUUCACCGGUGAUCCCAUGAACGUGCAACACAUCACAAGCACAAAAUUCGCAAACUACGGAAAAGGAAACGAUUUCAGAGAAAUUUUUGAAGUUCUUGGAGACGGAAUUUUCAGGUAUGAUUCCAACAUUUGAAAGCACGGUUGAACCCUAGUCUAUUUUUAUUUUAUUUUAUUUGGAAAUUAUAUAUAUGUUAGUUAUUAUACAACCUUACUUGAACAAGAAGAUCCGUACUAUAGACUCGUACUAUUGUGUCCUUGAUUGCUAAGGAGACAAGAACAAUAUAAGUCUGGUGAAUGACACAUGACUGUGUGAUCAAAGCAUGAUUAACGACUAGAUAUCUUGUGCUCAUCAUCAUCCUCAGGUGUGAAGGAUCAUUCUCAGCCAGUAAUACUGGUUGGGGUGGCCGCACGAUUGUCUGACAUACUCUAUAAAAAAACAUCUUGUUCUAGUUAUUAUGAGUACGGAAUAAUAAUACUGACUGGGGUGGUCGCACGAUUGUCUAACGAUUAUAUAUAUUCUAGUUAUUAUUCAUGAUAUUCUUGUUCUUAAUGCUUUUUUGAAUUGACUAAUUUGUUAAACGAUCUUUUGAUUUAAUCUUUAAUUGGAAAAUGUUUUUCAGGUCUGAUUCCGAAAUUUGGAAGUACAAUAGAACACUACUUCAUUCAAUUUUCAAACAAGAAAGUUUUCAUGCAUUUAUUCAAAAAACAGUUGAGGAAAAAGUUUGUAGUUGUCUUCUUGUGUUUCUUGACAAUGCUUGUAAAGAAGGUGUACAAGUUGAUUUACAAGAUGUUUUUCAAAGAUUAACUUUUGACAACAUAUGUUCUGUAGUUUUAGGAUUUGAUCCUAGAUGUCUUUCUAUUGAUCUUCCUAAAAUUACAUGUGAGAGAGCCUUUACACAAGCAGAGGACACAUUGUUCAAUAGACAUGUAAAGCCAAGAUUCUUAUGGAAGUUGCAAAAAUGGUUUCAAGUUGGUGAAGAGAAACAAUUUAUAGAAAAUAAUAAAAUUGUUGAUAAAAUGUUGUAUUCAAAAAUCAAAUCUAAAAGAGAAAUGCAAGGAGAAAAAAAUUUUGAUUUGCUAAAUACUCUUAUGAAUGAAGUAGGAGAUGAAAAAAUUCCAAUAGAUGAUAAGUUUUUGAGAGACACAUCAAUUAAUCUACUUGCGGCCGGAAGAGACACUAUUAGUUCUGGCCUUACUUGGUUUUUUUGGUUAGUGGCAACACAUCCUUUGGUUGAAGCUAAGAUUCUUGAAGAGAUUAAACAAAAUUUACCAUCAAGAGAAAAUAAUUGGAAAGAUUUAGGGACAAAAGGACUUGGCAAGUUAAUUUAUCUACAUGGAGCUUUAUGUGAAGCCUUAAGGCUUUAUCCACCGGUUCCUUUCGAGCAUAAAUCCGCACUGCAUUCCGAUGUGCUUCCUAGUGGACAUAAGAUUAAGUCCAAUGCAAUGAUAGUGUAUUCGCUAUACGCAGUUGGAAGGGUCGAGGAAAUAUGGGGAAAAGAUUGCUUGGAGUUUAAGCCAGAGAGAUGGAUUUCGAAGAAAGGAGGGAUAGUUCACGUACCAUCUUACAAGUUCAUUGCUUUUAAUGCUGGACCAAGGAGUUGUUUGGGAAAGGAUAUAAGCUUUAUUGAGAUGAAAAUUGUUGCUGCAGCAAUAUUGUCAAAUUAUCACAUUCAAGUAGUGGAAGAUCAUCCCAUAAUCCCAAGUGUUUCUGUUGUCCUACACAUGAAACAUGGCUUGAAGGUUAAUGUCAAAAAAAGAAGCAUUUGAUUUGAUGAUCAAGGGAAAUCUUCUGAAAAUAUCAUUACCAUGUUCAAAUGCUAUACAUAAUGUUUAUUUAGUUAUGAAUUCUAGAUAUACGCUAUGUUUGGUCAUUUUUUGUUUUUUUAUUCCUAGAAUUUCAUUUGUAUUGUAAAAUUAUUUGAUUAAUCUUAUAAAAAAAAAUUAUUUGAUUAAUAUUCAUGUUUGUUUUAUGGUUAUUUAUUAGCUACUUCUAUACAUUAAUCUCCUUGUUUUACAAUGAGUGACCCAACCCGCUACUUGAAAUGCGACAGGGUAAAAAUGAAAAGCAAGAGCCGGGCAAGAAGGGCGAGGGUCGCGAGAAAAGGAUUCCCCGACUAUUAAUCAACAAGACCAAUAAUAAAGGAAGCCCAAUAAAAAAAUCCAUUAGAUAUAUAACCUUACAACUUGUAUUAUGAGGGUGUGAAAAGAAACUAUUUUAAUGGUAGUCUUAUCAAUUUCCAAGAAGGAAGGUACUAUCAUUAAGAGAGCGUCUUUUCACACCCUAUAAUUCUUAACAGCCACCCUCAUUUGGAUUUAUCGAUCUAGAUAGGAAAAAUGGGUAUAUCUCAAAAGAUAAAAUAUUAAAAAGAUGAUUCGUAUUAAAAUCCGCCAUUUAUCAAAUAAACUAUUAAUAUAUGCAUAAAAUAUAAAAUAAUUAAAUUUUAUUUGUCUAAAACUUUAAAUAUAAAUCAAGAGUGUGUGUAUCAAGACAUUAAAUCUAUAAAAUAUGAAUUUGUCUAAUGAAUUAUUGAUUGAUGUUGCAAAAAAAAGUUCAUACGAUAGAUUUUACGUGCAUUUAAAAACUUUUGUAUUGAGUUUAAUAAAAGACGAAUAAAUCAGAUGUCAUAUAAUUUGCUAUAUGAUUGAUGUAUAGACUUGUAUAAAUUAUUCAAUUAUGAAAGAAAUACUAUAAACAUUAUUUUGUAAAAAUAAAUAAUAAUAAUAAUUGCAUAUUUGAUCCCUUAUGUUUAUUUUAGGUUUUAAUUUGAUCUCUUACGUUUAAAAAGUUUUAAGUUGGUCUUUUUAGUCAAAUUUUUGUUUAAAUCGUCUACAUAGCUAAUGGAUUUGAGUACUCGGACAACUUAAGAGCGUACUAUGCGAAAGUUUUAGAAGAAAUAAACUCAAAAUUUAAUGAAAAGUUAGAAGAAAUAAACUCAAAAUUUAACAAAAAUGACGGACUUAAUAUUGACAUCAAUAACAUAAGGGACCAACUUAAAAUAUUUUACACGUAAGGAACUAAAUUAAUUAAAAUAAACAUAGGGUCCAUAAUUAAUCGAAAGCAACUUGUUAUUAAUUAUGUUGGUCUGAUGGUAUUGACUUGAGACCUGAGAGUGUGCACCUCCUUGAUGUCUCAGAUUCGAUUCUCUCUAGUACCAAUUUUGGUGGGCUAAUUUAGCUUCUUAAAAAAAAAAACUUGUUAUUAAUUCCAUUUGCUUAUAAAAAAAAUUAAAAAUCAACUUGUUGUUUAAUGGGCUCGUAUAUAUAUAGUCUUAGGUUUUUUUUAGGGUACAAUAUAUAUAGUCUAGUUUUUUUUUUUUUACAAUAAAUAUAUAGUCUAGUUAAUAAUACCCCACGGAUAUGAAUUUAAUUAUAAAUUUAAAUCAUGAGUUAUUAUUUGUCAAACCUACAUUAAUUAAUUUUUUUUUAAAGAGAGACCUACAUAAUUAAUUUUAUUUUUUUUUGACGAAUCCUACAUAAUUAAUUAUUAACUUGUAUGAAUGAAUCAGCUAUUCUUUUGGUCAAAAAAAGAGAAAUCAUUCUACUAAUUGUCAAAAAAAAUUAUUACAUUCCCUCAAAAAAGAUAAAAGUAAACAUGACAUUAAAAAAAAAAAACUUUGGUACAUAUUUCUUAUUCAAAAUGUACUCAUUUUUAAUUCAAUAGUUGCACCAAAAUAUUCAACAAAAGAUAGUUGCAGCUAGCUUUCAUCAAAUUACAAAGUAAAUGAGUACAUUAAAAUCGAUAUAAAACUUUAUUAAUCGCAUGCCACCUAAAAAAAAAAACCAUGUUAAUUGCAUGCUUAUAUCAAAUUCUCAUCAUUCAUAAGCAAACAUUAACAUAGCUAAUUUUUAAUGCAGUCCCUCAACACAAUCAUAAAUUGUUGGCUCGACCCGUUGACGAUGACACCGACGACACUGGCGAAGGUGGUGGUGUUGAUGCCCUCUCUAUCAUAGACACUUUCUUUGAUGUCGAUGCUUUCUUCGAUCUUGAACCCUUCCUUGAACUAGAAAAAAAUCUUUUUCUUAGUCUUUUCUUCACGGGCACAACGACAAUCUUUUUCUUCUCGUUUUCAUUUUUAAUAUCCCUCUUAUAAAUUGAUGUUAAACGACGAAUUUUUCUUUUCUUCUUUUUUUUGUCAUUAGUAGCCAUUUUUUUGUCAUCAAUAUUAACCAUGUCAUAAAUUGAUGAUAAAUGCUGAAUUUGGAUCAAUUCAUCUUGGCUAUAUAAGUGUGGUAAAUCAUGUGAUAUAAACACAUCCAUGUAACGUGGUGCAAAAGGUUGUGUAGAGUUUCUCUCACGAGAUUCAAAAUCUUCAACACUUUUCACCAAUUUCCAUAGUUGUUUCAUGUUUCUCAUCAUGAUGAAUUGAUGAUGAUGAAUGUUUGAGAAUGGUUACAAAGUUGAGAUGGAAAUUUUAGUGUGGAGAAUGAAAUGGUAUAGGGGGCUCUUGGUGUAUAUAUAAUAAAAGGUGACAAAGUAAAUAAAGGUUUUUUUUUUACAGAAAAAUAAAUAAAUAAUGUUUAAUUAAGAGUCUUGGUCAAACUAAUAAUAAUUAAGAGUCAAAUAAAUUUUUCUGUCAAAAAAAGAGUCAAAUAAAUUUUUAUUUUUUAUUUUAUAAUAAAGAGUCAAAAAAAUUUAUGAUUAAAUAUAAAGAUGUUUUUAAUAUUGCCAUUUUAGAAUAUAUAUUUAAACCAAAAAGAAAAAAACAAAGAUAAAUAAGGGAAAGAUACAAGUCAAAGGUGGACCCUUUUGAAAGUAAAUUUGGUAUAACAAGGACACAAAUGAAAUUUGUUAUAUAAUUUGUCAAAUAAGUGAAACAAUUUUUUAUCAUUCACAGGUUUAUUUUUACUAUAGAAUCAAUAAAUUUCAUUAUUAAAUUAUGCGACAUCACAUAUAUUUUAUUUGAUUCAAUGGUAAGACUUACUAAUCCAAUGUUUUAGAAAAAAAAUUAAAAUGACUUAUACUGAUCCAAUUCUAAAAUUAAAUUUAUAUAUAGUAAAAAAUAUUUCUCAUUUAUACACUUUGACUGACAUUUGUUACUAUGGCUAAGUUCAAGGUUCACCCCAAAAUUAAUCAGGACCAUAUUAGACCCUCAAUUCAAUAUUAGCUAAAAUUAAGAGUAAAAUGAUAAAAUAUGAUGUAAGAUAAUUUAUUCAAUAGUUAUUUUAUAUCUAAUUUAAUUUAGGUUAAACAAGUUUUGUUCUCUUUUAAAUAUAUCUCAUUUUGUUUUUAGUCCCUCUAAUAUUCUUUUCAAACAAUGAUCCUUCAAAUGUUUUCAAUUAGCGUCUCUGCUUUUAAAAUAACUCAUGUGUAUCCUUUGGAUUUUUUAAUUAUUUUUUACAGUCAUGUUUAAACAGAAAAUGUGAAGAUGUGUUUGAUUAUUUCUUGACAUUUCUUAAAAAUAAUAAGUGAAUGAAUUCCUUAAAAAUAUUUUAAGACCAUUGUUUAAAGAACAAUUUUAAUGAGACUAAAAAUAAAUGGCUUUAAUGCACUUUUGAUCCCCCUAUUUUGAAAAACCUGAACUUUUGAUCCCCCUAUUUUAAAAGCCAACUUUUUGAUCCCCUAUUUUGANNNNNNNNNNNNNNNNNNNNNNNNNNNNNNNNNNNNNNNNNNNNNNNNNNNNNNNNNNNNNNNNNNNNNNNNNNNNNNNNNNNNNNNNNNNNNNNNNNNNNNNAGCUGAACUUUUGAUCCCCCUAUUUAAAAAGCCAACUUUUUGAUCCCCCUAUUUUGAAAAAUCUGAAGUUUUGAUCCUCCUAUUUUAGAUUUUUCUGAAUUUUAGUCACCGAACUCAAUUUGGUCAAAUUUUUGUUGAUGUGUCAAGCUCAUUAAUGACGUGGCAGUUUUCAUGUUGACAAAACAUUUCCAUGUCACUAAUUUUUUUUUUAAAAUCAAAUAUUUUAAAAAUAUUAAAAUAAUAAAAUAAUUAAUGAUAAUUAAAAAAAAAUAAAAUAAACCUUUUUACAUUAUACAAUAAUAACUAAAAUAAAACUCUUUACAUUAUUAUAUAACUAAAAAUCAGUAAAUUACUCAAAGAAGUCAGAAAAGCAAACGUUGGUUCCCAAAUCAUGACACCCUAAGAAAUCAGAAACACAAAUAAUCACGCUGGUGUUAACAUCCUUCGUCUUUGUUCGCUCCCUCUCAAUCGUUUAUUGACUUUGUUCUCAAUCGUUAACUUUUUUGGGGUAAUUUAUUGAUUUUUUAUCAUAUAUAUACAUGUAUAGAGGUUAAUUUUACUGUUUUUUUAAAUUAUAAUUAAUUUAUUUAUUUAUUUUUUAAUACUUUUAAAAUAUUUGAUCUAAAAAAUUAAAGACAUGAAAACGUUUUGUCAUGAUGGACACUACCAUGUCAAUAAUAAGCUUGACACAUCAUCAAAAAUUUGACCAAAUUAAGUUCGGUGACUAAAAUUAAAAAAAAAAUCUAAAAUAGGAGGAUCAAAACUUCAGAUUUUUCAAAAUAGGGGAUCAAAAAGUUGGCUUUUUAAAUAGGGGGAUCAAAAGUUCAAAUUUUUCAAAAUAGGGGGAUCAAAAAGUUGGCUUUUAAAAUAGGGGAUCAAAAGUUCAGAUUUUUCAAAAUAGGGGGAUCAAAAGUGCAUUAAAGUCAAAAUAAAAUAAGAUAUAUUUAUAGAUCGAAAAACUUAUUUAACCGUUUAAUUUAUGUAACAAUGUGAGACAAAAUGUCUUUCAGAAAAUGUGUUAGUCACAUAAAUUGUACCGUAAAACACAAUAUAUCUAUAUCCAACAAGGACAUGGAUAUAUUAUACUAUCCCCAUCCUCAUAUAUAUACCUAUUUACAUCCCUAGUGAAAGGGGAUUAGAUUCUUUGAGGAGAAUGUCCAAUUAAUAAGGCUGAAUUUGUAGUUCCUUUGAAUAGAACAAAAUCUCUUAGUGCAAACCAAUUUUACAUACAUAUAAAAACAUAUUGAUGUUCAAAUUUAAUUUAAUUUAUCAAAUUAAAAUUCUUUUAUGAUGUACUUGUAGCUAGGGACAAAAUUAAUUUUGAACCAAUAUGUAGCAAACGAUCUUUUUUUUUUUGGGUGAAUAUGUAGCAAACAACCUAUUAGGUUUAAAAUUAAUCUUUUAUAUACACUCCUGCUUCAAAAAUAUAUCUUUCGAAUUCAUACACUCACUUGGACACUCACUCAAAAAAAAUUGAGAUAUAAAAGGUACAUAUAAAUCUUCUUAUAUACUCUUCAUUAAGUACCUCACUUAAAUACUACUAAUAGUAAUAAGGAUGAUCUAGAUUCCUUAUUGUUCUCAUGAUCUUCUAUAUUUAACCUACUUUGAGAUUUCUUUCUUGAAUUAAUUAUUGUCAAUUUUUGAAACAUGCUAAGCUUAUAUUUGAAAGUGAGUUGCUAACAUCGGGUUCGAUUCCUGGGUGGAACAAUUUUUUGGCCAGACUUUACUUACCUCGUGACCGAACUCUGGACUACUAGACCCCUUUUCCCUAGGAACCAGAGGGUUACAAACCAAAAAAAAAAAAACAAAAAAAGUGACUUGCUAACAUGUUGGACACACAAGAUGAAUUAUAUAUAAAUGUAGUCGAUAUUGCAUUGAAAAUUAAAAUGAGUUAUUCAUUUUGGGAGAAUAUGUUAUUACAAAUGUGUCACUCAUUCUAGAACAAAGAGAUUAAUGUAUAAAAGUAGCUAAAAAUAAAUAACCGUAAAACAAACAUGAAAUAUAAUCAAAUAAGUUAAAUAAAAAUUUUCAAAUGCUUCUUUUUUUGACAUUAACUUUCAAGCCAUGUUUCAUGUGUAGGACAACAGAAAUACUUGGGAUUAUGGGAUGAUCUUUCACUACUUGAAUGUGAUAAUUUGACAAUAUUGCUGCAGCAACAAUUUUCAUUUCAAUGAAGCUUAUAUCCUUUCCCAAACAACUCCUUGGUCCAGCAUUAAAAGCAAUGAACUUGUAAGACGGUACAUGAAUUAUCCCUCCUUUCUGCGAAAUCCAUCUCUCUGGCUUAAACUCCAAGCAAUCUUUUCCCCAAAUUUCCUCGACCCUUCCGAUCGCAUAAAGUGAAUACAUUACUGUUGCAUUGGACUUAAUCCUAUGCCCACUAGGAAGCACAUCAGAUUCCAAUGCACAUUUAUGCUCAAAAGGAAUUGGUGGAUAAAGCCUUAAGGCUUCACAUAAAGCUCCAUGUAGAUAAAUUAACUUACCAAGUCCUUUUGUCCCUAAAUCUUUCCAAUUAUGUUCUCUUGAUGGUAAAUUUUCUUUGAUCUCUUCAAGAAUCUUAGCUUCAACCAAAGGGUGUGUUGCCACCAACCAAAAAAACCAACUAAGACAAGAACUAAUAGUGUCUCUUCCAGCUGCAAGUAGAUUAAUUGAUGUGUCUCUCAAAAACUUAUCAUCUAUCAAAAACUUAUCAUCAAUUGGGUUUUUUUCAUCUCCUACUACAUUCAUAAUAGUAUUUAGCAAGUCAAAUUUUUUUUGUCCUUGUGUAUCUCUUUUGGAUUUGAUUUGUGAAUACAACAUUUCAUCAAGAAUUUUAUUAUUCUCUACAAAUUCUUUCUCUUGACCAACUUGAAACCAAUUUUGCAACUUCCACAAGAACUUUGGCUUUACAUGUCUAUAGAACAAUGUGUUUUCUGAUUGUGUAAAGGCUCUCUCACAUUUAAUUAUAGGGAGAUCAAUAGAAAGACAACUAGGAUCAUAUCCUAAAACUAUAGAACAUAUAUUGUCAAAAGUUAACCUUUGAAAAACAUCUUGUAAAUCCACUUGAAUACCUUCUUUACAAGCAUUGUCAAGAAACAUAAAAAGACCAUUACAAACUUUUUCCUCAACUGUUUUUUGAAUAAAUGCACGAAAACUUUCUUGUUUGAAAAUUGAAUGAAGUAGUGUUCUGUUGUACUUCCAUAUGUGGGAAUCAGACCUGAAAAGCAGCAUUAAGAACGAGGAUAAAACAUCGAUUUCAUGAAUAACUAAUAUGGAGUCUGCUUGUCCAAAAAGACAUAUUUUAAUCAAUAACAUCAGAAUACAACUUCAGACUAAUAUCGUUAUCAACCUUCUAGUUACUUAAAAAGAACGGUCCAAAUAAUAACCUGAUAUUUGGUCUAAAUGGGCCCAGCCUGAAUCAUUAUCGAGUUAUUUGAUCCAUCUUAUGCAUGUAUUUCUAUUAAUUAAUUUAUUUUCAAAUGAUUGCAAUAUACUUAUUUUCAAUUGUUAAUUAAUUACAUUUUUGUCAGAAUAAUUAAUAUGGUAUUGUUGUUGAUUUUCAAAGAGAGUUAAAUGAUAAAAUUUUGUGUUUAGAAAUGGACCUAUAUAUGAUUAUAUUUAAAUACAAAAUAUUGUUGGUUUCCAUUUAUUUUUAGUAAUGUUAUUUUUUUUUUCUAAAUUCGGUCACAAGUUACUUAUAAAAUUAAAAAUUUAUCUAUUAAAUUUAGUUAUUAAAUCUAUCUUUUUUUUAGUAAAAAAAUAUUGUUUUAAAAGUUACAUAUAUACAAAUUUUAAUAGACCCACAGGGCCGACCUUGACCACCCUAGACAGUAUUGUUGGCUAGGAAUGAUCCUCUGCAGCUAAGGAUGAUGAGCACAACAUGCAGAUCAUCAUGGCCGUUAAUCACACAACAUGUCAUCCACCAGACUAUUUUCCUGUCUUCAAAGAAAUCAAGAAGACAGUAAUACUGGUUCAUAGAAUAUUUGAUGUAUUUAGUCUAUAAUAUGGAUUAGAUCAUACAUCAAACAUUUUAUGAACCUAAAAAAUAAUUUUUUUUCUUAUAAUAAGAACCGGAAGAAGUAACCAGAAUAUAUACAAUAACCAAAUAAAAAAAAAUAUACAAUAUUGUUCUAUUGUACUUCCAAUGUGGGGAUCAUACCUGAAAAUUCCUUCUCCAAGAAUUUCAAAAAUCUCUCUGAAAUGGUUCCCUUUUCCAUAAUUUGCAAAUUUUGUGCUUGUGAUAUGUUGCACGUUCAUAGGAUCACAGGUGAAAACAGUGCCCAAAUUUGUUAACCAUGGUCCUUCAAAAAUGAAUGUUCCUCCAUUUUGUUUCAAGAUUAAAGUUAAAUAGUUGUGAAUGUUGGAUAUAUUAUGUAUGUAAGCAGGUAGCAUUCCAAGCACAGGCCACUUUGUCAUGGAUGUGUUUCUAUUGAGCCUCCAAUAAUGGAUUGCCACGAAAAGAAGAAUCGCCAAAACGAUAUCUCCAAUAGUAAACACAUCUAUUAUUUUGUUGGCCGGCGGCAUAUGUUCUCGAGCUUGAGAAUAAAAUUGGUCUUGAGUUCGAUUUUCACCUCUACCGAUAAAUACUAAUAAUAAAUUUUUAAUUGACAUAGUUAUAUUGAAUGUUUUGGAAAAAAUGAUAUAUGAUAUAUAUAUAUCACUUGACUAAGUUACGAAACUAUUUAUAAAGCAAUAUUCCUAAAGUUUUGUUGGUUCAUUAUAUGAUUUGUGUUCAAAUUCGUUGAAAGGAUAGGACGAAAUUAAAUGAAAAUUAUGGUAGGUAGAUUCAUAGGUUUUAUAAUUCCUUUUGUUGGAUUCAUACACAACAAAUGGGAGUAUGGUAGAUUCAUAGGUUUUAAUUCUUCUUACCACAAUAUCUAUACGAAUUUAUUUUAAUUCAUUAUAUGCAGUUAUGUAGUAUAUAGUGUAACAUAAUUUCUUAUUUACAUCCGUUUACAUUUAAAUAUUUACUACUUCUGUUCCCUGUGAGCUUAGCUCAGUUGGUAGGGAUAUCACACUAUAUGUGUAGGAGUCCGGGUUUGAAUCCGGAACAUUCCACUUAUUCACCUUUAAGGUAAAUUUUCUAGCUAUUAGACAAAAAAAAUUACUACUUCUCUCACAUUUUUUACUAAUUCUAUCAUUAAAUAUACCACUAAAUAUAAUUUUAGGCUAUGUAUAAUUUUCUAAUUUUGUUUUUGUUCUCUUUAAAAAAAUUAUUUAUUUUUCUGCCGAGUAUUUGGUAUAUAGAGUGAAAUUUACUUCUUGGAAGUAGUUUAUGGGUAAUAAUUCUAGCAUGCCUUGCUACUCUAUGAAUGAGGAUGCACCCUAUUUUGCGCUGGAAAUUUGUUGGGGUAUGGAGCUGAGUCUCGAUGGUUCUGGUUGGUUGGAGUCCUCCUUGAUGUUUGUCUUGCUUGUUGGUUAAUCCAUUUUUUUUCUCUUUGAGAGGAGUCGGAUCUUUUUAUGAUUGAGGUGGUGGAAUUAGCAGUGGACCUAGGGGUGGGUUGAGGUGGGCCACCCCCAAAAGAUAAUUUUUUUUAUACGUAGGUAUUAAUUUAAAUGUAUUAUUAAUUAUUUUAAAUCACUCAGUAUAUAUAUAUGUACAAAUAUUAAUGUAAAUAUUAAUUUAGAGUAUAUUAUUGAUGAUUAUAAGUAACUCGAUACACAUAUUAGUUCAAAUAUUAGUGUAAAUAUUAGUUCAUAAUUAAUUGAAUUUAUAAUAUUAGAUAAAAUUAGCAGUUGAACUAGCAUAUAUAAAUAUGAAAUGACAAAAAAAUAUGUUUAAUUUAAUUAAUAUUUAAUUUUUUAAGUCCCAUAUUUUCACAUUUGUUUCAAUUUUAGUCCUAUCUUAAUUAUUUUUUUUCUUUUUUGCAGUAAAAUUAGCGAAUUUUAAUGCCAAAAAAAUGUGAAUUUUGGUCUCAAUUUUGAAGUUUCAUCUUUAGAUUCAAUGUUGGAGACAAUAAAUCACCUUUAUAGCCAAAAAUCACAAUUUUUAGAGUAAAAAUAUAGAUUGUUGGUACCAAAAUUGUAACAUAUAAAAAUAGAGGAGCAAAAAAUUUAAUUUAAAAAUAGAUUGACUAUUUUUCGGCUCAUCUACAAUAUUUUUUCUAGUUUUGCCACUGGGUGGAAUGUUCUUUUAUUUUUUUUGGAGUUAGUAUGCCCGCUUUGUUUCUGGUUGGUGUGUUUUUGAUUUUUUUUUUUUUUGUUUUCUUCGACUAUUUGUGUUUUUGUCUUGUUUGGGUGUUUNNNNNNNNNNNNNNUCAAAUUAUGAAGGGUUGGAUUAGAAAAAACCAAAAUAAAUACUACUACAUUCUAAAAUACAAGUAUAUGUCCCGUGAACCAUACCCAAAACAAUUGGUAUAAUAAUAGGUACAAUAAUAAAAUAAAAAAUAAAAAAACUUCAGUAAUUGCAUGCUAAGCUAAUCUUUAAUGCAAUAGCUCAAUAAAAUCAUAAACUGAAGGCUCGGCGGUUUGACGGUGGCACCAACACCCGCGGAGGCGGCAUUGUUGAUGCCCUCUUUGAAACUGAUUCUUUCUUCGAAGUUGAACCCUUCCUCAAUUUCGAAAAAAAUCUCUUUCUUGAAUUUUUCAUUGCCGGCGUGACAACGAUCCUUUUCUUCCCUUUUUUCUCUUCAAUAGCCUUGUUAUAUAUUGAUGAUAAAUGCAAAAUUUGGUUCAAUUCUUGAUUGCUAUAAAAAUGUGGUGCAACAUAUGAUAUUAAUCCAUCCAUGUAAUGAGGUGUGAAAGGUUUUGUUGAUUUUCUCUCACGUGACUCCAAAUCUGAAAUACUUUCCACCAAUUUCCAUAGCUGUUUCUUGUUCCUCAUGAUGAUUUUUUGUUGGGAUAUUACUUUUUCUACAACAUUUGAUAGGAACAAAUGUGUUUUCUAACAAACUACUCCAUUUCAUAGGGUUUGAAUAUAAUUUUUGCUUGGACAUUGGUUUUUGUUUUGUAUGUAAUAUUGUUGUUUCAUUCUAGUUUCUCUUGUUGAUCCGUUCGUUUGUAUCGGUCGCAAAAACCUAAAAAUCGGUGAAAUAGUGUGAGACGCGCUGAUCACGACGGAUAAUAUACUACUUUCACAAGAAUUUUCUGCGUAAUAUGCUAACCCUUCAUCAUGAUUUAAGAUUUAAGAGAGCCUUCUCAUAGAACAUAGAAUUGACAAGAAUAGUUUUUCUGUGUAAUGUGCAUUUUUUUUAGUUAUGUUGAAAGUGUCACAAGUUGCAUAAAUUAUGGGCAUACGAGAUUGUUACUAUUGAGAUAAAUUUGCCUUUGACCAAGCAAAAGCCAGGAAUACAUAUCAAACAUUACACAUAUAUAGCCAUUAGAGAAAUGUGGAAAUAAAUAAACCAUCUUUAAAAUACAAUUUAUUUUGUUUGGAUGAAAAUACAAUACUUUGAGUCACACUGCUUAACUAAAGUGAUAUUUGUCUUGUAAUGCUAGUAAUUUUUAUAACUAAAUUUAUUUAUUUUUUUGGGCAUUUUUUAAUUCAAAUUUUAAGUCCUUGUUUAGAUCGCUUGGCCCUAUGACAUAAAGUUUUUUGACAUAAUAAAAAAUAAUAACUUAAAGUUAAUUGUUAUAAAAAAAAUAUUUAUUUACUUUAGUUAAGUAUUGUAUAGAGUUUAUUUAUUUAGUGUUAGGUGUUUUGUUAGUUUUGUGAUAGCUUGUCUUUGGUUGUAUUCGCCUCUAUAUAGGUCUCAUCAUUUGGUGAACAUCUCUUAACUCUUAUCAAUCAGUAUUAGAGUCUGGUUUGACGAAUGGUUCGACCGGCUCUUUGAGAGUGUAAUUCAAAUUUCUUUUGAAGAGAGUGUAGUUUUUUUUAGCUUUUUACUACCAGUUUAAUCUGGUUCCGAAGUCAGUUCUGACAUCAAGUGGUUUUAACACCUCCUAAUCAAAGUUAUGCGGGAUCGAACUAUGAUCCUUCCUAUCAAGUUCAGUGUCAAUCACCACUGAAUCAAAGAUGGGUGAAAAGAGUAUAAUUUACUCAAAAAUUAUUAUAUUCUGUACAUAAUUAGACUAUUAAGGUUACGACAACCAUAUCUCUAUAAUAUUCCAAACACAACAAAUCUUACAAAUUUGCUUAUUUAGUCAAAACCGCCUUAUAUAUGGCAUAAUCUGAAUAGUGCUAUGUGCACUGUGUAUAUAUAGUAGCAACAUGAUCAAAUGAACAUCAAUUUGCCAAACCACGUUCCUUUAGUGGUUUAUGGUUAAUCCAUUGUGAAGGUGUUGCUGGUUGACUUGUACAAGUUGUAACGGAGUGUUACCAAAAAAGGAAAUGUGCCAUAUUUUGCAUAAAAUUGCUGGAAAGUUAUCAAAAAAUAUAUAUAUAUAGUUAACUGAUAAGUUGGCUGAUAACUGAAAAACUAGUAGAAUAAAAUUAAAGUGUUUAGUAAGUUUAGUUGUUGUAAAUACAAAAAUGACAUAGUUAUUUUUGUGAGUGAAUAGUUAUUAAAAUAAUAAGAUUAAAAUUGGAAUUAAAGGUUAAAACAAACAAAAAAAAAUGGAAUUAAAGGUUAAAAAAA
RNAcentral lists this long non-coding RNA (89667 nucleotides) under Trifolium pratense (red clover). Its description in RNAcentral is "long non-coding RNA (TPRA_LNC000699)". The stretch from base 75706 to 75929 matches the Rfam family "Plant small nucleolar RNA U3". The record is from RNAcentral. Lineage: Eukaryota; Viridiplantae; Streptophyta; Magnoliopsida; Fabales; Fabaceae.